UUUUUUUCUUUUGGGUUUUAAGGUAAAAGAGAUGUGAAAUUACAAGAUUGACCCUCAGCCUGAUUCUUCGAUUCAACCUAAGGCUCGAGGGCUACUCCAUAUGGAGUGUGAUUUUUAUCACACUUCCAUAUAAGAUUCAGGAUUGAAGAUUCAAGGUCAAGUUAAAUGAGGCUUGAGCACAUUCUAGCCGCAUGGAAGUACUCGAGUACCUUCGAAGACUGGGAUCCGAUAGAGUACUUGGAGAAUACCACAAACUAGUCAGAGAAGCCUACAAAACUACCUUGAACUACUACAUUGGACUAAAAAGUACUCGAGGGCUUGUUGGCCAUACGUCUAUGGGCCCACUGGAAGGUUUGGAUAGUCCUAAAUAUGGGGAUGUACACCAAGACGUGUCAUACAUGAAGACUACAGUGCAGAACGACGUGGUCUACGUGUAGGACAAGAACUAGUCGAGGAUUAGGAAACUACUCGUAGAAAUUAAAGUAGGACUCUCUAGUCGAAUCCAACUAGUAUUCUUGUAAACAACCGACGUGUAACCCUGGCCCCGGUAAUAUAAGGUGAGGUAGGGACCCCCUCCAAACAAGUUCAAUCAAUACAAUCCAACCAACACACAGGACGUCGGGUAUUACGCAACAUAAGCGGCCCGAACCUAUCUAAAUUGUAUGUUCGAGUUCACCUUCGAGUGCCUAAUCUCGGCGAGCUCCACGCAUAAAACACUACCUCAGGUACCCCCUCAGUAGGUUGCCGAGUCUAAACACCGAUACCAACAGCACCCCGUUUCAUCCACCACCAUAGUAAAAGGGUAUAUUGGUAAUGUGAUAGGGCCAUCCAUCCAAUUGGCCAAAUACCCUAUCCCUUCCCUCCCUCCGCCCAAAUCUUCCGCAUCCAAAAACUUUUUGCCAUAAGUACCCCUUCACCUCCUCCUCGCCCCCAUCCCAAAUCUUCACCUCCUCCUGGCACCAUCCCAAAUCUUCACCUGCUCACCACCAUCCACAAUCUUCCCCUCAUAGUUGUUGCCCAUUUCCCAUCUCCCUCUGAAGGUCGUACGAAGGAAACAUCAACAACCAGGUACAAUAUUUUCCUCCCUAGUUAAGCAUCCCCGAUGAUGCAAUUAAUGUGUUUUUUUGUUUGGUUUUGUUACUGCUUUUACUUUGCUGUUUGUUUGCAGAUCUAGCAGUUCCCAUGUAUACACUAGUUAGUUUCCUUUACUAAUUUGUCCUUUGGGCUAGUACAAGGUUGGGUAGGAACAUCCUAUCUUGGAUCUAGUUUUGGGGGGCAGUACCUUUAUGAUUUUACAUUAAUUUAUUGCUUUUACAGUAGUUUGCCCUUUUGGCUCAUAUAAGGUUGGGUAGGAACAUCUUUUCCUAGAUCUUAUUUUGGCUAGGAACAUCCUAUAUUGGAUCUUGUUUUGGUGCGCCUCACCUUUAGAUUUUGCAGCAGUAUGUUUCUUGUACAGUAGUUUGUUUCGUUUAUAGUGGUUGGAUAAUUUUACAAAAGUUUCUUUCUUUUCCUAAGACAAAGAAUCGGAGCUCCAUCCAUACAAACAGGUGAGGGUUGCAUGUAUCGUAACGAACCAGGGCGUAUUGGCUUCCCUCAGUGUUGGAAAAGUCACAAGCAUACUUAAACAAGCUACAAAAGGACAAAGAAAGGAUACCAAUGAAACAAGAUGUUAAAGAAGAAGUGAAGAUCUAGAUCCGGAGUAUGACCCGUCUCAAGAACGGCCUAAAUCUGACCAAGAGACAUGCUAACAUGAGGUAUCUAUUGUUGCCUACAAAAUUUCUUGUAUCAAUUAUGUAGGAUUGCUUAUCAUUAUUGUUUUUAUGCAAUUUGUCCAAUCAGAUCAAUGAUAGCAUACCUGUCAGCGGGGGAAGAGGGUUGUCCAAUAGAAUUUGGGCACCUGAUGCCUCUGACAGUAUGCCUCCAAGAGUGACUAGGAACAAGGCAAAGGCAUUGGCUUUAGCUCAAGCAAGAGUUUCGGAUGGGAUGACUCCUGAUUCACAAGAAUUUCCAACCUAAGGCCAAGCAACAACCACCCACACUGAGGACAUCAUCGACAUGACGACUGGUGAAGGCAAUUCAUUUGAUCUCUUUUUCCCAAAGAAAAAAAUUGGAACGUCUUCAUUAGCAACCAAAUCAUUAUUAACACACACCACCUGUAUGACCGUAACAAAAUUGUUAGGUGAUACACGCCCUUCUAGAAGAGCACAAGUUCCAUGGGAUUCAAGAAGGUUGGGCAGAGAUCUGAACAGGAUAAGCAUAGGGUUACACACCAAUGUUUCGAUCCAUGUUCGAGAAGGGCUCAAAUGGCCAGAGGUACCAAUGCAAGCUGCAAAGUUUGCAUUAGAGGGUGGGAUCAUACUGCGUGGGCAUAUACCAAUCCUUACUCGCUGGAAGAACUACAAGACCAAUAAUGAAAAACAUCUCAAGAACUACAUUGGCAAACUGGCGGUGUGUAUGUAUCAACUCAUCUAAUACCACAGUUCUUUGCAUCCUAUCUUUUCAUCCAUUUUUCUGACUACUCUUGUAUUGUGCUUAGUGUAAGGAUAAUUUGACAUUGACACCACCAGUCAACCUGUCAUAGAGGCAUGCGCUGACAUGCUCAAGUCACAACAGAGACAGGAGAGAUACGGCUCAAGAAAAAGUUCUUCAAUGAUAUUCCAGCAAAUGAAGUCCCAACCAAAUCUCCUGUGACCACACUAAAUGACGACCAGUGGAACAAUCUAGUUGCGAUAUGGUCUAGCCAACCUCACAAGGUAUGAUAGAACUUCAACUUGCCACUAGCACAUUUGCAUGUACUGAUCUAUUCCUCUAAUUCAUGAGUGUUCAUUAUUGUAAAGGAGAGAUGUACUACAAACACCGGUAAUCGUGGGGUGCUCAGGUUUCCUCAACGCACAAGAUCUAGAAGCUAUGUUGCAUAGGCUCAUGUUGUGGUAAGCAACUGAACAAGUCAUAUUUUUGCUAUGUACUUUAUUUGAUGGACCUGCUCAUGCUCCUUGUUCUAAGCUAAUAGUUUAUGCCUGUUUUCACAUUAUAUUAGAGGGAGAAGCAUGCUGAAGGAGACCCAAAUCCAAUAGAUCUUUUCAAGAACUUCCAUUGCAGCAAAAAUGGCUACACCGCUCCAGUACAGGCAGCCAUUGUAACUAUUUGUUUACUUUACAUUCUUCUUUGCAGCAACAACACUACAAACAUUUUUGAGUACUUUUGUGAGACCUUUCAUUUUCUUUCUUCUAUUAUGCUCGGAUGGAACAAAUUGUCGCCCAACCUGGAGACAACCAACCAAAGACUGCUGCUGAAGUAGUGGCUAAAGUUGAACAAUCAAGAAUAUUUCAGGAGGUUGCUAGCAUACACCCACCCUCCAAGAAAAGGACUAGGGUUGGUACUACGCUGCAGGUAGAAGAAAUACAAGCUGAUCUUGAGAGUGGGAAACAAGGGGGGCAUAACUUCGUCAAAAUACUGAUAAACAGUAGUCUAAGAUGAGUGCACUGAGAUUGAGGGCUAAAACACGAGAAACAACAUUGAAGUCUCAAACAGAAGAGCUCGAAGCUUUGAAGAACACCACAAAGCAGUUGCAUUCUCUGAUUUCUAGCCUGAUAAACUUCAGCACCAGUCAGAGCCAGGUGAAUCCUUCCCUCAACUGAAGUGUGUUGCUGGUAAACUUGUUAUUUGUUGUUGAUGAACUUUUGUUGUAUGUUGCAUUGUUGAUGCUUAACUUGUUGUAUGUUGCAUUAUUAUUGCUGGUGAACUAUUCAUUGAUUGUGAUGUGAGCAAUAUGGAAGUUGGAAAUGAGCUAUUUUCAUGUCUGUGAUUGUGAUGGUAAUCAGUAGCCAAAACUGAAUAUAUGGCACUGCGAAAUGCAAUAAUGGGCUAAGGCCUAGAAAAAAAUGGCCCAAUAUGAUACUACAAAAUGCAAUAAUGGCUCUUCGUUAGAUGGGCUAGGGUCAAGAAAAAGAGGCCCAAUAUGGUGUGAAAAAAAACAUUUUUCGGCCCAAAAAAUAGCACAGAAACCUAAAAUGGGCUAAAAAUGGACCAACAAAAUUGGGCUCAUAAAGGCUCCUACAUGGACUGGGCUUCAAUUUGUGACAAACCGAAAUCAUCAUAACAUCCCUGCCACGUCGGAGCCAACCUCCAAAGCAGUUUUAUGAUGACAUGUGGGAUGAAUUUUCAUUCGUCAUUAUCUCAGUGAUGCACCGAAAUAAGGAACAUCACUAGUUGCGAUUUAUGAUGCUCGAAUAAUGAUGAAGAGUUUUCGUCACUCCCGUGGCAUAAAUUACGGUUUAUGACGCAAAAAACACAUUUAUGACACUUUUGGUUCGUCACUAGUUGGAAUAUUUCUUGUAGUGGUUGUUUGUGAACUGGGUGGAUCAAUGGACUUGUGGUUUGUGAACUCUUGUAUGGACUUGUAAUAAUAUGUUUUAUGUGGACUUGUGUUUGGAUUCCUGCUAAUGGUUGGUUUUGUGAUAUAUAUAUAUAUAUAUAUAUCAAAUGGGUGAUUUUAAUUAAAUUUAAGGAUUUUUUUCUCUGGAAAAACUCAUCACCGUCGGCCUAUGGAACCGGCAGUGAUGGGGCACCUCCAUCGCUACCGAAAUUCGUAUGACAGAUCCAUAAACGGAGAUGAAGGCGGUUUUGGAGCCGGCAGUGAUGUUGCUCUGUGCAGUAGUGAUUUGUCUAGCAUUAUAUGGUACUCGCUCACAGCUGUCCACUUAUUUGACUCAACGAAUUUCUUGCCUCUUUGGACUGUACUUUCUUUGACGUGUGAAGGAACUGUGACGCGAAGGUAAAUUAGAAUUUCUUAAAACUAAGGCUCUACUUGCAAAUAUAAAAGUAUACAAUUUUCUACAUAUUUGUGCACUAGAGUUUUCUAUGUUUUUUUCUAUCUCUACCGCAAAAAAUACUAAACUUAGUAUAACAUUUAUUUUCAUAAUAUUAGUGUCUUUUCUUGUAGGUAUCUUUGUCCUUAUAUGGAAAUUAUCUUUGAAGCAAUCUUGGAUCAAGUGAUGGACCAGCUGACUACUAUUAUGAUGGAUUACAUAAUACACUAUGGAAGGUAAGUGGCAGGUCAUCUCCAUUUUAAUUUGUCCUUGGUUCUCUCACCUAUACCAUUAUUUAUUAUCAUAUAUGCCAAAGCCCUAUUUUAACAUCCAUGUGAACCGAAGGAGAGUGUGCUAAUUUAUGGGCUAAGUUCCCAGAUACAAUAUUUGAGAUGUCAACUAUUUUAUAUACUAUUACAUAGUGAAAUGUAAUGCAUGAACUUGAAAAAUUGCUUAAGUAAUGUCAAAACAAGAACUUGUUGAUGAGGAUGCAAUUAUGUGUACUAGUACAAAUGAGUUAUGCUGUAGGUGGUGCAAUGAGCUUGAUUUGAGCUAAAGAGGGGCAAUUUACUCACAGCAAUUUACUCACAGUUGGAAGAACAAACGAAGCUUUUAGUUUUCACUACCAGUUUCAUGAGAAAAAAUAGAAGCGAAGACAAGGUAUCACUCAAUAAUGCGUAACGUGGUCCACUAGUAGAGAAUUGGCUUUCGAUGCGCCCCCUUUUAUCCCGGUUUAAAGUUGGCCCGAGACAAAAGGGGGUGCGCCACGGUAGGUAAAAAUGGAGGGGAGAUUUACUCCCGGUUGGUAUUUGCAACCGGGACUAAAGGCCCCCCUUAAUCACGGUUGCAACGGCUAGUUUCGGGGUGUCGGUGGCAGGACCCUUUUGUCCCUAUUGGAGGCUCCAACCGGGAUAAAAGGGUGGACCUUUUCUCCCGGUUGAAGCCUCCACCCAGGACAAAAAGUUUAGUCCCGGUUGCAGCUUCCAACCGGGACAAAAGGGUUUCCCUUUUGUCCUGGUUGGAGCCUCCAACCAGGACUAAACUUUCAACCGGGAUAGAAGGUGUUCCUUUUUUGUCUCGGUUGGAGUUUUUAACUGGGAUAAAAACUCAUCCCCAUUAUAUACCAAGACAGAGGCCUUUCUUCCUCCUCCAGCCCGAGCCAGUCCAGCACAUAGACAGAGAGCUAAGCUUCACCUACUCUCCGGUGGUGCCGAAGCAAGGGAGGUGCUGCUCGAAGUUUUUUCUCUCAUUUUCGUGGGAAUUUCACUCAGCCAACACAAGUUUUGUGAAGGUUUGCUACUUCAUCCUCGUGUUAUGCUUUGAUUUAUACUUUGGAGAUGGAAAGAUUAUUUGCUAGAAUGUGAUGAAGUAGAAAAUGGAGGGGUCUUUUGAGCUAGAAUGUGAGGGAGAUUGAUGUGUCAUAUAUAGUAUGCAUUCUUGCAGUGGGUUAAGAAUGAUGCUACCUUGUCUAGACGGUUUAUCUUAUCAAAUUUAAUAAGGUUUUUUCAAAUCCAUAUUUGUUGAACUUGCAUACCGUGUUCAUCUCGGCGAGGAUAUUCUCCACCGAACAGCAGCGUAUGUCAAGAAGCAGGUUCGAUUCUACGAGAAAGAGUGGAUACGGACAUCGUGACCCUUUUUCGUAGCAUCGAACCUCUUUCAUGACGAAGUGCGGUGCCACCCAGUUGAGAACAUGCUCGCGAGAUGAUCAUGGUCUUCAAGUUCAACAACUUCUGCAGUGCUAAGGUAAGAAUUUUUGUACAUAGAUGGCUUCUACUACUUGUUGAACUUAUCAAAUUCAAUAUGGUUUUUCAAAUCCAUACUUGUUGAACUUGCAUACCGUGUUCAUCUCUGCAAGGAUGUUCUCCGCCGAGCAGCAACAUAUGUCAAGAAGGAGGUUCGAUUCUACGAGAAAGGGUGGAUACGGACAUCGUGACCGUGUCCCCUUUUUCGUAGCAUCGAACCUCUUUUAUGACGAAGUGUAGUGCCGCCCAGUUGAGGACAUGCUCGCGAGAUGAUCACGGUCUUCAAGUUCAACAACUUAUGCAGUGUUAAGGUAAUAAUUUUUGUACAUAGAUGGCUUGUGCUACUGGAGGAAGUGGCAAUGGUGGGGGUGAUCGUGGUUCCUCUUUCGGCAAGGGGAAAAUCAUAGUUGGCCCUCAGCAUAAGCCGAAGAAAAUGAGCGCGCUGGAAAAAGCAAUGGAUGGCCAAGGAUGCUUAAAGUCCUCCUCGAUAAUAACCAGUGGAUGGCUUGUUGUAUUGUAUCAUGUUGUUUGGAUCUUUAAUUUAAAUAUGUGCAUUUGGAUCUUCAUGUUGUUGUAUUGCACCAUGUUGUUUGGAUCUUUAAUCAAUUUUCACGCGUAAUCCAUUGUCAAGUAUAAUCCAUUUUCAUGCGUAAUACGAUGCAGAUGGACCGGCAAUGGAUGUAUAAUGCAGACAGGCGGAGCAAGGUGUUUAUUGAUGGCUUGCAUUAUUUUCUCGAAGUGGCCAAAGCGAACAAGCUAGAGAAUGGGUUCGUAUGUUGUCCAUGCUUCCAAUGUAAUAACAAGAACAAGUAUUCAAAGGAUUCCUAGGGGACUAUUAAAAGCCACUUGUUUAAAUAUGGUUUCAUGCCUAACUAUUUGGUUUGGACCAAGCACGGUGAACGAGGGGUCGUAAUGGAAGAUGGUGAGGAGGAGGAGGAAGAUGACACCAUUCCGAACUGGGUUGCAGGCCAAGCUUUUGCAGGUACUACAAAGGGCGAGGCUGAUGAAGAUGAGUUUGAAGAAAAUGGCCCUACAGAUGACCUUGGUCAGGUAAUACGAGAUGCACACAGAGAUAGUGAAACUGAGAAGGAAGCAGCAAAGUUGCAGCGCAUGAUAGAUGAUCACCAAAAAAUAUUGUACCCAGGUUGCCAGCAGGGCCAUAAAAAACUAGGUAUGACACUAGAAUUUGUGCAAUGGAAGGCAAAAAAUGGUGUGUCCGAUAAGGCAUUUCAGGGGAUGUUGAACAUUGUCAAGAACAUUCUUCCCGAGAAUAAUGAAUUACCGUCCACAACAUAUAAAGCUAAAUAGAUUAUUUGCCCUCUCGGAUUGGAUGUUCAGAAGAUACACGCAUGCCCUAAUGACUGUAUCCUCUAUCGUGGUGAUGAAUACGAGAAAUUGGAUGCUUAUCCCGUAUGCGAAGUACUGCGGUAUAAGAUCAGGCGAGAUGGUCCUGGUGAUGUCGAGGGGCAGUCUCCCAAGAAGAGAGUUCCCUUGAAGGUGAUGUGGUAUUUCCCUAUAAUACCACGCUUGAAGCGCUUGUUCAGGAACAAGACGAAUGCUAAGUUGAUGCGGUGGCACAAAGAAGAACGUAUGGAAGAUGAGAUGCUGAGACACCCCGCAGAUGGGGCCCAGUGGAGAUCAAUUGAUAGAGCAUUCCUGGACUUUGAAAGUGAAGCAAGGAACAUAAGGUUUGGUUUAAGUACUGAUGGAUUCAAUCCAUUCGGUGAGUUGAGUAGUGGCCAUAGUACUUGGCCUGUGACCCUAUGUAUGUUCAACCUUCCUCCUUGGCUGUGCAUGAAGUGAAAGUUCAUUAUGAUGCCGGUGCUUAUCUAAGGCCCAAAACAACCCGGCAACGACAUUGACGUGUACCUAAGACCGUUGGUUGAUGACCUUUUACAGCUCUGGAAGGAAGAAGGUGUAUGUGUGUGGGAUGAGGAUAGACAAGAGAUCUUUAAUCUACGAGCAUUGUUGUUCGUAACCAUCAAUGAUUGGCCUGCACUGAGUAACCUUUCGGCAUAGACAAAUAAGGGAUAUCGGGCAUGCACCCACUGUUUAGACGACACAGACAGCAUGUAUUUGAAGCACUGUACGAAGGUCGUCUAUAUGGGUCAUCGUCGAUUUCUCCCUGCUCACCAGCAGCUAAGAAAGAGCGGGAUGCAUUUCAAAGGGACGCCAGACCAUCGUAAAAAACCUGCACACCGUAAUGGAAAGCAUGUCUUCGAGAUGAUGAAGGAUGUAAAUGUAGUCUUUGGAAAGGGUGUUGGUAGCCAACCUGUUCCGAACGAUGAUAACGGACAUGCACCCAUGUGGAAGAAAAAGUCAAUAUUUUGGGAGCUACCUUAUUGGAAAAUCCUAGAGGUUCGCAAUGCAAUAGACGUGAUGCACCUGACGAAAAAUCUUUGCGUGAACGUGCUAGGCUUCAUGGGUGUUUAUGAGACCUUGAAAGAUACAUUGGAAGCACGACAGGACCUGAAAGCCAUGGGGCAAUGAGAUGACCUACAUCCGAAAAAGCAAGAUAAUGGACAGCACUACUUACGUCCUACCAGUUACACUCUCAGCAAGGAAGAGAAGGAUAACAUGUUUGAAUGCUUAAAUAGUAUAAAGGUCCCGUCUGGGUACUCCUCGAAUAUAAAGGGAAUAAUAAAUAUGAAACAAAAGAAGUUUACAAAUCUCAAGGCCCAUGACUGCCACAUGUAGAUGACCCAGUUGCUUCCGGUUGCACUGAGGCGUGUUCUACCAGAAAAUGUCCGGUUGCCACUCGUAAAGCUAUGCGCGUUUCUCAAUGCGAUUUCGCAGAAGGCAAUCGAUCCAUCCAAGCUAUCAAAGCUACAGAACGAUGUGGUGCAAUGUUUUGUCAGUUUUGAGUUGUUAUUUCCACCAUCCUUCUUCAAUAUUAUGACACACUUACUGGUUCACCUAGUAAAAGAGAUUGGUAUUCUCGGACCUGUAUACCUGCACAAUAUGUGGCCUUUCGAGAGGUUUAUGGCAGUCCUAAAAAACUAUGUUCUUAAUCAUGUCUGUCCAGAAGGAAGCAUCGCCAAGGGAUAUGGAACUGAGGAGGUGAUUGAGUUUUGUGUUGAUUUUAUUGAUUCAAUUGACUCGAUUGGGGUUCCAACUUCACACCAUGAGGGAGGCUCCGAGGAAUGGGCACCCUUGGAAGGAAAUCAAGUUGGAGCAAUGAUACUGAUUUGUUCGACAAGGCACGCUACACUGUUCUACAACAGUCAUCUUUUUGUCCGGGUUGGUGGUGGCACCCGGGAUACAAUGGUAGGCUUCCAUUCCCGCCUAGUGGACGUACCCUUUUGUCCCGGGUCCCAUCACCAACCGGGAUAAAAGGGGGGGCCGUUUAUCCCGGUUGGUAAUGGGACCUGGGACAAAAGGUCCUUUAGUCCCGGGUGCCAUUACGAACCAGGAUAAAGGGGGGGAUAAAAGGCACUGUAGCCUCUUUUACCCCUCACGUCAGUUACACUUAGCCAAAAUUUUACUAAGAUCCCGCGCUCUGCUCCGUCGCCGCCCAUCCGCCUCCCUCGCCGGCCGCCGUCGUCGUCGUCCCCCAUUGCCCUGGCUAUCGUCGUCUCGCUGCCCAACCGCCUCGCCUGCGCCCAGAUAGCCUCCUCCUCCAUCGUCCCGGCCCACCUCGAUCCUCCUCCGUCGCGCCCCCUCGACCUCGUCGCCGCCGGCCGCCUCCAUCGUGGGGAGUCGUCACCGCCUCCGUCCUCGUCGCCGCCUCCGUCGCGCGCGCUGCCUCGUCGCCCCUCGUCGCCGGCCGCCUCCGCCCGGUCACCGCCUCCGUCCUCGUCGCCGCCUCCGUCGCGCGCGCCGCCUCGUCGCCCCUCGUCGCCGGCCGCCUCCGCCCGGUGUUUGCUUUGCUCCGUCCUCGCCUCCGCCGUCCCGCCACCCUAGCCACCUCGUCGCCCCGGCCACCGUCGACCGCGCGAGGUCCGCCGGCACUGCGCCGGGAGUACCGCUCUUGCUGACGCAAGCUCACCGGCUUGCGUCAGCAAGGGCCUUUAUUUUAGUUAGAAAAUAAAUAGAAAUGAGUAGUAAUUAGUUAGAAAAUGAAAACAUAUUUGUAUAUGUGUUAGAAAAUCAAAUUACUGGAAAUUAGUAGUAAUUAGUUAGUCGCUCCGCCUAGGUUAGAAAUUAAUCGUGUUUCGUCGUGGUUCAAUCCUUUGCGUAGGAUACGGUGGCUAAUUCCAGAGACGUCCAUCCUCGCCUCCACCUAGGUUAGAAAUUAAUCAUUGCCGCAGCCACCUCACUCCAUCCCCGCCUCCGCCGUCCCGCUGCCCCGGCCGCCGCCGUCCCAACCUAGGCACCGUCGACCGCGCGAGGUCCGCCGGCACUGGCGCCGGGAAUGAAUUAGUUAUAAAAUCAAUAGAUAUUUGUAUAUUAGUUAGAAAAUUAAAUCAGUAGGAAUUAGUAGUAAUUAGUAGUAAUUUGCUAGAAAUUCCAAAAAAUAUGUACAAAUUAGUAGAAAUUUGGUAGAAAUUUGUACAAAGUACUACUAAUUUGUUGAAAUUUGUAUAAACAUUCCGGGCUUUCUGGGAUUCAUGUUAUUGUAAAAUUAGUAGUAAUUUGCUAAAAAUUCCAAUAAAUAUGUAUAAAUUAGUAGAAAUUUAAUAGAAAUUCGUACAAAGUACUACUAAUUUGUUGAAAUUUGUAUAAACAUUCCGGACUUUGUGGGAUUCAUGUUCUUUUAUGAUUUCAUGUAUAUACCCUUAUGUACAUAUAACUAAGGCAAUUUCUAUGACUAUCAUGUAUGAUUCCAUGUAUGUUUCAAUCAAUAGUUGAAAUGGCAGACGACGAGACCACAAGGUAUCUCAUGGAGCAGAUAAUCACUGGUGAUGGUAGUGGCGACAACCUUCCACUAUAGUACACCGAUGAAGAGGGCACCCAGGUGGACAUGUUCCUCAACAUGUCCGCUGAUGGGAAUGAAGAGCAUGAGGCCCAGCAACACCUUGCUGUGGCGGAAGGUUCCAGCGAGGUAUAUAUAACGAAUCUUGUAUUGUUUCACGCCACCGUUACUACUACGUACUAAUUAACGAAUCUUGAACUGUUAGCCCUCUGGAUCGACGCAAGGGCAGAAGACCCGAGGUCGUACAAAGAUGAUGGAACGGAGGCUUGUCAUCAUGGAAGUGACAGAAGAGGGCAGGCCGGUUGCUCCCGAGAAAGUAGCAAAGAAGUGCAUGAGUCAGAUCGGGGCAAUCGUCCGGGACAACGUGCCUAUCAGCAUCAGAGAAUGGAAGAGCAGAAGCACUAAUCCGUACGCCCUCCUAGAGGUAGAAAAGAAUAUGUUGUGGAAAGAUGUCAAGAGACAUUUCACAUUCCCCGAAGGAUAUAUUGACAAGGAUGUGAAAGUUUGGAUGCUGAAGAAGAUGGCUACACAAUUCCAGACAUUCAAGAAGAUGCUGGAUGCCCACUACAUAAAGAAGGGCCGAACUCCAGACUUCAACACAUGGCCAAAGUUGAGGGACCACUGGGAAGCAUUUGUUGAAUAUAAGAGGAGUGAAGACGGUGUGAAAAAGAUCCUGACCAACACUACAAAAGCUAGUCAGAAGGGCUACCAUCAUCAUCUGGGGUGAGGUGGUUAUGGCACAGCAAUUCCCAAAUGGAGGAAGAUGGAACAAGAUCUGAUCGAACGGGGAAUCGUACCUGCAACUAUCGAAUGGCUCGAACAAUCAAAAAAUUGGUAUUACGCUCAUGGAGGCUCCCUGAGCCAAGAGGAUGGGACGUUGAUUUUCAAUGACACAAUACGUGAGAAGGCCGAACGUAUUAUGAAGAACAUUGAAGAUUCUAAGGCUGGGAGGUUGAAGGUGGACCGAGAGAAUGAUGAGCUCACAUUGGCCCUCGGUAAUCCCGAGCACCUGGGACGUUGCCGAGGGUUCGGAGUCAUUCCGUGGAAGUUUGCUUUCCGAGGCGACAGCGCAUCGUACAGAAACCGCAAGUGAAGAAAGGAACAGAUCGAGGAGAGUUGGCGGUAGAUGCUAGAAUCCAAAGUGCAGGCACAAGAACAAAGAAUGUUGGAGGAAAUCCGUCGAGUGGCCCACGCAGUUGUGGAGUUGACCCAAUCUGGAGCAUUGCGGAAUCCAAACUACACCAGCCCUUCUCAACGUCUCUUGAGCAGUUGUGCUUCUACAGGGGUCCCUGAUGCGCAGACGCCCAGGUUACUCGUGGAGGAGCAACGGUUCCCCGUGGAUGCCAUCACGCAACACACCACAUGUGAGCUGCAUGCACCGGUCGGCAACCUCACUAUUAAGGUAUACUUAUACAUAAUAUUUAUGCAAUCUUGUCAAUUGAUCCACGCCUCGUGAUCGGAGUUUAAUAACUUGUUUACUUCUGCUAUAUGUAUAGGUAGCGUAUAGGAGUGCGUUAGCAACCUUGGCAGGGUAGAGCAGUCAUGGCAUGGAGAUUCCACCUGGCUACGCCAGCGCCCGCGUAGAGCAAAUUGUUGAUAGCCAAUAUGAAGGCCUAGAGCUCGACCUCCCGGGAGGCGACGGGGAAAAGACACUGGCAGAUGCGCUUCAUGGGAUCAUUCUAUGGCGAAAAUGCUACAUCAUUAUUCCCAGCACGGAGCCAUCUCCUCAGAGCUCAAGACCGCUCCCCGUAGAUCCCCAGCAGCGACCUUCUCCUUAUAGCUCAAGACCGUCAUCUCCUACACAACCUGCUCUAGGAUCGUCGCUUCCUGCUAUAUCAAGGUCUCCAUCUCCACCACAUCCUGGUGGUGGGAGCAGCGACGACAAUAACAACACCCCUCCUCGAUCACCGUCGCCGGCACUAAGAGCCGCCCCCAUGAAGGAACCUACAGCACCACUAAAGAAGUCACGGGCACCGCCUCCCAAGCAAAGACAGAGAAAGACGAAAACAAAGGAGCCUGAAGUGACUCGUAAGGAACGCUGGGAGGCAAUGACUCAUGCAGAACAGUGGGCAGAAAUCCAACCAGAGGCCAGUGAGUGGUUCAAGAAACAAGCAGAAGAAAAAAAAGCAAGGGAGAUGGAGCCACCACCAGUAAAUCGAAGAGAUUUAAAAUUUUUUAUCAGGAUGGAAUAAGGAGCCAAGAAAAGGAUACCACUCUUAUCAAACUAUGAACGGGCUUUAGUAAAGGCUGAUGAAAAGGACAAAAGGAAAGGAAAGUCAUCUUCCAGUGGUGUUGUCCCCGACCUCAGCCAUUUAUCAAAAAAAGACACUCAAAAGGUAGCAGCAAUGCCCUUGCAUCAACAAGCAGAAGUAUUGAAAUUCAUGCAAGAAACAGGUCUGGAACUUGAUGAAUGCUUAGGGCAAGUUGAGAUGCCAACUGCACCACCCCCUGAGCCGAGAUGGCCUUAUGAGCUAGGCAAACCUCUUGUAAGGCCCAAUCUGGUACGAAGCUAUCAAUAAAGAUGUACGCAUUCCAUCAAUGGUACAUGAUGGCAUCCGCCGACUCAAGGGAGAUGCUCGGCCUGAAGAUAAAACCGAUAGAUUUUUACGACAAAGGCAAGAAAGUGCUGUGGCUAGACUUCAAGGAUAUAUACGAGGUGUACCAUCAUGAUGCCCUGGAUGUCUCUCUGAUCAGUGCUUGGGUUCUGUAAGUGUCCGUUUAUCUCUACAUGUAAAUUUUGGUGUGCGUCACCAUACUAACUUCAUCUUCCAUUUUAUGUAGGAUGAUAAUUCACACGUGCCGACGAGAGGCGUACCUACAUAUAGGCUUCAUGGAUCCAUCUGUAGUUAACCAACAACAGAUACAAUUAGUGCCGAAAAAAACCUUGGUAGAAGUAUACAAUUUCCUAGACAAACAAACAUUCAAGGAUUUCAUACUACUUCCAUACAACUUCAAGUAAGUGUGUGUAUACCGUCUACUUUUGUUGUCUUUUUCCUUAUCUCUACAUGUUAGUUAGCUCUAAUAUGCAUGAACAUUUUACGUACGCAGCUUCCACUGGAUCCUUAUUAUAAUUGAGCCUGAAAGAAGCCACGUCACUGUCUUCGAUUCGUUGAGGAAAGAUCCGGUGGAGUACCAAGACAUGCAAGACAUGCUAGGCUUGUAAUAAUUCUGGACCUUUAUCUCUAUACAAAAGUUUGUUUCCUAAAUUUUAUCCCUGUUACACUAUAUCAUUCAUUAUUCUAAUCCGCGACGUAUGGAAACAAUUCAUAAGGACACAUAAAGGUCCAUUCAAAGAAAAACUUACAUGGAACACAGACUUCCCGGUACGUAUGAAGUCUGCACAUUUAUUACAUUGUAACGAAUAUUUCAUAACUUAUUUUUUUCCGCACUGAAGUGCUUAAGACAGGAACCCGGGAAUAAUCUAUGUGACUACUACAUCUGUGAGCACAUGCACAGUUUUAUGGGACCCAAGGGACUAAAGAUGAUGCCGCACAACUUUAAAGUACGUAAAAUAAAACUAUUACUGGUUAAUUAUUUUUUUAGCUCCUUGUACUUAUUUGUUCGUGUAACAUUCACAAAUUUCCAAAUUAUAGAUAUUAAAUAUUCAACAAGGACUCUUGAAGGAAGAAAGAGUAGCGGCAAUAUGUGAAGGUCUCAUUGGAUUCCUAAUGGACGAGGUGGUAAAUCAAAAAGGAGAAUUUUAUUACACGCUCCGAUCAGCAACACCUCGAUGGGAAGAUUGUAGAUAUAUACUUUGAUUUAUUUGUAUAUAUAAUACGUGCUAAUUAUGAUUGAUUUGUACUAGUUGAAUUGUGUAUAUAUAUAGUAAUUGUAUAAUUACAAAUCUCAUUCGUUUAAAUACUAGUUGAUUUCAUUCUAAAAAAAAUCUCAACUACUAAAGGUUAACAAAAGGGCCGCGGUACUAUGUAUGUGAUGCAUGCAUGAAAAUUUCAGGCGCCAGGCAGGGUGCCAUGCAGGGCGCCAUUUAGUCCCGGUUGGAUUCCAACCGGGACUAAAGGGGCACCCUUUACUCCCGGUUGCUUUUACCAACCGGGACUAAAGGGGCACCCUUUACUCCCGGUUGCUUUUACCAACUGGGAGUAAAGGGCCAAUGGCAGGCCCUUUAGUCCCGGUUGGUGACACCCGGUUGAAAGACCCGGGACUAAAGACCCCCCCUUUUGUCCCGGUUGGUUUAUCCCGGAUGGAUUUUCGGGAGAUAGGCACCCUACCAACCGGGACUAAAGGCCGAUCUAUGUUCAUUUUCUUUUUGUAAAAGGGGGUUUGAACUUGGGAGUCUCACAGCAGUGCUUCCAAUGGUUGAAUUUAUGUAUAGGCCAUAUUUCCAUAAAGGUUUGUCCUCAUUAAUUUAUUGUAAAGCUAGCCAAAAAUCUGACAUGACACCUAAUUAUGUUACUACUCCAUUAGGAAUAGCCUUGUCACUCAGCAAUGAUAAGUGUAUCUCCGAGUAAUGAUAAGUGCUCGUAUUUUCGGCUAAUUUUUCUUAUAGUUAUCGGUGAUAGAUAGAUACUUGCAUUGUAUUGUUUUCCUUUAAAAGGGGAUAAACCUUGGUUUGCAUCUUGCCUUUAUUAUUAUAGGGAACCAAACCAAACUAAACUAAAAUAGUAGAUGUGUUCCUGUAUUCAAUAUAUUGGGAGUGUACACCCCAACCAUUAAACUUAUAUCGAGAAAUCAAUUGAUUUACAUUCAUUUUCCUCCUAAGUCCAUUGGAGUUCUCUUUUUGUCUCAAAGGGUACAUCUUUGGUUCAAAAAGCUAGAAAUAGCCUUCACCGCCGGGGCAUCACCGCUGGUUUUGCGUAGUCCAGCGGUGAUAGCACAUUACAGCCGGGCCAAACGGUAGUGCAGGUGUUAGAAACAAAAACUGACAGUGAUGUCCCCCUUCACCACAGGCUCAUGGUUCAAACCAGCAGUGAAUGUAUCACCGCUGGCUCAUAACAAGGGCCGACGAUGAUAGCCCCACACAGUACAAAAGCCCCUUCCCUCCCCUCCUCCUUCCAAUACCAAAUGCCCUCCUCUCCUUCCUCUAUUGUUGCGGCCAUAUUUCCUCCAAUUGCUCAAGAAAACUCCCAUUUUUGAAGGAUACAUGUUAACAUCUGAUUUUGAAGUUGGUAAAUAGCAAUCCUUUAAAUUCUUAGCUUGUUUCUUUGGCUAGUUUUUGAAAUUUGGCAUGAAUUUGAUGGAGAGGGUGUCUUGCUUCAUUUUAGAGCUCAUUUGUGGUGAAAUUUCAAUAGAGUGAGCCAAAAUUUGAAGGUUGCUCAUCACCAUCUUGCUUGAAGGUUAGUAUCUUGCUCAUCACUCCAUGUAUGUUUAGUUAGAUUGUUGCAAAAUUGAGGAAAUGUCAUGGAGAGGCUCUUUCUUGACUUUAGGCUAUUUUUGAGCAAUUUCUUGAUGGAUGUUCCAAAAAGUUUGAAGUUAUCACAAAACCUCGUAUGAUUUAAGGUUAGUAUGUAGCCUCUUUUGAAAUUGGUAGCUUGUAUGGUUUGCCUAGUUAGAUUGUUACAAAAUUGUGAAGAAUGUGAUGGAGAGGAUCUUUCUUGUCUCUACGCAAUUUUUGAGGAAUUUCUUCAUGGAUCUCACAAAAGUGUGAAGUUAGCAUAAAAACUCACAUAAUUUAAGGUGUGUAUGAAGCUUCUUUUGUAAUUAGUAGUUCGUAUGCUUUGCCUAGUUAGAUUGUUGCAAAAAUGAGAAGAUUGUGAUGGGGAGGCUCUUUCUUAUCUCUAGGCUAUUUUUGAGGAAUUUCGUCAUAGAUGCUAUAUAAGUGUGAAGUUAGCAUAAAAACUCACGUGAUUUAAGGUGUGUACGAAGCUUAUUUUGCCUAGUAGAGAAGGGGGGCAAACGCUUUUUCAUAUGAAGUCUGCUUGAGAAUCUUAACAGACAUGAACGGUGAGCACACUAGCUAUAUGUAUUGAAUAAACUCAAUAGAAGUACCCUACAAAAUGCCUUUUCUAACGCUGAUCUUUUAAGCAGCAAAACUCAUUUUAUCGGAUGUAUUAUUGACUGAUCAAGUGCAUGAUACAUAUAUAUGGAAACUCACAUGACUGACUGACCCAAAGUUGAGGCUAUAAAAGAACAUAUGUGCAACAUGUGACUGGCACAAGCACACAGGACCAUGGAAUCUGGAUCAAAGGGGAACGUGCACGGUGCAGACUCGACAUUAUAGAUGAUUAUUGACACUGGAGAGCCACAAUUAUUCGGACGAACAAACAUGAAAAAUGGCAGGCUUCACGGCAGCAGAACUCAGAUGUUCGUGCAAUUGCUGUUGCAGCCGUUGAUGCAAGGGUCCCAGCAAUGCUGGUAGACAUAGGACUGGCAGCUAGUAUAUCCACUGUCAGUGGCUUUGCGGCAGAUGCUGCUGCAGUAACUACUGCAGUCGGUGCCACGGCAGCCGCUGUUGCAGGAACCCAAGCACUGCUGAUACUUGGUGGUCCUGAUACUCUCGCAUGAGCUGCUAACUUGGGCAUUGCACGUCGAGGUACAUUGGGAGGCACAGUCACUGCAGUAUGUCGCCGUCAUCGGAGGCACCAACGUAGACAUCACCAGCACAACGCACACAACCACAACAGCAGGCCCUUUAAGAGCAGCAGCAGUGGGAGCCAUAUUGUAUAUAUGAGGCUGAUAGAGCAAAUAAUACUAAGUUGAAAGGAAGGUCGGUUGAGCAAGAGAAUAAAAGGCAAUACGCCGCUAGCUAUAGGAAGGGAGGAUGGGAGAGCAGCUUUAGGUGGUGACCUUAGGGUGGUUCAUUAGGUGCUUUUUAUAGGCAUCAAACACGAUCGAGGACCAUGUAUAGGAGCUACACCUAGGAAAGCUGUAAAUUGAAGCUGGUUACAAGUUGAGACUUUACAUGCUUAUACAUACGUAGCAAGUUGAGCUUCUUGCUUGGAAAAUUUGCACCAUGUUACAAGUUGACUUCAAAAGGAGUAUAUAUAUGAACAACUUUCCCAUUCAUCGCGUAUAUGUUAGGCUUUAUGGCUCUUGUAUACAUAGCAAUUUACAGAUGUGCAGUUUCCAUAAAGAUCAAUAGGGCACUGACUAAUAUUUUGGAAAUCAUAGACAAGUAGUAGGCCCAGGAAAAGAACAUUUAAUUACUUGAAUUGCUUAAUAACUUUUAUAAUAUUAUGGUAUGUUAGCUAAUUAGAAUAACUAACUGAAUGCAGAAGGUGACAUACACUCAGUUUCACUGGCAUGCAGUCGUAUAGUGACAUUUUGGAAGCUUGGGAUAUGUAGAUGUGUACCACAAUCCAGGAUAUUGCAGUGCACAUGCAGUAGGAUCCAUCUUAUCUGUAAAUUGCUUUUCACUUGCGUACAAUUUGCUUUCAUCUUUUUAUUUAAAACGUGUUUCAUCUAACCUUUAAGACCAUAGCUCUCAUGCUACAUUGAUUAACCCAAGAAAAACCUCUAAAUAUGUUGCCUAUGCAUUAAUUAAUGCGGACAGCCAUGUAUAGAAAAACCAUCCAUCGAUAUGAAAGGUAAGGAAACUCCAGCCAAAUGGGUGGGAAUAUAAUGAUAGCUAGCUCACCCUUCGUUACAGAUCAUUGGAAAACUUCUUCAGUCCCAAUACCGCUACCCGACUCUCUAGGACAGCAGUUGCAGUGGUCACUCCAUGUCUGUCAAAUGGUUCAACGAAAAUAAUUCCAGAAACUGAAAUUUUAGAAUCUCUUAAAUUUGCUCUGAUCCUUUAUCGAUCAAAUGAAGUUUCACAAAAGCUGGUGACAAAUAUGAUCUUGAUAGAGUAACAUACGUGUUGUGCAAUUAUAAACAAGUACAAGAAGCCCAUCCUACUCCAUAUUGGCCUAGUUUAUUUAGACUAGUUUACAGAUAUGAUACUACUUCACGCCGCCUUUGCUGACCUGCAGAUAAGAAAAUUGAGACUGAAGAAAUGAACCAACCUUGCUUCAAGGGUUAUGUUGGCUGUAUGUACACGAGAACUAUAGAAGGUAUAGCACGGAGAAGCUGAUGAGACAGCAAAGAACUGAUCCAAAAUGCAGCACACCUUAAUGUUCUCAUGACAAAUAUAGCACUGCACUCUCACCGCCACGGUGGUGCACAGUGCAAAUGAACAAGCUGCCUAUUUAGUUACCAAAUGAAUAAUGCAAUAUAUGUAUUUUCAACCACAUCAAAUAUUUAGUUAUCUCUAACUUUACUAUACAUGUAGAUGGGUAGUUGACAUGAACUUUGACCAAGUUAUAGGUUGACUUGAAGAGUAGUAGUCAACUUGUCCUCCACUUCACAAGUAUGCCUAUUGAGUGAAUUUCAGUUCGAUAUGAUGGCACUAGCGAUGCAAAUAAAUAGGAAUACUAUUUCAUAAUAACCCAUUGGGACAGCUCAUGAACCCAUUGAGGAAAAUAUUUGCUACUGGUCUCUGAAUUCUUACUGAUGUUCUUGAAAGAAAAGGAGGAAACGUGGUUGCCUAUCUUGGCUCACCACAAGUGCAUGUUUAUAUAGGAGCAACUGCUCAAGAGAUAUACAAGGUAUUGUCAUCGUAUGGAACUCGGAUACCUUUUACAAAAGACUUAUCUCUAAUCUAUCUCUAAGUAUCCGAAUCAACUAAGCAUGUCAGAGUUUGAUCUGUUUACACAAGAUAUUCUAUUCUAACAUCCUCCCUCAAUCUAAACUCCUUUUGCGCUUGAGAUUUAGAUUGCUCUUGAAUUCUUGAAGUUUUCCAACUGGCAAAGCUUUAGUGAAACCAUCAGCAAUCUGGUCAUUAGUAGAAAUAAACCUGACCUGCAAUUGCUUCUUUAUUACUCGUUCUCUCACAAAAUGAAAAUCAAUUUCUAUAUGCUUCGUUCUAGCAUGGAACACUGGAUUUGCAGAUAAGUAGGUUGCUCCCAAAUUAUCACACCAUAAGACAGGUGGUUGCGCCAACUUGAUUCCAAGUUCACCGAGCAAAGACUCCAUCCAGAUUAAUUCAGCCGUGGCAUUGGCCAUGGAUUUGUACUCUGCCUCAGUACUCGAUCUUGAAACAGUAGGUUGCUUUCGAGCACUCCAAGAUAUGAGAUUAGAACCCAAAAAUACUGCAAAGCCACCAGUAGACCUUCUAUCAUCAACACUACCAGCCCAAUCCGCAUCAGAGAAAGCACUCAAGACCAAUGACGCAGAUUUUUCAAUGUUCAAACCAAUGUCCAUAGUAUUACGAACAUACCGGAGGAUCCUUUUAACAGCUGUCCAGUGAACGCUAGUAGGUGCAUGCAAAAAUUGACAUACCUUAUUAACCGAAAAAGCCAAGUCAGGUCCAGUAAGUGUGAGAUACUGCAAUGCUCCAACUACGCUCCUGUAUCGUGUGCUAUCUUCAGUAUUUAACAAUUCUCCUUCAUAGCUUGAAAGCUUUUCUGAAACUGAUAAUGGUGUGGGCGCCACCUUGCAGUUCAUCAUACCCACUCUAGUCAAGAUUUCUUGGGCAUAUUUUUCUUGAGACAACAACAAACCGUGACUAUCUCGUUUCACUUCUAUUCCCAAAAAGUAAUGCAAAUCUCCAAGGUCUUUUAACGCAAAGUCCUUCUUUAAAUCAAGUAAUAAUGCUGCCAUGGCUUCGUCAGAUGAACUAGUAACAAUAAUGUCAUCCACAUAUAUAAGCAUAUAAAUAGUGAUUCCAGACUUCUGAUAAAUAAAUAAAGAAGUGUCUGAUUUUGAAGCUCUAAAGCCGAGAUGAAUUAACUGAGAGCUGAGUCUAGAGUACCAGGCCCUUGGCGCUUGCUUCAAACCAUAUAUAGCUUUAUCAAGCUUGCAUACCAAGUGAGGAUCAUGAGCACUCUCAAAACCUGGAGGCUGCUUCAUAUAGACCUCCUCUUCCAGAACGCCAUGUAUAAACGCAUUCUGAACAUCCAAUUGCUUUAAACACCAAUUCCUGGACAUGGCAAUGGAUAGAACAAGUCGCACUGUAGCAAUUUUGACAACUGGACUAAACGUAUCUUCAUAAUCAAUGCCAUAGCGUUGUUUGAAUCCUUUUGCCACCAACUGUGCUUUAUAUCUAUCAAUUGUUCCAUCUGCCUUCCUUUUAAUUUUGUAAACCCACUUACAAUCGAUUAGAUUGCUUCCUUGCUUUGCUUCAACAAGAUGCCAAGUCUGAUUUCUCAUUAACGCUGAAUACUCCUCUUGCAUUGCCUUUUUCCACUUGGGAUCACAUAAAGCUUCUUGCAAAUUUUCUGGUUCACCAGUAGCACAGAAAUUAAGCCAUCUAAUUGUUCCAUCAGUGAAAGACUUGGGUUUCACAAUGCCAUGUUGGAACAGUGUGCGCCGGCGCGGAGCAGAAGCUUCAGCUGGCGCGGCCAGAGACAACUGCACGGAAGAUUCAGGGACUCCAGGCGCUGAUGCGUGAGACUGUGAUGCUGACACGGACGGGUGAGACGUGGGCGCUGCUGCUGACGCGUGAGGCUCUGGUGCGGACGCUGCUGGCGAAGAUGGACUGGUGCAUACAGACACUAAGUUGGGUGCAGUUGCGGACGCAGGAGCUGCCCCCCCACAGACCUUGCUGCCAUUGGCUGGAGCCGUAGGACACGUCGUGACGCCUGGGACUUCAUGCGCCUGGGAGUUGUGGCCGUCCAAGCCAUGCACCGUACCAGCCUGGGAGGUGUGUCCGUCCAAGGUUCCUGUUGGAUGUACUGUUUCUUCACAAUUAGCGUCAAAAGCUAAUGGGGGUAUUGUUUCAGAAGUUGUUGGGGGUACUGUUUCUUCACCGUUUUGCACCACAUUUUCUGGACCUGUGUCUUACUCAUGAUCAAAAUCAUCACUAGAGAUAUUAGUAGCAUUAGUAAAACAACUUACACCCCCUGGAUUUAAGAGAUAACUAGGAAGAAGCACAAUUUCUUUGCGAAGCUGCGCCCCGGCAUUUGGAUGAAGCUGGGCAAACGGAAAGACGUCCUCAUCGAAAACCACAUCCCUAGAGAUGUAUAUCCGACCAGAAGACACAUCGAGGCACUUGAACCCCUUAUGUAUGAAGCUGUAACCCAGGAAAACACAUCGUAUAGAUCGGAAAGCUAAUUUGUGGCGAUUGUAGGGGCGAAGAUUUGGCCAGCAGGCGCAGCCAAAAGUCUGAAGGGAUGUGUAGGAAGGUUUCUCUUGAAGAAGACGCUCAUGAGGUGUUUGGAAACUAAUGACUUUGCUAGGGAGUAGAUUUAUGAGAUACGUGGCAGUUAGGAAAGCAUUAUCCCAAUAUUUCAAUGGCAUAGAUGCAUUAGCAAGAAGAGCAAGACCAACCUCAACUAUGUGACGAUGCUUUCUUUCAGCGGUACCGUUUUGUUGGUGUGCAUGGGGACAAGAAACUUGAUGAGAAAUACCAAUGCGUUGGAAGAAAGAAUUUAAUUUUUCAUAUUCUCCCCCCCAAUCUGAUUGCAUGGCUUUAAUUUUUCUACUGAAUUUCCUCUCAACAAGCUGUUGAAAAUCCUGAAAGACUUGAAACACAUCAGAUUUUUUCUUGAUGAGAUAUAUCCAAGUAUAUUUGCUAAAAUCAUCGAUGAAACUAACGUAAUAUGUGUGCCGUCCUAUAGACAUGGGCGCCGGGCCCCACACGUCUGAAAAGAUCAAAUCAAGAGGAAAUUUGGAGGUACUGCUCGAAAUAGGGUGUGGCAAUUGAUGGCUCUUGGCCAAUUGACAAGAAUUACAGAUGGAAUAUGAAUUUUUAUUGCUAUCAAAAGGCAGAUUAUUUGAACUAAGAAUUUUUUCUACAAUCGAGAAUGCUGGAUGACCAAGCCGACUAUGCCAUCUAGAAGUGGAUGGCUUGCUAACUCCAAGGACUUGUUUAUUGCAACUUCCAUGGGACAGCCAUGACUGUAGAGGAUAGAGACCUCCCCGAUAUCUACCUUGAUGCAGAAUUUUCUUUGUUUCCUGAUCCUUAAUAAAAAAGAAAUUUGGAUGAAAUUCGAGAAAGGCAUCAUUAUCUUUAGCAAGUUUGUGGACGGAAACUAGACUUUUGCUGGCGCUAGGAACAUGAAGAAUAUUUUUAAGGUGUAGAUCUUUGCUAGGGGUAUGUAAAGUUGUAUGACCAAUGUUACUAAUUCUCAUACCUGAACCGUUUGCAGCAUGAACUUGAUCACGUCCAUUGUACUUGUCGUGGAUCGUCAUCUUCUCAAGUGCACCAGUAACAUGAUCAGAGGCUCCACUGUCGACAUACCAAUUUGUGUCGUAACCGUAACCAGUGGUAGCCACCCCCGCAAUUUUGUAGUCUUGCUGUUGUUCUUCAUCUUCAUCAUAUCUAUACCAACACCUUGAUGCUUCAUGUCCUCCCUUCUUGCAGAUCUGACAUACGAUCUUGGUGUUGUAGCUUCCUUGCUUUGGUGCGUUGCUUGGACCAUAAUUGCCACGAUUUUGAUUUCCACCGCGGCCUCUAUUGCUCCUACCUCGGCCACGGCCAGAACCACGACCGCGACCUCGCCCUCUCCCAGCCAUGUUAGCAGAUGACUGAUAUUGUCCACCUUCAUGAUACAUCUCCAGGCGCAUAUCAUAGGCUAAGAGCUGAGAGUAUAAUUCACUCAAAGAAACAGAUCCAACGCGACCAAGCAUAGAUGACACAAACGGAUUAUACUCAAAAUCAAGACCGUUUAGAAUAAAGUGAGCCAUCUCGUCGUCGUCGAUCACCUUGCCAACUGCAGCUAGCUCAUCCUUGAAAGCACACAUCUUGGUGUAGUAUUGUGACGAGGUCAUGUUGCCCUUCUUAGUUGUAGAGAGCAUCAUGCGUAGAUUGGAGAUUCUCGCCUUGGAGUGUGCCGAGAACAUAGCUUCAAGCGCCUCCCAUGCUUGUGCCGAGGUCGUCGCCGUUGCCACUGACGCCAACGCCUCCUUCGUAAGGGAAUUCAGCAGAUAGCUCAGAAUUUGUUGAUCUUUUGCAACCCACAAAUCAUAGUCGGGGUUGUGGACACUCUCCUUCGUCUUGUCCGCCGUAAUCACCUCCACGGUCUUGGGUGGCUCAGGAAUAGAUCCAUCUAGGAUUCCCAUGAGUUGAGCUCCUCGAAUUGCAGGAAGAAAUUGAGCCUUCCAUAGCAGGUAGUUGUCACGAGUUAGUUUCUCUGUGACAACUCUUGGCGCCGGCAUAGCUGUUGAUGUUGACGCCAUGGAUGAUGUUGAGAUGUUUCUGGCGCAGGGGGCAGAUUGCUAGUGCAAGCAGCAAGUUAACUGGCGCAAGCAGUAGGCAAGCAGCAGCAGGUUACUGACGCAGGGGAUCUAGCACAGGGGCAGAUUGACGCACGAAGCAGCUUGGCGCAGGAAUUUUGAGGCAAGGAUUUUGUGGAUGUUUAGGAAGAGGAUGCUCUGAUACCAUGAAAGAAAAGGAGGAAACGUGGUUGCCUAUCUUGGCUCACCACGGGUGCAUGUUUAUAUAGGAGCAACUGCUCAAGAGAUAUACAAGGUAUUGUCAUCGUAUGGAACUCGGAUACCUUUUACAAAAGACUUAUCUCUAAUCUAUCUCUAAGUAUCCGAAUCAACUAAGCAUGUCAGAGUUUGAUCUGUUUACACAAGAUAUUCUAUUCUAACAGUUCUUCCUUGCUCCGAACAUCUCAAUGAUCAGCAUUCCGCAACUAUAGACAUCAGACUUGGUAUAUAUUGAGUAACGUAGCUGAUGGCUCUGCUUUCACCAUCAGAUAUAUAAUGCUCUGUUUUAUCAUUCAAAAUUUUGCCAUCCAAAACCUGAGAUUUUUGGCAGAAAUCUUGGUCCAAAGUUCACCUGGUGUCGCAUUAUGGUAAGUUGAAGUAACACAUUAAGUGCAUGCCCAUUGGUUUCCUACAAUCACGAAAUCAGAGAUGUUGCAUGGGCUUUUUCAAUGUUGCAAAAAACUUCUUUUCUGAUGCAACCUUUUUUUAGUGCCGAAUUACUAUAUGGAAGAUGUUACUUUAUGAUUUUUUUAAUGUUGCAACAUGACAUUUUGAGUGUUGCAACACUCUCCUUUAGCUAUAGCAAGAUUAUGGCUGGAUGUUUCUUGAAACAUGAUGCAUUGUUGCAGAGGAAAUUUUCUAUUCUAGAACCGAAUGACAAAAGGUCAUUUUAAUGAAGGAUUUUAAUAUAUUUUUGUGAGUGUUAAUUUCCGAUGUUGUAACUAUUACUUUUCCAGGUCGUGAUAGGCGAUUGUUGCCUUCGCAUUUCGUGACAGGCUUGUUCAUUGAUUUUAUUCUAGCACAAGUUUGUUAGCAUUCAAGCAUUUCAGUGUUCUCUUCAAUUCCAUGAUCUGUUCUAUUUAUGAGACUUGUUGGAACCCCAAUUAACCCAAGUGUGUGUAAGUAAAUUUUACAGUAUGUGUACAUCUCUAUUUGGUUUAUUGUGUACAAGUAAUUAUGUAUGUCAACUCUCAUCUUAUACCACGGUUGAUAAUGAUAAGCUUUGUACUUAUGUCAAUUUGUAUGUGAGGGUGGUGAAAGACAGUAAUUUAUACACUCAUCACACAUGAAGUCAUUGUCAGUUUGUCCUUAAGUCAACUGGUGCAUGAGGAAUCGAGUUAGAGACUAGAACUGCACACACAUAUAGUACACCCUUCUUGUCAUCAACUUGUAUCACAAUACAAGUUACUUGUAUGUGAAUUGUCAACAUGUAAGAUGGUCAAAUUUCCAUAUAUAGAUUCCGCCAUCUACACUAUUAAUAAUUAAUUCAAUUCGCUCAGUUUCCCUGUAGCAAUAGACGUCGUUCAUUGAUAUCCUUCCAUCACAAGUUUGUCAGCAUUCAAGCAAUUCAGUUUUUCCAUGAAUUCCAUCAGCUGUUCUAUGAGCACUUGUUUUUGCACCCAAAUGAACUCAAGAUUGUCCGAGUAAAUUUUACUUUAAGUGUACAUCUUUGUGGUUUACUGCAUACAAGUACUUAUGUAUGUCAACUCUCAUAAUGCACCUUGGUUGAUCAUGAUAAUCUUGUACUUAUGUCAACUUGUACGUUUCGUGAGGAAUGGAGCAAGAGACUAGCUAGUAUUGUACACUCAUCUUGCCAUCAACAACUUGUCAACUUGUAACAUGGUCAAUACAAGUUACAUGUAUGCCAUUUCUCAACUUGUAACAUGGUCAAAUUUUCAUAUUUAGGUGCCACUAUCUACAUUAUUAAUAAGUAGUCAUAGAUUGCUAUACAGAUCUUUUAUUUGGUCUACAAGUACAUGCCUAUAAAUUGGAUCGAGUGCUCCAUCAAACAUGCACAGUUAACCAGCUUCUUCCCAUUUCCCAAGCUAGUAGCUAACUUUUUCUUCCAUAAUCCACGAGAACUGCAUACAAUGGCCGUAGUUACUGUCACUCGUAAGGAGACCACAAUUGUCGCCAUGAGCAUUGUGUUGAUUCUGUGUUGGUUAGGGCAGUCGGCGACUGCGACAUAUUGCAGUGAUUACUGUGCCUCCAUGUGCAUGUCGGUGUGCAACGAUGCCGCUUCCAGCUCUUGCGGUAACGUUAAGAACACAGUUAUGCAACAGUGUGUGCCCUCCUGCUCCAGCAGCUGCAGCAGAUCCUGCAGCGCAUGCAACUGUUUGGGUACAUGCACCGGCAUCUGCAGUAACGCAGCCGAUAGUGCAUACGGCAAUUGCCGGUCCUCAGUCCUCCAGCAGUGCUCCAACGGCUGCAACAGCGGCUGCAACAGCAACUGCAGGAACUAGCCCCCUCGUGGCCCCAUGAGCCGCGCCUCGCGUGCUUUAACGGAUGAAUCGUCGGCAUGCGUUGAUUAUUGUGUUUAUUUGUGUUUGUAUCGUCAAAAUAUAUACAGUUGUGUUACCGUUCAAGUGUGUGAAAAUGUGUAAGAAUGGCGUGUCAAGUCUACAAGUUGUUGUCCAUGUUAGUUUGCAUGGUCCGGUAAUCAGUUGUACUGUGUUGAGUCAAUAAACAUGUCAGUGAAAACAACUGGAUGGAGCUGCCUUCUCAGCCACGUGACAAAACUUUUCGUGUAUUCUUCUUCCAGUAAUACAACCUUAGAAGGCUUAUAGAGUGUGUUCUUUCCUUCCUCUUCGAUCUGGUAAAUAUUACCCAUUUCCAUUUCCUACUGUCGUAGUUUUUCAACCAGUGAUUUUCAUUCUCAAAGUGUAGAAAUGGGAUUCUAGGAGCGCCAACCAGUACUAGAGAAAAAGCCAUCACUGCCAGUUUUCGAUGAACCGGCGGUGAUGAGUUAUCACCGUCGGAUUUUUACACAAUCUGACGGUGAAAAUUGGAACCGGCAGUGAUGAUAUACCAUCAUCGCCGAUUUGUAUUACAGCCGGCGCUGAUAGCUUGGGGACCGAACCCAAAAUUUUUAUACACUGGAUUUUGAGGUCCACUAGUGUUCGCUCAUCUCCGUCACCCGGCCACCUCUAUCUCUUAUCCUCCUCCCUCCUCCCUCUACCAGCCACAGCCGGUUCCAGGAGGUGUCAGUGGGGAUUUGUUUUUUAAAUGGCAUCACAGCCGGUUCUAGUCCAACGGUGAUGGGUCACCACUGACCUUUAUCUGAAAAACCUAGAACCGACUGUGAUGGAGGUCAGCUAGGUCCGACGGUGAUGGGUCACCACUGACCUUUAUCUGACGAACCUAGAACCGACUGUAAUGGGGGUCUAGGCUGGCUGUGAUGGGUAGUAGUGAAACGAUUUUGUGACUAGGACUGACAUAGCUGUUAAUGUUAAACGUUGAUGAGAACAACAGCCCAUGGUUUGUCUAUGAGACAAAAAGAAGUAUAUAUUAGGGAUGGUCACCUCACAAUUCUGUUUCUGAAAAAUUUGUGUGAGACCUGGUCCUACCUGUGUCAUUAGCCAUAUAGACUGUCACAAAUAAAAUUUUAAGCUCCAAUUUUAAUAAAAUUAUGAGCUUCAAAUAAGUUAUUUGUAAAGAUAUACCCAUCAUGUACUCACAUGCAAAAGCCUAACUUGGAACACGUAGAACAUCCAGAAAAAAUUAGAAUGCAUUGCACUCCUGCAGCUUGUUCAAGCGAAAGCACAACACUUUUGUGGAUGAUGUACUUUUGUCCCCAAAAGUGUGCCUAGAGAUUCACUGCCUUUAUCUAGCAAACAACUAAGAACAAAAACCUGUACGUGACAUGAACCUAGUUAUAGCAGGAAUGAAAGGAAAUUGAGUAAAUAUAAUAAGCAUGUAUUCUACCUCCACUUUAAAUGUAGGGUGCGUGGUUUGAUCUGUUCCAGUAUGCAACGCCACAUUUUCACCAUUAAAGACCACUACUAUAGAAAUGAUUUUUCAAGACAUGGUACCACAACGAGCAUGUUUUUCUCUGUUUGGAAGUUCAUAGGUAAAUGGGAGCUUUAUUUUUCUUGAAACAAUCAGAACAGCGGCAGAUUAUAUUUUAUAUUAAAAAGAAGAUGAAAAUACAGAUUGGACGAUAAAAAAUACUAGGAAAAGUAACAACUUGACGACAUUAAGUAACUCACAACAACCCAACAGCAAGCAAUUCAACAAAACACGCGCCUCACUACUCCAACGCUCAGCCGCAGUAAACACCACAAAUCAAAAUAUCACCUUCCGAUGCUGCUUGAUUGUUCCAUCAACCGCUAGGUGGAAGCUCACGUGCCGAUUAAGGUUUGAUCUUGGAUGGUGUAGUACCAAAUGAACAUGGGGUAACCCCAUACAAUUGCUUGUCAUUGGGCUCCAGUUGGCUUCACGGAAUCUCCUCGGAGACAAUAGCUCUGACAAAAAAAAACUAUUUUCAAUGAACUUUCUCCUUCAAGGAAAACACAAUUUGCGUAGCGGUUAUUAGAUCUUUGAUAAAUUACCGUACCAUCGAGUAUCUUCUCGGAUUGGUCACAACUAGAGGACAAUCUCGUUGGUAAAAUGUGACGGAAUUUUAACAUCAGCUACUUUAUGACGCUUGGCUCUUGUGGUGGAAAUGAACGUAUACUUAUCUUUUGACUGCCUUAUAUAUGUUGUCUGCUGGAAUAAUAAUAGGCUAACCCUCCAAACAUAAUGCUAACGUUGCAUCGUCACGAAAAUUCGGGGCGGUGACCUUGCCCUUAGUGUUGUGUCCUCAUUGUCAUUUUUAUUCAGAGUUCUCCACAGCGAGUCGGCCGAGCAUAGCCACCACUGCAUCCUUCUCGCCACCUCGUUGGGUGCUGCUGGCAUAUGGUGGCCAUGCAUUUGCCUUAUUCAGGGAUGGCAGAGUGGAGGAGGUUGAGGCUGAUGGUCACCUCCAAGCACUUAUCCCCGAUGCUGGCCUCCUACUCCUCUUUUGGUGCGUGGAACUGCAGAUAUCGAUUGAAUCCGCGAUUCUCCACUAGUAGAGAAUUGGCCUUUAGUCCCGGUUGGUAAGGUGCAUAUCUCCCGAAAAUCCAUCUGGGAUAAACCAACCAGGAUAAAAGGGGGGGUCUUUAGUCCCAGGUCUUUCAACCGGGAGUAAAGGUCACCCUUUAGUCCCGGUUGGUGUCACCAACCGGGACUAAAGGGCCUGCCACGCCAAGCGCGGGACAGGCCCUUUACUCCCGGUUGGGAAACCCAACCGGGACUAAAGGCGCCCCUUUAGUCCCGGUUGGGUUUCCCAACCGGGAGUAAAGGGUUACCCUUUAGUCCCGGUUGGAUUCCAACCGGGACUAAAAUGGCGCCCUGCAUGGCACCUUCCUGGCGCCUGAAUUUUUCAUGCAUGCAUCACGUACGUAGUACCGCGGUCCUUUUGUUAAUCUUUAGUAGUUGAGAUUUUUUUUGAAUGAAAUCAACUAGUAUUUAAACGAAUGGGAUUUGUAAUUAUACAAUUACUAUAUAUAUACACAAUUCUUAUACGUAAUUGAUAUACACAAUUCAAAUAGUACAAAUCGAUCAUAAUUAGCGCGUAUUAUAUAUACAAAUAAAUCAAAGUAUAUAUCUACAAUCUUCCCGUCGAGGUGUUGCUGAUCGGAGUGUCUAAUUGUCGUCCAUCGUAAUAAAAUUCUCCUUUUGGAUCUACCACCUUGUCCAUUAGGAAUCCAAUGAGACCUUCACAUAUUGCCGCUACUCUUUCUUCCUUCAAGAGUCCUUGUUGAAUAUUUAACAUCUAUAAUUUGGAAAUUUGUGAAUGUUACGCGAACAAAUACAUAUAAGGAGCUAGAAAAUAAUUAAAUAGUAAUAGUUUUAUUUUAUGUACUUUAAAGUUGUGCGGCGUCAUCUUUAGUCCCUUGGGUCCCAUAAAACUGUGCAUGUGCUCACAGAUGUAGUAGCCACAUAGAUUAUUUCCGGGUUCCUGUCUUAAGCACUUCAGUGUGGAAAAAAAUAAGUUAUGAAAUAUUCGUGUUAUACAAUGUAAUAAAUGUGCAGACUUCAUACGUACCGGGAAGUCUGUGUUACAUGUAAGUUUUUCUUUGAAUGGACCUUUGUGUGUCCUUAUGAAUUGUUUCCAUACGCUGCGGAUUAGAAUAAUGAAUGAUAUAGUGUAACAGGGAUAAAAUUUAGGAAAUAAACUUUUGCAUAGAGAUAAAGGUCCAGAAUUAUUACAAGCCUAGCAUGUCUUGCAUUUCUUGGUACUCCACCAGAUCUUUCCUCAACGAAUCGAAGACAGUGACGUGGCUUCUUUCAGGCUCAAUUAUAAUAAGGAUCCAGUGGAAGCAGGCUCAAUUAUAAUAAGGAUCCAGUGGAAGCUGCGUGCGUAAAAUGUUCAUGCAUAUUAGAGCUAACUAACAUGUAGAGAUAAGGAAAAAGACAUCGAAAGUAGACGGUAUACACACACUUACUUGAAGUUGUAUGGAAGUAGUAUGAAAUCCUUGAAUCUUUGUUUGUCUAGGAAAUUUUAUACUUCCACCAAGGUUUUUUCCGGCGCUAAUUGUAUCGGUUGUUGGUUAACUACAGAUGGAUCCAUGAAUCCUAUAUGUAGGUACGCCUCUCGACGGCAUGUUUGAAUUAGCAUCCUACAUGAAAUGGAAGACGAAGUUAGUACGGUGACGCACGCCAAAAUUUACAUGUAGAGAUAAACGGACACUUACAGAACCCAAGCGCUGAUCAGAGAGACGUCCAGGGCAUCAUGAUGGUACACUUCGUAUAUAUCCUUGAAGUCUAGCCACAGCACUUUCUCGCCUUCGCCGUAAAAAUCUAUCGGUUUUACCUUCAGGCCGAGCAUCUCCCUCGAGUCGGCGAAUGCUAUCAUGUACCAUUGAUGGAAUGCGUACAUCUUUGUUGAUAGCUUCCGUACCAAUGAAGGCUUUACUAGAGGUUUGCCUAGCUCAUAAGGCCAUCUCGGCUCAGGAGGCGGUGUAGUUGGCGUCUCACCUUGCCCUAGGCAUUCAUCAAGUCCCAGACCUGUUUCUUCCAUGAACUUCAAUACUUCUGCUUGUUGAUCCAAGGGCAUUGCUUUUACCCUUCGAGCGUCUUUUUUUGAUAAAUGGCUGAGGUCGGUGGAAGAUGACUUUCCUUUCCUUUUAUCCUUUUCAUCAGCCUUUACUAAAGCCCGUUAGUUUGAUAAGAGUGGUAUCCUUUUCUUGGCUCCUUCUUCCAUCUUCAUAAAAAAGUUUAAAUCUCUUCAAUUUACUGACGGUGGCUCCAUCUCCCUUGCUUUUUUUUCUUCGGCUUGUUUCUUGAACCACUCACUGGCCUCUCGUUGGAUUUCUGCCCAUUGUUCCACAUGAGACAUUGCCUCCCAGCGUUCCUUACGAGUCACUUCAGGCUCCUUUGUUUUCUUCUUUCUCUGUCUUUGCUUGGGAGGCGGUGCUCGUGACUUCUUUAGUGGUGGUGCAGGUUCCUUCCUAGGGGCCACUCUUGGUGCCGGCAACGGUGAUCGGGGAGGGGUGUUGUUAUUGUUGUCGUCGCUCCCACCACCAGGAUGUGGUGGAGAUGGAGACCUUGAUAUAGAUGGAAGGGAUGGUCCUAGAGCAGGUUGUGCAGGAGAUGACGGUCUCGAGCUAUGAGGAGAAGGUCGCUGCUGGGGAUCUACGGGGAGCGGUCUUGAGCUUUGAGGAGAUGGCUCCGUGCCGGGAAUAAUGAUGUAGCGUUUUUGCCACAGAAUGAUCCCAUGAAGCGCAUCUGCCAGUGUCCUUUCACCGUCGCCUCCUGGGAGGUCGAGCUCUAGACCUUCAUAUUAGCUAUCAACUAUUUGCUCUACGCGGACGCUGGCGUAGCCAGGUGGAAUCUCCAUGCCAUGACUGCUCUGCCCCGCCAGGGUUGCUAACGCACUCCCGUACGCUACUUGUACAUAUAGCAGAAGUAAACAAGUUAAACUCCAAUCUCGAGGCGUGGAUCAAUUGACAAGAUUGCAUAAAUAUUAUGUAUAAGUAUACCUUAAUAGUGAGGUUGCCGACCGGUGCAUGCAGCUCACAUGUGGUGCGUUGCGUGAUGGCAUCCACGGGGAACCAUUGCUCCUCCACAGCUAACCUGGGCGUCUGCGCAUUGGGGACCCCUGUAGAAGCACAAUUGCUCAAGAGGCGUUGAGAAGGGCUGGCGUUGUUAGGAUUCGGCAAUGCUCCAGAUUGGGCCAACUCCGCAACUGCAUGGGCCACUCGACGAUUGAUUUCCUCCAUCAUUCUUUGUCCUUUCUUCGCUUCCGGCUUUUGUACGAGGCGCUGUCGCCUCGGAAAGAAAACUUCCACAGAAUGACCCCGAACCCUCGGCAACGUUCUGGGUGCUCCGGAUUACCGAGGGCCAAUGUGAGCUCAUCAUUUUCUCGGUCCACCUUCAACCUCCCAGCCUUAGAAUCUUCAAUGUUCUUCACAAGAUGUUCGGCCUUCUCACGUAUUGUGUCAUUGAAAAUCAACGUCACAUCCUCUUGGCUCAGGGAGCCUCCAUGAGCGUAGUACCAAUUUUUUGAUCGUUCGGGCCAUUCAGUAGUUGCAGGUACGAUUCCCCGUUUGAUCAGAUCUUGUUCCAUCUUCCUCUACUUGGGAAUUGCUGAGCCAUAACCACCUCACCCCAGAUGAUGAUGGUAGCCCUUCUGACUAGCAUUUGUUGUGUUGGUCAUGAUCUUUUUCACACCGUCUUCACUCCUCUUAUAUUCAACAAAUGCAUCCCAAUGGUCCCUCAACUUUGGCCACGCGUUGAAGUCUGGAGUUCAGCCUUUCUUAAUGUAGUGGGUAUCCAGCAUCUUCUUGAAUGUCUGGAAUUGUGUAGCCAUCUUCUUAAGCGUCCACGCUUUCACAUCCUUCUCAAUAUAUCCUUCAGGGAAUGUGAAAUGUGUCUUGACAUUUUCCCACAGCAUAUUCUUCUCUGUCUCCGGGAGGGCGUAUGGAUCAGUGCUUCUGCCCUUCCAUUCUCUGAUGCUGAUAGGCACGUUGUCCCAGAUGAUUGCCCCAAUCUGACUCACGUACUUCUUUGCUACUUUCUCGGGAGCAACCGACCUACCCUCUUCUGUCACUUCCGUGAUGAGAAGCCUCCCUUCCAUCACCUUUGUACGACCUCGGGUCUUCUGCCCUUGCGUCGAUCCAGAGGGCUAACAGUUCAAGAUUCGUUAAUUAGUACGUAGUAGUAACGGUGGCGUGAAACAAUACAAGAUUCGUUAUUAUACCUCGCUGGAACCUUCCGCCACGGCAAGGUGGAACUGGGCCUCUUGCUCUUCAUUCCCAUCGGCGGACAUGUUGAGGAACAUGUCCGCCUGGGUGCCCUCUUCAUCGGUGUACGAUAGUGGAAGGUUGUCGCCACUACCAUCACCAGCGAUUAUCUGCUCCAUGAGAUACCUUGAAGUCCCAUCGUCUGCCAUUUCAACUAUUGAUUAACAUACAUGGAAUCAUAUAUGACAUUCAUAGAAAUCGCCUUAGUUAUAUGUACAUAAGGGUAUAUACAUGAAAUCAUAAAAUAACAUGAAUCCCACAAAGUCCGAAAUAUUUAUACAAAUUUCUACAAAUUAGUAGUACUUUGUACGAAUUUCUAGCAAUAACAUGAAUUUGUACGAAUUUCUAGCAAUAACUUGAAAUUUGUACGAAUUUCUAGCAAUAACAUGAAUUUUGUACGAAUUUCUAGCAAUAACAUGAAUUUUGUACGAAUUUCUAACAAUAACAUGAAUUUUGUACGAAUUUCUAGCAAUAACAUGAAUUUGUACGAAUUUCGCGCGGUCGAUGGUGCCUAGGUUGGGACGGUGGAGGCCUGGGCGGCGGAACGGCGGAGGCGGGGACGGAGCGAGGUGGCCGCAACAACGAUUAAUUUCUACCAAAUUUCUACUAAUUUUUCCAUAUUUAUUGGAAUUUCUAGCAAUAACAUGAAUUAUGUACGAAUUUCUAGCAGUAACAUGAAUUUUGUACGAAUUUCUAGCAAUAACAUGAAUUUGUACAAAUUUCUAGCAAUAACUUGAAAUUUGUACGAAUUUCUAGCAAUAACAUGAAUUUUGUACGAAUUUCUAGCAAUAACAUGAAUUUUGUACGAAUUUCUAACAAUAACAUGAAUUUUGUACGAAUUUCUAGCAAUAACAUGAAUUUGUACGAAUUUCGCGCGGUCGACGGUGCCUAGGUUGGGACGGUGGAGGCCUGGGCGGCGGAACGGCGGAGGCGGGGACGGAGCGAGGUGGCCGCAACAACGAUUAAUUUCUACCAAAUUUCUACUAAUUUUUCCAUAUUUAUUGGAAUUUCUAGCAAUAACAUGAAUUAUGUACGAAUUUCUAGCAGUAACAUGAAUUUUGUAUGAAUUUCUAGCAAUAACAUGAAUUUUGUACGAAUUUCUAGCAAUAACAUGAAUUUUGUACGAAUUUCUAGCAAUAGCAUGAAUUUUGUACGAAUUUCUAACAAUACCAUGAAUUUUGUACGAAUUUCUAGCAAUAAAAUGAAUUUGUACAAAUUUCGCGCGGUCGACGGUGCCUUGGUUGGGACGGCGGAGGCCGGGGCGGCGGAACGGCGGAGGCGGGGACGAAGCGAGGUGGCCGCAGCAACAAUUAAUUUCUACUAAUUUUUCCAUAUUUAUUGGAAUUUCUAACAAUAACAUGAAUUCUGUACGAAUUUCUAGCAAUAACAUGAAUUUUGUACAAAUUUCUAGCAAUAACAUGAAUUUGUACAAAUUUCUAGCAAUAAAAUGAAUUUUGUACGAAUUUCUAGCAAUAACAUGAAUUUUGUACGAAUUUCUAGCAAUAACAUGAAUUUUGUACGAAUUUCUAACAAUAACAUGAAUUUUGUACGAAUUUCUAGCAAUAACAUGAAUUUGUACGAAUUUCGCGCGGUCGACGGUGCCUCGGGUUGGGACGGCAGAGGCCGGGGCAGUGGAACGGCGGAGGCGGGGACGGAGCGAGGUGGCCGCAACAAUGAUUAAUUUCUACCAAAUUUCUACUAAUUUGUCCAUAUUUAUUGGAAUUUCUAGCAAUAACAUGAAUUUUGUAUGAAUUUCUAGCAAUAACAUGAAUUUUGUACGAAUUUCUAGCAAUAACAUGAAUUCUGUAGGAAUUUCUAGCAAUAACAUGAAUUUUGUACGAAUUUCUAGCAAUAACAUGAAUUUGUACGAAUUUCUAGCAAUAACAUGAAUUUUGUGCGAAUUUCUAGCAAUAACAUGAAUUUUGUACGAAUUUCUAGCAAUAACAUGAAGUUGCGGCGGAGGCGGGACGGCGGAGGCGGGGACGGAACCACGAACGGUGCCUAGGUUGGGACGGCGGCGGUCAGGGCGGUGGGACGGCGGAGGUGGGACGGAACCACGACGAAACACGAUUCAUUUCUAACCUAGGCGGAGCGACGAACCUAAUUACUACUAAUUUACACUAAUUUGAUUUUCUAACACAUAUACAAAAAUCUAUUGAAUUUCUACCUAAUUACUACUCAUUUCUAUUUAUUUUCUAACUUAAAAAAAAGGCCCUUGCUGACGCCAGCUGGUGGCCUAGCGUCAGCAAGGCGGUACUCCCGGUGCCAGUGCCGGCGCGGCGAACCUCGCGCGCAGUCGACGGUGGCCGGGGCGGCGGGACGGCGGAGGCGACGACGGAGCGAAGGCACGCGGGACGGCGGGACGGCAGAGGCAGGACGGCGACGAGGGGUGACGAGGGGUGACGAGGCGGCGAUGAGGGGCGACGAGGCCUCGCGAUGGAGGUGGCCGGCGGCGACGAGGUAGGGGCCGGGCGCGAUGGAGGAGGAUCGAGGCGGGCUGGGGCGAUGAAGGAGGAGGCUGUCUGGGCGCGGUCAGGUGGCGGGACGACGACGGCUGGGGCAAUAGGGGACGACGACGGCGGCGGCCGGCGAGGGAGGCGGACGGGCGGCGACGGAGCAGAGCGCUCGCGGGAUCUUGGCGAAAAUUUGGCUAAGUGUAAAUGGCGUGGGGGUAGAAGGGGCUACAGUGCCUUUUAACCCCCCCCCCCUUAUCCCGGUUCGUAAUGGCACCCAAGACUAAAGGGCCUUUUGUCCCGGGUCCCAUCACCAACCGGGAUAACCUUUUAUCCCGGUUGGUGACGAGACCCGGGACAAAAGAGUGCAUCCGCCAGGUUGGGCUGGGAGCCUACCCCUUUAUCCCGGGUGCCACCACCAACCGGGAUAAAAGGGGGACGGCCUUUUAUCCUUCUGGACGGGCAUGAUUAAGAACAUAGUUUUUUAGAACUGCCAUGAACCUCUCGAAAGGCCACAUAUUGUGCAGGUAUACAGGUCCGAGAAUACCAAUCUCUUUUACUAGGUGAACCAGUAAGUGCGUCAUAAUAUUGAAAAAGGAUGGUGGAAAUAACAACUCAAAACUGACAAGACAUUGCACCACAUCGUUCUGUAGGUUUGAUUGCUUGGAUGGAUCAAUUGCCUUCUGCGAAAUCGCAUUGAGAAACGCGCAUAGCUUUACGAGCGGCAACUGGACAUUUUCUGGUAGAACACCCCUCACUGCAACCGGAAGCAACUGGGUCAUCAACAUGUGGCAGUCAUGGGCCUUGAGAUCUGUAAACUUCUUUUGUUUCAUAGUUAUUAUUCCCUUUAUAUUCGAGAAGUACCCAAACGGGACCUUCAUACUAUUCAAGCAUUCAAACAUGCUAUCCUUCUCUUCCUUGCUGAGAGUGUAACUGGCAAGACGUAAGUAGUGUUGUCCAUUAUCUCUCUUUUCUGGAUGUAGGUCAUCUCGUUGCCCCAUGGCUUUCAGGUCCUGUCGUGCUUCCAAUGUAUCUUUCGAGGUCCCAUAAACACCCAUGAAGCCUAGCACGUUCACGCAAAGAUUCUUCGUCAGGUGCAUCACGUCUAUUGCGUUGCGAACCUCUACGAUUUCCCAAUAAAGUAGCUCCCAAAAUAUUGACUUUUUCUUCCACAUGGGUGCAUGUCCGUUAUCGUCGUUCGGAACAGGUUGGCUACCAAGACCCUUUCCAAAGACUACAUUUACAUCCUUCAUCAUCUCGAAGACACGCUUUCCAUUACGGUGUGUAGGUUUUUUACGAUGGUCUGGCGCCCCUUUGAAAUGCAUCCCGCUCUUUCUCAGCUGGUGGUGAGCAGGGAGAAAUAGACGAUGACCCAUAUAGACAACCUUCUUACAAUGUUUCAAAUACAUGCUGUCUGUGUCGUCUAUAUAGUGGGUGCAUGCCCGAUAUCCCUUAUUUGUCUGUCCCGAAAGGUUACUCAGUGCAGGCCAAUCAUUGAUGGUUACGAACAACAAUGCUCGUAGAUUAAAGAUCUCAUGUCUAUCCUCAUUCCACACAUGUACACCUUCUUCCUUCCAGAGCUGUAAAAGGUCAUCAACCAACGGUCUUAGGUACACGUCAAUCUCGUUGCCGGGUUGUUUUGGGCCUUGGAUAAGCGCCGGCAUCAUAAUGAACUUCCGCUUCAUGCAUAGCAAAGGAGGAAGGUUGAACAUAUGUAGGGUCACAUGCCAAGUACUAUGGCCACUACUCAACUCACCGAAUGGAUUGAAUCCAUAAGUAUUUAAACCAAACCUUAUGUUCCUUGCUUCACUUUCAAAGUUCGAGAAUGCUCUAUCAAUUGAUCUCCACUGUGCCCCGUCUGCGGGGUGUCUCAGCAUAUCAUCUUCCUUACGGUCUUCUUUGUGCCAUCGCAUCAACUUAGCAUUCGCCUUGUUCCUGAACAAGCGCUUCAAGCGUGGUAUUAUAGGGAAAUACCACAUCACCUUCGCGGGAACUCUCGUCUUGGGAGACUGCCCCUCGACAUCACCAAGAUCAUCUCGCCUGAUCUUAUACCGCAGGGCUUCGCAGACGGGACAAGCAUCCAAUUUCUCGUAUUCAUCACCAUGAUAGAGGAUACAGUCAUUAGGGCAUGCGUGUAUCUUCUGAACAUCCAAUCCGAGAGCGCAAAUAAUCUGUUUAGCUUCAUAUGUUGUGGACGGUAAUUCAUUAUUCUCGAGAAGAAUCUUCUUGACAAUGUUCAACAUCCCCUGAAAUGCCUUAUCGGACACACCAUUUUUUGCCUUCCAUUGCACAAAUUCUAGUAUCGUACCUAGUUUUUUAUAGCCCUGCUGGCAACCUGGGUACAACAAUUUUUGGUGAUCAUCUAUCAUGCGCUGCAACUUUGCUGCUUCCUUCUCAGUUUCGCAAUCUCUGUAUGCAUCUCGUAUCACCUGACCAAGGUCAUCAGUAGGGCCAUUUUCUGCAAACUCAUCUUUAUCAGCCUCUCCCAUUGUAGUACCUGCAAAAGCUUAGCCUGCAACCCAGUCCGGAAUGGUGUCAUCUUCCUCCUCCUCCUCGCCAUCUUCCAUUACGACCCCUUGUUCACCGUGCUUGGUCCAAACCAAAUAGUUAGGCAUGAAACCGUAUUUAAACAAGUGGCUGUGAAUAGUCCCCCAGGAAUCCUUUGAAUACUCCUUCUUGUUAUUGCAUUGGAAGCAUGGACAACAUACAAACCCAUUCUCUGGCUUGUUUGCUUUGGCCACUUCGAGAAAAUAAUGCAAGCCAUCAAUAAACACCAUGCUCCGCCUGUCUGCAUUAUAAAUCCAUUGCCGGUCCAUCUGCAUCGUAUUACCCACGAAAAUGGAUUACACUUCACAAUGGAUUACGCGUGAAAAUUGAUUAAAGAUCCAAACAACAUGUUACAAUACAACAACAUGAAGAUCCAAAUACACAUAUUUAAAUUAAAGAUCCAAACAACAUGAUACAAUACAACAAGUCAUCCACUGGUUAUUAUCUAGGAGGACUUUAAGCAUCCUUGGACAGAGAAAACGAAGGUUCCGCUGACCCAGCCUCAUCCUCAGGUUUAUUUGUGCCGCCUGAAACGGUAGUACUAAGUGGACGUGAAACACCCGGGACUGAGGGUGUAGCAUAACGACCACCAAAAAGAGGUUCUUGACCCGCGGCAAUAGCUUCUUCAUGACGUUGCUGCAAAUAACGAAGUAUUGCUUUUUCCAGCGCGCUCUUUUUCUUCAGCUUAUGCUGAGGGCCAACUAUGAUUUUUCCCUUGCCGAAAGAGGAACCACGAUCGCCCCCACCAUCGCCACUUCCUCCAGUAGCAGAAGCCAUCUAUGUACAAAAAUUAUUACCUUAACACUGCAUAAGUUGUUGAACUUGAAGACUGUGAUCAUCUCGCGAGCAUGUCCUCAACUAGACGGCACCACACUUCGUCAUGAAAGAGCUUCGAUUCUACGGAAAAGGGGACACGGUCACGAUGUCCGUAUCCACUCUUUCUCAUAGAAUCGAACCUCCUUCUUGACAUACGUUGCUGCUCGGCGGAGAACAUCCUCGCAGAAAUGACCACGGUAUGCAAGUUUAAUAAGUAUGGAUUUGAAAAACCUUAUUGAAUUUGAUAAGUUCAACAAGUAGCAGAAGUCAUCUAUGUACAAAAGUUUUUUCCUUACCACUGCAGAAGUUGUUGAACUUGAAGACCGUGAUCAUCUCACGAGCAUGUUCUCAACUGGGCGGCACCGCACUUCGUCAUGAAAGAGAUUAGAUGCUACGGAAAAGGGGACACGGUCAUGAUGUCCGUAUCCACUCUUUCUUGUAGAAUCGAACCUCCUUCUUGACAUACGUUGCUGCUCGGCGGAGAACAUCCUCGCAGAGACGAACGCAGUAUGCAAGUUCAACAAGUAUGAAUUUGAAAAAUCAUAUUGAAUUUGAUAAGAUAAACCGUCUAGACAAGGUAGCAUCAUUCUUCAACCACUGCAAGAAUGCAUACUAUAUAUGACACAUCAAUCUCCCUCACAUUCUAGCUCAAAAUACCUCUCCAUUUUCUACUUCAUCACAUUCUAGCAAAUAAUCUUUCCAUCUCCAAAGCAUAAAUCAAAGCAUAACACGAGGAUGAAGUAGCAAACCUUCACAACACUUGUGUUGGCUGAGUCAAAUUCCCACGAAAAUGAGGGAAAAAACUUCGGGCAGCACCUCCCUUGCUUCGGCACCACCGGAGAGUAGGUGAAGCUCAGCUCUCUGUCAAUGUGCUGGACUGGCUCGGGCUGGAGGAGGAAGAAAGUCCUCUGUCUUGGUAUAUAAUGGGGAUGAGUUUUUAUCCCGGUUAAAAACUCCAACCGAGACAAAAAGGAACACCUUUUGUCCCGGUUGAAAGUUUAGUCCCGGUUGGAGGCUCCAACCGGGAUAAAAGGGUGCCGCCACCAACAGCCCGCAACUAGCCGUUGCAACGGGGACUAAAGUUAGUCCCGGUUGGUAAUUGCAACCGGGACUAAAGGCCCCCCUUUAGUCCCGGUUGCAAUUACCAACCGGGACUAACUCUGCCCUCCAUUUUUGCCUACCGUGGCGCACCCCCUUUUGUCCUGGGCCAACUUUAAACCGGGACAAAAGGGGGCGCAUCGAAAGCCAAUUCUCUACUAGUGCUCCUAUGUCAAUGCAGGUUGGCAUAGGUUCUCAGGAGUCAGGAGUAUGGGCGAGAUUUUGGGGGAGAAGUGGCGAAAGAGGCAGCAGAGAGAAAUGGAUGAAAAGGUAGAGGUGGUCGUGCUUUUGGGGAGGGGAUAUGCCAGCUCGAUCCGAUCCGACAUGAUGCAAGGAAAACGUGGAUUGGAACGAGAGCGCAAGAUGAGUGGGCAGUGGGAUUGGCGAUGGGCAUCUGUCCGUUAGGAGGGUUCAGGAAUUGAGUGUUGUUAAUAUGGGUUGAAAAAGAGCUCAUUAGGAGAAGUGUCCGCGGUUACCUAGGCAGGACAACUGAAUCGACCUGCAUCCAUCGAGCAGUUAUGUUGUGAAUUCGUGAGUCGGUCGUGGCUUAACAGGAGAGCGGGGAACACACCCCCUCUACAAUUGAGACUUGAGAGAUAUCAUCAAUUUCAUUCGUCCCAAAUUAUAAGUUAUUUUGAUUUUUUUAGGUAUAUAUAGAUUUACUAUGCACCUAUAUAUACACUAUGGAGUACUAAACACGAACAUUAACAUUCAAAAUUGACGGACGCAAACACCUAAACACUCUUAUAUUGAGCUCGAUAACACGAUUAGUAAGUAACUCAACAGAAUCACAGUUGUUCGAAGGGGAAAAACACAACAUGCACAGCAGAGCCGAAGAGACGAAGCACCGAGCCAUCCAUGGGCGCACAUCUUACGAGUUACGGCAUCUAUGGAACUGAGCCGUUGGCACAUCUGUUAUGGCAGUCGGCCGUGCAGCCCAUCAUGCAGCUGCUGAAUACCUUCGGCUGGGUCGCCAUACACAUGGAGUACGGGCCGUAAGCAGAGCCCGUGCAGGACUCGCAGCAUCUACGCUCACACGGGCUGCCGCAGCUACUAGCGGUGCAGGAACCGAUGCCGCAGGAACCACGGGCAUAGGCGGAGUUGCCGGUGCACCGGCUGCUGCAGCCCUCAAAGCAACCGGGAUAUGCGAGCUCGGGCCUAAUGCUCUCACAUCUCCUUGCUGCGGCGUCAGAAUUGGCCUGGCAUAUCGGAGUGCAUCGCGAGGUGCAGUAACUAGGGCAAUCGGAAGGCGGCAUCGGCGCCGGCGCUGGCUCUUGCCCCAUCGACGAAUGGAGCAGCAUGAAGCAAAUGGCAGCCAAGAAGACACCCUUGAGGGCGGCAGCGGUGGAGGUGGAGGGUACCAUGGUAUGGGGUCUUUCCUGGAUGGAGCGAACUAGCUAGUAAGCUUAAGAUAUGAGGGCCAAAUUAGGACAAGAACAACGGAAGACAAGAAGCUAUAGUGCAGUGGGGAUAGGAAAUAAGCAGCGAUCUUUUGGUGCUUGUAUGAUGGAUCAUUCGGUGCUAUUUAUAGGUACAAACUCAAUGGAUCACUGUACAUGAGUACAUCGGACCCUAGCUAGUUUUCUAUAGAUUAUUACAAGUUGAAACCUGACACAUGGUAUCUAGGAACAUGUUAGAAGUAGACUUCUACAGGAUUAUAUAACUCUACCUUGCUCCAAUCCUUGUCCCGAAGUUGACUUUCACAAGUUGACGUACCUUCAAAUUCACUCUACUGUCUACUGUCCAAUAAACUUUUCAAAGGUUUGUGGAUAGUGAAGGGAGAGGAACGAGUCAAUAUUAGACACGGGACACGUGGCGAUCGAUUCUCCACAUUGUAAUACAAUUUCUACACUUCUGCAAAUCCUUUCACGGCAUCAACCUGCUCUCAAGCGCAGUCAUCUUCUCCUAUGUCAAUGAAGGUUGGAAUAGGUGCUCGGGAGGCAGGAGUAUGGGCAAGAUUUGUGGGGAGAGGUGGCGAAAGAAGCCGCAGAGAAAUGGAAGAGAUGUUAGAGGAAGUCUUUCUUAUGGGGAGGGGACAUGACAGCUCUGACAUGAAGCUAGGAAAACGUGGAUUGGAACGAGAGCGCAAGAGACCGAAUGUGGGAUGCAGCGUGGCAGCCGGCAAGCAGGCGCCGUGCGAGGCAGCCGGAGGAGACCGAGUAAGAUGAGCGGGCAGUCGGCAGUAGCGACGGUCAGCUGUGGGUCAAGACGGAUCUGGAAUCAAGUGUUAAGAAUAUGGUUUCAAAUAACUCGUUGGAAAUCGUGCCCGAGGUUAAAUAGGCGGGAAACCUUAAUGGACCUGCAUCAAGUGGUCAUGUUGUGAACUUGGUCGGCUCACAGAUUAUUAAGUGGCGACGUGGCUUAACGGGCGAGCGGGGAACGCACCCCCUCUACAGUUGAGAGAUAUCAAUUACCAAACACGAACAUUAACAUUAAAACUUGACUGACACAGACACCUAAACACUCGUAUAUUGGGCAUGAUAACAUGAUUAGUAACUCAACAGAAUCGCACUUGUUUGAAGAGGCAAAACAUAACAUGCACAGAGACAAAGCACGGAGCCGUCCAUUCACGCAUGGGACGCGACCAUCUUACGGCAUCUAUGGAAAAACUGAGCCGUUGACACAUCUGUUGUUGCACUCGGCCGUGCAACCGGGCAUGCAGUACGCGAACACCUUCGGCUGGGCCGCCAUGCACAUGGAGUACGGGCCGUAAGCAGAACCCGUGCAGGACUCGCAGCAUCUACACGCACAGGGGCAGCCACAGGUACUCGGGGAGCAAGAACCCAAGCUGCAGGAGCCACGGGCAUAGGCGGAGUUGCAGUUGCACUUGCUGCUGCAGCUCUCAAAGCAACCGGCAUAGGCGAGCUCGGGCCUAAUGCUCUCACAUCUCCUUAACGCAUCGUCUGAACUGGCCUGGCAUAUCGGAGUGCAUCGCGAGGUGCAGUAACUAGGGCAAUCGGAAGGCGGCAUCGGCGCCGGCGCUGGCUCUUGCCCCAUCGACGAAUGGAGCAGCAUGAAGCACAUGGCAGCUAAGAAGGCACCCUUGACAGCGGCAGCAGUGGAGGGAGCCAUGGUAUAGGGCUUUUCCUGGAUGGAGCGAACGAUAGCUAGUAAGCUUGAGAUAUGAGGACCAAAUUAGGACGAGAAGAGCAGAAGACAAGAAGCUAUAGUGCAGUGGGGAUAGGAAAUAAGCAUCGAUUUUUUUGGUGCUUAUAUGAUGGAUCGUUCGGUGCUAUUUAUAGGUACAAACUCAAUGGAUCCACCGUACACGGGAGCCCUAGUUUUCUAUAGAUUAUUACAGGUUGGUUGAGACUUAACAAAUGGUAUCUUGGAACAUGUUAGAAGUAGACUUCCAGAGGAUUACAAAACUCUCUAUCUUGCUUGCUCCAAUCCUUGUGCCAAAGUUGACUUCGUAAGUUGACGUACCAUCAAAUUCACUGUAGGAAGAACUGUCCAUUAAACUUUUCGAAGGAUUGUGGAUAAUGGGGAAGGAACGAGUCAAUAUUACACACGGGACACGUAGUGAUCGAUUCUCCGCAUCAGGCCGGAUCGAAAAAAGCCAUGUUCAUUUCGGAAAAAAAAUUGGGCUCACAACCAUUCCAUGGAUGUUAUCGGGCUGAGUUUUCAGAUCAGGGCCGCUCAUUCUUUUUGACUUAGUUUUCGCGAGGGCUCCUUUGUAACUUGUGAAACCUAGAUAAUUAAACAUGCUAACUUUAAAGCUCAUUAGGCCCGCAUUAAUCUUAAUUCAACAUUUCAACAGGGUAGAUUCAACAUUUUUUAAAAUUAGACCAAUAUUUAAAAAUAAUUGAUUCAACAUUUCUAAAACAUAGAUCAACAUUUUGGAGAGAAAAACACCACGUUCAGCAUUUUUUUACAAUCUAUUUCAACAUCUUCAGAAACUAGAUUCAACAUUUUGAAAAAAAAUAAUUUCUACUAGCGUGUUCUCCGUGGACAGCAGCAGCACGGCAGCUGCGGCGGCGGCAACACGACGUGAGCAGCAGCGGGAGGAGCGGCGGCUACAGCAGCAGCACGCACGGCAACGUGAAGAGCGGAGGUGUGGUGGCGACGACGACAACGCAUGCGGGAAGGAGUGACGGUGACAGGAUGAGGAGCGGCGACGACGAGAGCAGCACCGAGGUGAGCGGAAGGAGCGGUGGCGGUGCAGUCGUGUGAGCUCAACGAGAGGAGUAGCUGUGUGCUAGGGUUGAUGCAGGAGUCACAUCCAACGUUGAGGAUUCACGUAUGAAUCUCAAACACCAUAAGUCCAAUAAGAAAUAGGCUUCCAGAAGUUAUAUAGGAAUCCUAUAUUAUUGUUGACCCGCCCGACCCAGCAACGAGCGUGGCCGGGCCAAAAACCAUCAAGCUUGGGAUGAACCCAUGGGCCAUGCUGGACCGGAUUUAAAAUGCUCAGGUCUAAUUGUAAUACAAUUUCUACACUUCUGCAAUCCUUUCACGGCAUCAACCUGCUCUCGAGCACAAUCAUCUUCUUCCUCCUUUGUCCCUCUAACAAUCUUUCACAUGCCAAGCGAAUUUCACAAAAAUACCAUUCUUUGCAAAAACAAAGGAGACCCAGAAGUGGCACAUAUACGGCUAGUCUUAGUGGAGGUUUCAUCAAAAAUUUCAUAACCACUAAAUAACAUGCCACAUCAACAAUUUUGCUAAUGUGGCAAUAUCAUAUAAGAAGAGAGGAGAGUAAGUUUCAUCAUAUGUGAGAGGAGUUUCAUCACCAUGAAACCCAGGAGGCACAGUUACGAAGUUCUCAAUCUUGGUAACUGUGAUAUCACUGGUAGAAAACUCGCCUUCAGUCCCGGUUGGUAGGGAACAAAUCUUCCAAAAAACCAUCCGAGAUAAAGCAAUCGAGACAAAAGGAGAGGGUCUGUUGUCCAGAUCACUCAAUCGGGACUAAAGACCCCUUUUAUACCGGUUGGGAAUACCAACCGUGACAAAAGAGUUUUCCAAAAAUAUUAAAAAAAAGCAUCGGCGGGUGGAGGCCCGCCUCGGCUCCCGCGCAGCCGGCCUCUGUGUGCCACCGCCAAGCCCCCAUCCCGCCGCCGCCAAGCCACCGCAUCCCACCGCCGCCCGCACCCCACGCCGGCGCAUAUGCUCUGACCUCGCUCGACCGCACCCUCCCUCCGUGCGCCACCGCCGAGCCUCCGUCCCACCACCGUCGAGCCACCACAUCCCGCCACCGCCCGCACCCUGCGCCGGUGCGCCUGCUCUGGCCUCGCUCGCCCGCGUCCUCCCUGCGUACGUUGCCGCCGAGCCCCUGCCCCGCCGUCGCCGAGCCACCGCAUCCCGCCGCCGUCCGCACCCCACGCCGUCACGCCUGCUCCGGCCUCACCGCAUCCACCAGCCGCUCCUCGCCCGCCACCGCCACUUGCAAAAAAAAACUGCAAGAACUCACCAUAACAACACUAACACUGCACUGAGCUCGCCGCCGCCGCACCUCUUACAGCUGCUCCUCGCGCGUCGCCGCCGUCGCCGCCUGCAAUAAAAAACUGCAAGAACUCACCACAAAAACUACACUGACUUGGCCACCGAGCUCGCCGUGGGCCGACCACCGAGCUCGCCGCGGGCCGACCACCUCUUACUGCGCUGCCCUGCACCUCGCCCCGCUGCUGCUCCUCACUGGCAGUGAGGGGUGAUUAGAGGGGGAAGGGGAGGGCAGCAGAGGGGGCGGUGGUACCGGGAGGGAGGGGGAGGUGGCAGCGGCGUCGGAGUAAGGGUGAUGGGACGGCGGCGGCGUCGGGAGGCAGGAGAGGGGGUUGGCGGCGCCAAUGAGAGGCUGGGGGAAGAAAGAGAUAAGGAAGGAAAUCAGGCUGCCAGUAACGCGCGUAAGAUAGGAGAGUGGGAGGCUAGUAAUGUGCGGGGCAAAGAGAUUGGAGAUAAGGGUAACGCGCAUAAGAGAGAGAGGGGAAUUGGAGGGGGUGCACGGAAACGAGGGUAGGGACCCUUUUAUCCCAAUUGGAAUCACCAACCGGGAUAAAAGGGGGGUCCUUUUAUCCCGGUUGGUGUUUCCAACCGGGAUAAAAGGCCCCUCGAGAUCACUAGUCUUUACUACCGGGACUAAAGGGUUUCUUUAGUCCUGGUUGGUGAGCCCCCCACCAAUAGGGGGGUUAGUCCCGGUUGGUGAACCUUUAAUCCCGGACCAACUUUAAACCGGGAUAAAAGGGGGUGGAUGGAAGGUGAGUUCUCUACUAGUGUAUGAAACUUUACACUAAGAUUGACCUUAGGCCAAUAUUAAUGGGAGUUUCAUUCUUAUUUAAUAAGGUCUCAUGUCAGCAUUUUUUAUGACGUGGCAAACAGUUAAUGAAUAAAGAGGUGAAAUGAGUUUUAUGGGAAUGAAACCAUGUAUACAUUAUUUUCAAUGUAACUUGUGUCUUGCACGUAGCCUAAGAAACAACAAAGAAUGAACAAUGUAUUGCACGAGGCUGAGGCUAUUUCAACUGUGAAUUAAAUAUUAUUUUGCUUAUGUGGUAUUUUGGAAAUAUAAAUAUGAAAUCAAGCAUCGAGAAUGGGCCUAGGCCCCACUCAAUUUGCUAUUUGAAGUAAUUUAGCCCAUUUUCCCACCAUUUGGGCCCUUUGGCGGGCUAGCAAAUUACCCUUCUUCCCUCUCGGCCUAGCUAUAAGCUCACUCAUUCUAAUUUUUCUUCUUUGCUAAUAAGCCCAAUAAUCAGCAGAAGCGAGAACAUGCCCUCCACUUGCUGAUUACAUGGCAAAAUGCAGAAAGCAGCACCGCGCGCUGCAGGUGGAAAUAAUAAAUACAUCGUCCAAAAAAAACUACAAUUGAGAUGCGUACACAUGCAACUAAUUUUAGGGUCUCGUAAACGUCAGAGAUUACUAACGAAAUUUAUUGAUAACUACUCACAUGUAGAUAGUGUUUGGUUCGUGCUAAGGUAAUGUAAACGUAAAGGGAAUCAGAUUACAGUGUAUUUGGAGGUGGAAUAGGUGAUUGCCCUCUUUGUUUGGUUGCACUCUAGUAACGCAAUCAGAUUACUGUGUGAGUGCUAUAUCUGAUUACGGUAGGGGAGGAGAGGUAACAAGCUUGUAUAUAUAUUAUUUAGGUAAGGGAUUUGAUUACAGUGUCAAUUGAUUACAAACAACUGCAACCAAACAUAUGUAAUGGGAUUCGUUACCUUCAGUAAUCAGAUUACGUUACAUUUGAGCCAACCAAACACUACCAUAAAUUUUGCACGUCUCGUCAUUGUGAUAUUUAAUUCCAGCAUUUAGGACUUCCCUUUACGAUCGAUGCCAACUUUCAUUUCUGCAGCCUCCAGAGCCAGUACGAAGUAACAGGUCGUUCGGCAGCGCUAGUUGUGGCUGCCGCUGCUGGCUUCUGCUGCCAAUGGCUGCAGCGCAGCUGCUAGCUGCUGCUUGUGGCUUCAGCUGAUUGCAGCGGGGGCAGAAGCAGUUGGGCAGCAGUGCUAGCUACUCCUUAAGAAUUUUCAGUCUGUUUUCCUUACGGAUGUGCUGCUACGUUUCAAAAUUAAAUUUGUAACGGUAAAAGAAUGUACAACAUUCAAAUUUUGUCGCGCAAACAUAAUCAACACAAUGGAGGGUACGAACGUACACAACAACUACUACAAUUGCUUACAUACAAAUUACAACAUUAACAUACACAGCAUACACCCAUCAUUUACAUCAAAGAGAUUCCCGCUGCAAUCCAAUCUCGUACACUGGCUAUAUCAGGAGUAGCAUUUGCUGCCACCCAUUCGGACACCCCAUAGUCCGGAGCUCGCGCCAUGUUCGAACCUGCAGUACUUGCAUCGGCAAGGUCCAGCAAAUAAUUAUGGAGUGCGAAGCAAGCAAUAACAAGCUUCGUUUGCCGCUCUCGAGAAUAUAGUGGAACUUCUCGCAGAAUGUGCCACCUGGAUUUCACCACGCCAAAUGCACGUUCAACCACAUUGCGAAGACUGGAAUGGUGAAAGUUGAAUUUCUCCUCCAAUGUGUCCGCCGACCUUCUGCUAAACUCCUCCAAAUGGUACCUGGUAUUUCGAUACGGCCCCAGAUACCCUUCUCGAACUGCGUAGCCCGAGUUGACCAAAUAAUAUCGGCCUACAGAUAAUCAAAAAUAUUCAACAUUAGUGCACCACAUUUUGCAAUUGCAGCGUCAUGUGCGUAAUUAGUCAAGUACCAUACCUGCAGGUGGAUGAGGGUAGUUCGGUGCCGCCAUACAAUCCCGCAACACCGCCAUGUCAUGACAGGAUCCUGCCCUCCCCGCUCCUACAUACGUGAAGCGCAUGUCCAUAUCGACUAUAGCUAACACAUUGAAGCUCGUCCACCCUUUUCUGUUAAUAAAAUCCAAAUGGGACUCACGCCCGACCAGUACGGGAACGUGUGUACCGUCUAAAGCACCUAUGCACCCAUCAAAGAAUGGUGCAUAUUGGUUCAGCUUAUGAUUCACCUUAGAGUAAGCAGGAUCCUUUGGAGCGAUGACUGUCUGGACAAAUGAAAACAUUACAUUUGCCACAUGCGCCAUCUUCCUACUAACUGUGUCCAAACUCCGAUCAAAUCUUUCUCUAAUUUGAUGGCAAGCCUGUUGUGUCACACACGCCCACACGAACAUACCUAAAGCCUCAACAGAUUCUACCCCUUGCGAUGUUUUCAAUCCAUGAUUGGUAACCAACAUGUCAUGCAACUGAAGGAACGCGUCGGGAUACAUACAAAAAUUAUGGAAGCACCGCCGCCUGUCCCGCAGAUUGAGCUCAACCCAUUGCCGUCCCGUCAUGUGUGGCAGGUCAACUAGCAGGUUCCGCACAAGACGCUGUCUCCUGUGAACCUCCGCAUAUGCGGCUGCAGCUCCUGCUAAACACUUUAGAUCGAACACGGAGAUGCUAUCGCUGCCGGUGUCAUUGUUUUGUUCCUCUGCACUACUCAUACUUGAUUGAACCUGUGCAUGCACAAUCAAAGGGGCAUCAGCAAACACACCUUACACAUAGGCAGUUGCACCGAAUUAUACAUAUGCAUUUGUUUCGAACCUGUCAAGUGCCAGUCAAGUUGCCUCUCCCCCUUCCUUGAGCUGUCGCAGAAUUAAACCAAUGCUCCUGCUACUGAUGAGCGGAGGGCCACCAAUGACCUACUGAACUACCUGUCCAAAAGGUUAAGACAAGAGACAUCAAAAUUCCAAAUAACUUCAAAGCAAUCUGUUCUGACACAAGAUAAAAAAAGUUCUGACACAAGUAGACUGAUGUACUGAGAUGACAUUAAACUUGAAAGAAACGACAGUACACUUGAAAGAAAGUAUUGAUCCAAAUGCAACAUUUCACUUCACAGAAAUUUAGUGACCACGACAUUUAACUUGAAAUAAAUUGCUGAGCAUGGACGACAUCAAACUUGAAAGGAAUUUAACUAGAACUAAAAUGAAAUGUUCAACGAACAAGACAUGUUACAUAACCUAACAUUACUGUUCCGACACAAGUGCAAACAUUAUUUUUGAAACCCAUCAGUACACAUCACUAGAAUAAAACAAAGUCAUGCCACAAUCACUACUUGUUCAACAUGUUCCAGUUGAAUUGUAUCCAGUUCAUUCGGCUCUCUUUCGUUUUCAUCUCCGUGAAUGCCGUCCAAUACUCCAGGUUCUUAGUACAUAAAUAAACAGCUUGGCAGUAAAGCGGAGACCCCUCCUGUAGACCAACUUCUACCAGGAGCUGCAUUGCACGGACCAUUUCCCCCUGGGCACGGUCAGCACGUUGCUGGCUCCUUUUUGCCACACUGUCGGAUAGCUCCCUGAUGUACUGCUCCAAGUUGCCACUUCUCUUUUUCGUAGGACUGUCCACAGAGAAUUCCCGAGCCGGCCGUUUGGACAUGGCACGAGCACUACUAGCAGGCAGGGGGUCCUGGUCCAAGUCCGCUGCAUUGCCCUCAGUCCCCACGCUAGGUGUCGCCUCAUGAAUACCUCCUGCCGUCAGCAAGGUGCCCCUGUCUUGGGGUUCAUGGCCAAACAACUCAAACAAUUUGUCGAGGAAAGGUGGAGGCUUAACAGAAGUCGGCUGGGAACUCGGCUGGGACCUCGGCGAGGCAUCACCACCAUUGGUGUCCUGCAAUGUUCAAGGAACAGUAAAUGUUCAAGGCCAAAAACAAAAAAGUACAAAUAAGAUGCCUAGUAACUUAUGGGCCUGUCAUAGGAUGUACCUCUUCGUCCUCCUCCCAAUAGGUGGCAUUAGUAGCAACACCACCAGUUUGUGUGUCGUGCCCUAAACCAGAUUGCUUUUGCAAGGCCAUCCAGCUCAGGAAUGUUCUCCUCAGGUUGUUGAGCUUGUUCUGCAGCUGCUUACUGCUCAAAUGCAACCCAGUCUGUGCCCUAAAGCUUGAGUACACGUUCUUCCAUCCCAACUUAGUGAGGCAUCUGUUGCUCCAAUUAAACUGGUUCUUCUGAGAAUUGCACAAGUCCAGCAAAGUUUUCAUCGUGCCCUCAUCCCAGCUGGCACGGUUAUUCAUUUGAGUACACAGGAGCUGCAAUUAUAUUGCACCGAGCUACGGAUAACCAGGAGGCAUGCAACUAAACAAUCUCAAAUUACUGGAUAUGUUACUUGCCUUAGCAGUUGUCUUGGCAUGUUUGUGGCGGAAAUUGUACGGGCACACCGGUGGGGGAGAGCACGACGAAGUCGAUGAUGAUGCCAUUGUGGGCACCGUUGGUACUUCCUCGCGGUUGGCCUGCUAGUAGGCUUGUAUCAGUCGCCUGGAAAGGUGAAAAACCAAACAAAGGCACAUCAAUUUAGUUGUAGACAAGUUUGGGACAAAACCAUGUACACAUACAUUUCAUGCUCAUGGGCUCUAGUAUGAUCAACAUUUGUACCAAUAAGCUGCAAUUCCCAGGGAUUACAGGAUGAAGAACAUGGCUACCAAUAAAAUUCUGCCCAAAUGAUUGAAGAUAUUCAUCCUAGUACAACCAACCAGUAAGAAUUUAUAAGUAACUAAACAGCACCCCAUUUUUAUACUUUACACAGUGAAAGGCACCAAAAGGGUCCAUGUUUAGUGGAAGGGUAAAAUUCUCAUGGUCCUAAGUAUAGCAGCAAAGAUUGCCCAAAUAGUUAUGAUAUAGACGACAUAUCAAGUAUCAUGAUCAAAACUCUCCCGAAGUAAGUAGUCUGAUUCUCUAGGUACCAAUCUGAUACAACAUCAAAAUUAGCACCCAUUGCCGUGUUGAUUCUUCCAACAAAUUGAUAACAAAAGACCAAAGUAAAUAGAAAUUUAGAGAAGUACAAGAUUGGAUCAUAUUGCCAGGCUUCCUAGUUCUUUCAAAAAGACAAGCAUCACACUCAACAAAAAGACAAGCAUCACACUCAACAAGCACCAUUACCUGCGAGCGAAGGGGACGAAGGGGGCGACGGAGUCGGAGAAAUUGAUUCCGAGCGCGGCGACCGGCGGGAGCGACGGCAGUGUUGAGCGGCCGAGCGAGAGGGAGCGGGCGACGCGACAGCCUGCCGGCAGCGGAGAGCGGGCGCGAGCGAGGGAGCAGGUGAGCGGAGGGAGCGGCGACGGUGGAUCCGGAGCGAGCGACGAGGGGGCGAGAAGCGGGACCGACGGCGGCAUCGCGCGGCAGAGCGCGAGGGAGCAGGCGACGCGAUGGCCCGCCGGCAGCGGAGAGCGCGCGCGAGCGAGGGAGCGGGUGAGCGGAAGCUGCGGCGGCGGCGGAUCCAGAGCGAGCGCUAGCGACCGAGGGGGCAAGAUGCAGGACCGACGGCGGCGUCGCGCAGGCGACCACGAGGGAGUGGGCGACACGACGCAAAGCCGGUGGCGGAGAGGCGGCGCGAGCGAGGGAGCGGGUGAGCGGAGGGAGCGGCGGCGGCAGAUCCGGAGCGAGCGCGACCGACGGCGGAGAGCGGGCGAGAUCUCGAGCGCCGGUCGCGGAGAGCGGGCGACAGCGCUGGAGCGGCCGAGCGACGGGAGCGAUGGAGUCGGCGAGCGGGCGGGAUCUGGGAUCGACGGCGGCGGAGAGCGGGCGAGAGCGCAGGCGCUGCUGAGCGGCGGGGGCGACGGCAGGCGCUGCUGAGCGGCGGGGGCGACGGCGGCGGAUCGGGGGCGAGAGCACGCGACGGAGGGGGCGAGAGGGAGGCGACUAGAUAAGCACGGGAGGCGAUAGGCAGCAUCGGUGCGUUAAGCCGCUCGAACGACUUCCUGGAAAGCCCAGUCGGAAAAAGCCCAGCGGAAGCGCACCGAACGGGCUGUAAAAGUUUGCAGUUGAUGGUGGGUUCAAGAAAUUAUUGUCCGUUGGUGUGUCGCCUCGUUAAGCUAGGUCUAAUAGCAACCUUUGAAAAAUGCUUUUCAGCUAUAAAACAAAUUAAAAUCGGUGACUAGUAUAUGAGCCAUUCCCUGAUAUACGUUUUGUGGACAAAGAUAUGUGGGCAUAAUUCCUAAUAAAGUGACCGCAGACCGUUUUCAUAAGAAUAAAGACUGCAAAGUAUAUAGUCAGAAAAGUUCAGGAAAUAUCGUAUCAAUUACACUGUUUGCAUAUCAAAUAAUUAUUAUUAUUAUUAUUUUGGUUCAAUUGGCAUCCAUUGUAAUUGUAUAAUGCUCAAAAACAAAGAACAUUCUUGGCAUUUGAGAACACCAAAAAUACUACUGCUACAAAUCAUUAAUAUAAACUACUUUAACAGAGUUAUUGUACAUGACAAAUAACAGUUUGGGCACAUGAAAGCCGCUCCAUUCGUUUCACUCUAGCACGUUGUCAAGCUUGAUCGAACCAUCGCUGCUUGAGCGCGCAUGCAGCCGUCAUCCGCUUCUCCGGGUUGCACCUCAGGAGCCCGCUCAGGACCUCGAACCCUGCCUCCGACAGCGACGGCCGGCCGGUGGCCAUGGCCAACUCGUAACUGCUGGGGAACAGGUCACGCAGGAAGCUUGUCGGCCCGCAGCCGCUCGGCAGGCGCUCGGGGCAAUGGCUCCACUCCUUGAUGUCGUUCGUGCCAAGAACGUUGAGCACCUCGCUGAGGUGCUCCUUGAUCGAGUCCCCGUAGAAGAGGAGGCCGCCGGCAAGGAGCUCGGCCAUGAUGCAGCCAAUCGCCCACGUGUCGACGCCCGCGUCGUAGUCGGCGCACCCGAGCAGGAGCUCCGGCGCGCGGUAGCUCCGCGCCACGACGGGGUUCGAGUACGGCGGGUCGUCGGCGACGGCGCGCGCCUUCCCGAGGUCGCAGAUCUUGAGGCUGCCGCCGGCGCCCACGAGGACGUUGUCCGGCUUGAUGUCCCGGUGCAUGAGCCCGACGCCGUGCAUGGCCGCGGCGCCGGCGAGAAGCUGCCGCGCGAUCCGGCGCACCUUGCCCUCGGCGUGCCGCCUCACGCCGCCCCGGCCCGUCCUCAUGGCGUCCUUGAGCGACGGCCCCACGAGCUCCAUGACGAUGAAGGACUCGCCGGUGGUCGGGUCGCGGCGGCACGAGUCGCGCAGCUGCACGACGCACGGGAGGCCGCGGCACGCCUCGAGCGCGCUGACCUCGUCGGCGAAGAUGGAGUCGAGGCGGGGGGCGUCGAAGUCGUGGGCGUUCAGGCGCUUCAUCGCCACGAUCUCGCCGGUGCGCCGGUCGUGCGCACGGUACACGACGCCGAAUGCGCCCGCGCCGAUCGCCUCUAUCUUCUCGUAGCGGCUGAUCGUGACGGCGAGUGGGGCGCGGGGACGGGGAGCUGCGGCUGCCGCCGCCGCACGCGCCAUCUCUCUACGCUUCUUGCGCUCUGCGGCGGCUGUGGCGCUGGCCUGGGCUCGAUGCGUCAUGUAAUACGCCAUGGCGGCGGCGGCGAGCGCAGCGGAAGCGCGCGGUCGCGUCGCCUAGGGCAGCAGAUGAGAUGCGCGUCGGGAUCCAGCGCCGAAAUGUUCUCGCGGUUAGAAUUUGUAGGCAGCAGCUGGGUUUACCGACUCCAACGCGAAUAGAUCAACACGAAUAGAACUAAGGCAUUGUGCCACGUUGCAUCUUCGGUUCGAACUCGGAUUGAUCAUGCACUCCUCGAUGGACGUCAAACUAGGGGUGGCAGAGUUUUCGUUCGGUUCGUUAAAUAAGGAGAUCACGAUGCAGAACACGAAGUUCCAGUCGUUAGGUUCUUUGAUCGAGUGGCUCAGGUCUUCUCAUUCCACCGCCAGACUAAUUUUUAGUUCAGAACACAUCGGAUGUUUGAUACCAAUUAAAAGAACUAAACGUGAACUAAUUAUAAAACUAAUUGCAUAAGUCCUGGCUAAUUCGCGAGAUGAAUCUAUUAAAUCUAAUUAAUCCAUAAUUAGCACAUAUUUACUGUAGCAUCACAUGGUCAAAUCAUGAAUUAAUUAGGUUUAAUAGACUCAUCUCGCGAAUUAGCUUUCAUUUAUACAAUUAAUUUUAUAAUUAAUCUAUAUUUAAUAUUUUUAAUUAGUAUCUGAACAUUCCAUGUGCUAAUCGAACCGUAUGCAUGCCCCGUUCCGGAGCCGCCACCCCUCCUUUUUCUUUGUGUCCGCGAUGACGGCACUUGCCGAUGUCAUCUCCAAAGCCGACGAGCCAGCCUGGCUGCCCCGAGUCCCCUUUCGUACGGCGUCAUCUCUAUGGCUCCAUCUGCAAUUGCAACAGUGUUGUCGGGCGCGGAACAGUACGUGUUCUUGGUUUUCUUUUCCAGCAGCUUGCAGUCCACAACAGAAGUUGCAAUGCAGUGGCUAAUAGUGUAAUUGUAUACCCCAUAAAAAGAUGCAUAGUUUCAACUGCUUGUCAGAGUUCAGGUCCAUGCAAUAUGAACUUUUUUUGCUUAUCUGACCCAGUCGAAUGUGCUCCAGGUUCUCAAUCCUCCAUAUAUGUUUCACCCGUUUGGCUUUUAAGAAAUUAGGAAUAAAAUGAGCCCGAGCUUCAGUAUGCACACCCUUCAGUGCUAUAGACUCACUCUGGGCAGGCUAUUGCAGCAUAAACUCCGAAAAGGAAACACUUCCACUGCUGAAAAACUAAGCAUUCGUCCCAAUGCUCAAUACCGGUUGCUUUUUAGAGGUCGUCAGAUGCCUUUUAGUACCGGGUUAUAACACCACCUGUCGGGGGGAAAUAUUAAUGAUCUCCCCCAAGCCCAUGGAAGUAACAAAACAUGAAGGCCCAGGCCCGCCUAAGGUAAUGAAACUGGCGCCGGCCCAACACGGGGGACGGGAAUUACGCUCCGCCUCGCCUGACCCGGUAUCCUGGGGUCAGGCAUCCCCAACCCCCGUGAGACCAAGACUCCGCCUCGACCGACCGCAGGUCCGGGGUCGGGAGCAUCCGACCCCCCGCCGCAGGCCUCCGCCUCGCCCGACCCCAAGCGUAGGAGGUCGGGCUGACCUGGGCCCACCAGACAAGUAUUCGCCUCGGGCGCGGAUCUCGUGGGUCCCCCUAUUGAUUCCACCAAAAAUGCACCGCAAAGCUGUCAGAGGGAAGGAUAUCCACGCCCCCACGCAACCUGGCGCAAGUACCCAUGCCCGGCCGCACAGUACUUGCUACAAUAGCUGCGACCCUCUCCGAUUGGCUACAGGGCACUCAUGGUCUGCGCUGCCCGGAGCAGGAGGAAGCCUCGCCCGCUCUCAUGCCCCGCGUGCCCGGCGGCAGAGAUGCGACGUCCGCUCUUCGCGGGGCGUCAGCAGGAUAGCAAGAUCCGCCGCCUCCAACGGACAUGGGGGUCACAACAAAACGUCAUCAUCACAUCCGGCGGCUACAGUCGCCGAGGAAGCCAUCGACAGGAGGCAACGGCCGCCACCCUCUUCCGGCAAACGCGUCGGUGGAAGCCGAAGGCCGGCGAGGACGCCGGUGACUUGGGAACUUGCUUCCUCCCUCUCGUUGUGUUUUUACCUAGCCAUGUUUAUCAAUUUUACCGCUCCCCACAUUCGGUCUCACCUGUAACUCUGGUGGCCUCCUUACGCUAUAAAAGAGGAAUCGAGGGCCUGAGACAGGCGAGGCUGGACGCACAACUAAAGACACCAUAACGCUCCCCUAGACAACAGAACACACGAGCGCACCCUGCCAGAGCGUCAGGGUACAUCCAAGAGACUUGGGAUCGGUUCCCUCUCUCGCACUCCUGUAACCCCUACUACAGAACCCCGCGUGGGCAACACGAGCAGCUCCCGAUACUGGACGUAGGGCAUUCCUUUGCCCGAACCAGUCUAAACCCCGUGUCUCUCACGCCACCAUCCGAAGCCUUACGCGCAUAAAAGAAAUUUACUAGUCUAAAUCUUGACCCGCUAAUCUUGACAACGACACCACCCGGUACUAAAAGGUCCAAAUCCUCGUGACUUUAGUACCGGGUCGUAAUACCACCCGGUACUAAAAGUGGGUACUAAAAGCCUCUCCACGGGUUACUUCAAAAGUAAAGCAUAUCUAACUCUAUCACAUGUGCUGUGUAUAUGAGGUGGUAAGGAAGGCUCACACAAGGUCAGAGGUUGUGGGUUUGAAUCCCACAGAUUGCGCGUAUUGUGCAUGUGGGAGCCUCCCGACUCUUCAAAAUAUUAUUUCUUUAUUUUUUGGACGAAAAACAAGUUAGUACUGAUUAUUUGAUGCCCCUUUAGUUCCGAUAUAGUAGUACGGUUGCACAAUCGAUACUAAAGAGAUGUUUGAAACUGGUACUUUCCACCAGGCAGCAUCCCUCUGCAUGCAAUAGUAGUCUCUGCAAAAUGUUGCCCAGGCGGGAGUAUCUUCUGUGUUCUUGAUUGGUAUAGCUAGGAUGUGAUGAGCAUCAUCUGGGCAAAAAAUUGCCUCCACGAGAUCAGACAUCGGAGUCCGUGCUCCAGGUGGCCGUGGCCCGGUCAAUUCUAAUCUAAAGAAAAAGGUGGUCCGGUCAAUUAAGGUCUUAUUUAGUUCACCUCAAAUUCCAACUUUCGUACUAUGCAAAAAGAAGAUUCUCCAUCACAUCAAAUUUACGGUACAUGCAUGGAGUACAAAAUGUAGGUGAAAUUAAAAACUAAUUGCACAGUUUUGUUGUACUUUGCGAGACGAAUCUUUUGAGCCUAAUUAGUCAAUAUUUGGACAAUAAUUCACAAAUACAAACGAAACACUAUAGUGUUGCUACAGUAAUUUUGAUACCCCAAAGUUGAGCAACUAAACAAGACCUAAUUUGCCUUUUGUACUUGUUACCGAUCACUUGCAGCCAAACCCACGCAUGGGCCAAGAAUAAAAGCAGCAACGAAAGGGGCCUAGAAUGAGCGGCGUUCGACACACGAGCAUCCGAGCACGCCGUGUCAUCGUGUUGAGUUGACACGUGGUUGCCAUGAUUGCGGCUCGAAUCGGCGUCAGCGCGGCGGUGUAGUGGAGGAGCCUGUCUACGGUGCGAAAUGGUCGACGGCAGCCACCUACAUUAGGGGCUCGAUGAAACGCCUAGCUUGGGCGCACUCUUUUCUUUUUCUGGCCCCGCUUUUUAUUAGAAUCUUGCCUAUUUCCUUUAUCCAUUUAAUCCUCUAAACAAAAUUUAGACUCAUUUUGCUUCCCAAACUAUUUCGUUUGGUCCCAUCUACCCUCUAAUUAUAUUUCUCUUUUUUUUCUUCGCGUAUAACAUGAUGCUCUAUGUUAUAAAAAUACAUUAGCAAUUUUCCAUGAUUACUUUUUCAUACAUUUUUUAAUAUCUAAGAUCAAUUUCAUAUUAAAUAUUCCUAACCUAUGAAAUAAUCCUGAAAAAUUCUUGAUAUAAUUUUUUAACAUAAGGCAUUAUAUUUUGUAUCUGCUCACAAAAUUUGAAAUCAAAAUUCAAUAGAGAAAGGAAAAAGAAAAAUCUAAUUAGAGGUAGAUUGGACCAAAUGAAAUAGUUUAUAGGAGUAAAUUGAGCCUAAAUUUUGUUCAGGGGUUAAGCAAACAAAGUGGAUAGGUGAGGGGAGUAAAAUGGACUUUUUUUCCUUUUUAUUAUGGAUGGAGGAAGGGUGCAGAUUUGCAAUAUGAUCCAUCAUUCCUGUGCUUGUGAACCGCGCGAAUAGAAUCGGAUCUUAAUUUUGGAACAUUGUUGGAGUUCGAGUAUUUUUUUUCACUUUUCAGAGUACAGAUCGAAUCAGGAUUUGGUUGCGUGAGGUCGGGGGUAUAUACUAAAUCCUAGGGUCCGGUUGUUCUCCAACAUUACCAAGUUUGUUAUUGUUAGUCACGUCGAGUCGAUACUUAGAGGGUGUUUGGUUCCACCUUGCUAAACUUUAAUUGCUAAAGUUUUAGAACUUUUUAGCUGCUAAACUACCAAACACCCUUGCUAAAACUUGCUAAAGUUGAGUUGCUAAAGUUUAGCAGUUUAGCAAGAUUUUGGUUGCUAAACUUGCUAAAAGGUUGGGUUGGACACCCUAUACCUCUCAUUUAUUGUUGUCUGGUGCGCACCCGCACUCCCGCACUCACACCCCACCCGCGUCUGCCGCACUCCUCUGCUCCCCGCAUCCUCUAUUCCUCCCUACCCCUCCCGCACUCGCACUCUCACUCCUCUGCUACUCGCAUCCACCGCUGCCGCCUCCACACAUCCACCGCCGCCGCUUGACGCAUCCACAGCCGCUAGCUCCUGCAGUCCAGCCCCACCGCCGGUGCUUGCACCCCAUCCACCGUAGGUCCCAGAUUCAUCUCCAUCUCCGCAUCCCAUCUUCCCCCCUUCCCCCACCCCCCACCCCGGAUCUGUCCCGCUGCCACACCCCGGAUCCGCCAUCCUCGCCGCCGUAACCCCCGGAUCCAUUCCUAUCGCCGCCGCCAACAGCCUCUGCUCCAUCCUCCUCCCCGUCGGUGCCUCUCCCUAUUCCAUCUCCAUAGCCGGCGCAAAUAUCCCCAGCCCCAUCCCCACCGCAGCUGCCAACGUCCCCCUGCACCAUCCCCAUCGCCGCCGCCACCUCCCCUUGCCCCAUCCCCACCGCAACCGCUCCGAGCAGAUGGAUGGAUACUGUGAUUGGUUUUCGCAGGGUGCUUCAUCCUCAGUGGCCCCUUCUUUCCCUAAUCCUGCUGCCAUACCUGAUCCAGACGAGUUGGAGUUCCUGUCCCAAGGCCCGUCGCGCGCUCGGGCGGCUCCAUCUCUCUCGGUUGGGAGGGUUAACAUGCAGGAUCUUGACCUCAACUCCCAGGAUGAGGCAUUCCCCUUCCUCGAUGUGUACUCUGAUAUUCUGGAGUCUGGAAGAGGACGCGGCGAUGGUGGUCAUCUCGGCUCAUUUCAACCUCCCCGUCAGAGCGAUGGUGGUGUUUCCAUCGGCCGAGGAAGGGGUGUCACUGCACGUGGUCAUCGCCGUGGCCGUGGAAGGAUUGCUACUGCUUCACUUUCGCCGCCUGCAGGUUUACCUCUUUUUUUUGAUGAAUUGGUUCAUCUUGGUGGAUGUUCUUGGUGAUUUGUCGUUGUUGGUUCUGAUUGUUGCUCCUCUUACAUUUCAGAUGGUAGUCCUCCUAUCCGGCAAUCUGUUCGGGGGAGGUUGGGAUGAGGCCUAGCCUCUGCCGUCAUCAUCCAUGAACAUUGAGGAUGUUGAAGAAUUGGACGACGAAACUGGGGACGAACCUUAUGUAAGCGUCCUGUCCUCUUAGAGUAGUGUGCAUCUCUUAUUUUGUUAGAGUAUUUAUGUUUUGCAUUUUGUGUUAGAACAAAUAUGACAAAGCAAACUGGAGCAAAAAAACACAGGCAUUUUUUGUGAAUUAUCUGUGGAACAAAUCCGGUUAGGCAAUGCACCAGGUGGGGUGGUGUAUUCUAGAGGUUUCAAGGAAAUAGCUGCAAAAUUCAGGGAAAGGACUAACCUCAAGCAUGAAAUCAAGCAAUUCAGAAAUAGGUGGACACAAUGCAGGAAAUUAUAUAAAUUUUACAAUUUGGCAAUGAAACAAUCAGGUUUAGGUAGAAAAAGUAAUGGAGCAAUUUCAACAUUGAAACAAUGGUGGAAAGAUAACAGCAAGGUAGAUAUUUUUUUUUGUUUGUGCUGUUUACUUUUUUUUGUUGCAAGGUACAUAGUUUCUGAAUUCCUCUAUCAUUGGAUUGCAGUCACCAGAAUGCAAUAAAUUUAGCAGAUUCAUACCUCACUAUGUUGAGCUACUGCAUGAGAUGUUCCACAAAAAGGUUGCUGAUGGAUCAACAUCUACCAUAGCUGGAGAUGUGGAUGAGGAUAAGGAGUUCCCUGAUGAAGAUGACUUACCGGUGGAUGAGGACGACUACCCUCAAGAGAGCCCUAUGAGUAAUGGCAGCCGAAAAAGGAGUACCAGUACAAAUGACACAGCAUCAAGCCCACCAAAGAAGAGUAAAAGUCCAUUUUUUAGCAUGUUCAAGGGCCUCAUAGACACUAUGCAAGCUAGCAGCUCUGAAGAUAACAAUACCAUGAGGGUUAAGAUGGAGUUACAAUUGAAGCAGAAGGAACUGGAACUGCAACAACAAUUGAAGCAGAAGGAGAUGGAGUUGGAAUUUAGAAGGCAUUCUCAGGAUAAAGAAGAAGAGGAGUUCAAAGAAAGCCUUGUUAUGGCAUAGGAUUGUGGAGCAUCAGAAUUGUCAGAAGAGUACUUUGUUGCUAUGGAGUUGUUUACCAUUAGACUAAACAAAAUAGCUUUUGGCACAUUGAAGACAAAAGAAGCAAGGUUGAAAUGGUUGAAAACUAAGUGUGGCAGGUCAUGAAGUGUGGGCAACAACAAGUAGCUGUCAUGAAGUGUUGGCUUUGUCAUUAGAUAGUUAGAACUAUUUAAGAAACUUGUGUAAACUAUGCUUCUGUCAUGUGUGGACUAUUUAGUUGUUGUGUGAGAACUGAUUUACUAUCUUGUGUGGACUAUUUGAUUGUCAUGUGAGAUAUGAUUUCCUGCCUUGUUGAGAACUAUUUCAUGGCUGAUCCAUGGCAUUUCCAUGUGUGUACAGGUUGACUUGUUUGAUUAUGUUGAUGACUGGCUGGUUAAGAGGAAAAGGAUAAGAAGAGAACUUGUUGUCGUUGGUGCUUUGCUUGGUAUGUACUAUUAUGACACAUACUUGAACAGAUCACAAUAUAGGGUGCCUACAGAAUCUGGAUAUGAAUGGGUUAUCAAAACUUUAGGAAAUAGAUCAUCUUGCUACAACAUGUUCAGGAUGAAUAGAGAUGUAUUUGAUAGGCUUCAUAAUCUCCUUGUCCAAUCUUAUGGAUUAAACUCUACAAGGAGAAUGACAUCAGUAGAGUCUUUAGCUUUAUUCCUAUGGAUGUGUGGUGCCCCUCAAAGCAUGAGGCAAGCCGAAGAUCGUUUUGUUAGGUCAACUUGGACAUGUAGUAGGAAGUUCGAUAAAGUCUUGCACAGUAUUUCCAAGCUAGCAGGGGAUAUCAUUAGACCAGUUGACACAACAUUUAGUACUGUGCAUCAGAAGUUGAAAUCUCCACGGUUCUCUCCAUACUUUGACAAUUGCAUUGGAGCUAUAGAUGGGACACACGUGCCUGUUUUUGUACCAGCAGAGAAGGUUGUCCAACAUACGGGACGACAUGGGUACACUAGCUAGGAUGUGUUAGCCAUAUGUGACUUCGACAUGAGAUUUACUUUUGUCGUUGCGGGAUGGCCUGGAUCGGUUCAUGACAUGAGAGUCUUCUAUGAUACAAUUCUUCACGUAGUACGAAUGUUUCUGCAUAUAUGUAACACGGGUACUAUUGAUGUGCAGGAAAGUUUUAUCUUGUGGACUCUGGAUACGCAAACUGACCUGGGUAUCUUGCCCCAUACAAGGGUACGAAAUAUCAUCUACCAAAAUUUUGAGCCGGACCACUUCCAAGAGGUAAAAAGGAGUAGUCAAUUAUGCACAUUCAUCAUUAAGAAAUGUCAUCAAGAGGUCUUUUGGAAUUUUGAAGAACAAAUGGUGUAUUUUGCGCGAUUUACCAGCUUAUCCAAUGGCAAAGCAAAGUCAAAUAAUUAUUGCUUGCAUGGCAAUUCAUAAUUUCAUUAGAGAGAAUGCUAUUGCUAAUGUUGAUUUUCAGAGUGCGGAUCAUGAAGAAAACUAUGCUACACCUUCGGAAGGAGCAUCAUAUCAAGCAAAUGAAGGUACUACCCAACAUGGAGAUGAAGAUCAAAGCAUGAACCAGUUUCGGGAUUGGAUAGCCGAUGAAUUGUUCAAUAGGUCAUAGUUACCUUUAUUUUUUUUAACAAUGUAAUUUUUGGGCUACACAACAAUUUUUGGCUUCAAUUAAAAAUAAAUGGCUGCCAGCACCGUGACAAGCCAUUUUGUUCCUUGGCGCAUGGCGCCAGGAAGAAAUGGCGCCAAGGAGCCUGGCGCAACCUUCAGGAAACUAGCGCCAAGGACCCUGGCGGUUGAACCAGGGAGGAGAGAGAAAAGAUGGGAGGAGGGAGAAAGAAGGGUAGCAUUUAUUAGGGGCAAACAAGUCUUUAUCCUUCUCAUUGAAUGCCUUUUAGCAAAGGGAACCAAACAGCCUUGGCUAAACUUUAGCAACUAAAGUUUAGCAACUUUUAGCAACUAAACUUUAGCAAGAGGAACCAAAUAGGCCCUUACUAUUCUGGUGAACCAAUUAGAGUUCAAGUUCAGGGCCUCGUGGAAUCAGGCCCUGGGAUUCUAAUUUUUGGGUUGAAUCUGGUGAUUCUCUCAUCUGAAUUCGUGCUUAGGAUUUAGGACUGGACAGGCUCUGCGGAUUCUGCGGAUUGAUUCCUACUGGUAAGAUUAUUGUUGAUUGUGAAGUGGUAGUGUCUGUGACUCUGUGUACUGUUGUUCUUGUUAUCUGGAAAAAAGGAAUAGACGCAUCAAAUAGCUGCUUGAUCUUUGCUGCUGAAAGUUUGCUUUGCAGCUGUCUUUGAUUUCUACUCCAUGUGACAUUCUUAUAUGGUUUUGCUACUACCUGAAUCCGACAGGAAGUUCUUCUUUUCUUUAUAAUUGAUGCUGGCUGGUUGGGUUCCUGCAAUUUGCAUAUCGCAAUUUACUAUAUAGAUUGUGAGAGCCAAUUCGGUUUGGGGAAAAAAAAUUAACAGAUUAGGGCAUUGUUGAUACUCUUACAUGAACGUAUAGAUGUAAUACGUGUAGUUCACAAUGCCUUGUUCUCUAUUUCCAUUGUAAUGACCCUCUACUCCUGCCUGCCUUCACUGUUCAGAAAUUAGCCUGUGGCACCAAAUGUCACCUACAUCGGGAUUAAUUCCCCCAAGCCAUGACUUAAUCUGCCUCCCACCAUACAUGCAGGAUUGAUAAUUCACUGUGAAAUGGGCAUGAAGGGUACGACUGGCACUGAUGAAGAGAAAAAUAACCGGCAACCUCCUUGGUCACAAUUGUUACCAGAACUGGUCUCCAUGAUAUGUUAUCAACUCUGCCCAAGCGAUGUUCCUCGCUUUGCAUCGGUUUGUAAGCACUGGUAUUCUUGUGUGUUCCGUGUCUAUCCUGCAGAUAUAUUCCACCCCCAUUCUUACCAGCAACACCAUCUCGGACUCCGACCUGAUUCGUUGCUAUAGUCCCUACCAUAACAAGAUGUUUAUUGUUCGUACCCCUCUAAGAGUUCCUUCGGAAAGUAGAAUCUUCUCAGGAGAUGCGAAUGGAUGUGUUACUCUCACGACGCCAGACAAGACUCUCUUGUUCGGUAAUCUCUUGGAUAUUUCAGCAUUCGAGACAACUGAGUCCAAACACGAUGAAGGAUACUUCUGCGCAUCGCAUAAAGAUGGGACUGGAAAUUCAGAGCAAUGCGCAAUCUUUGGCUUUUAUGCUUCUACGAACACUAUAAGAGUUCAGAGAUGGAAUGGAGAAAGGUGGAAGUAUUUUGUUGAUGUCUCGGACGACGAAGUUGGCUCCGACUCCAGCUCCGGCUCUGAUUCCGAUUCUAACUCAGACUCCGGCUUCGGCUCCAGUUCUGACUCUGAUUCCAACUCAGACUCAAACUCCGGCUUAGACUUAGGGUCUGUUUGGUUGGACUGUGAGCUGUGAAAAAGCUGCUGUGAGCUGUGAGCUGUGGAAAAGCUGCUUUAAGUUGUCAGCUGUGAGAAAGCUGAAAGUCGUUUGGUUGAAACAGCUGUGAGACUGUAGGUUUGGCAAGGAAGGUCUGUAAUGUCCUUGGAAGGUACGAGGGACUGUUGAUAUGCAAAUUGAUUGUAAAACACUGUGUUGUUCACUUAAUCACAUGUAAAUUACCAUUUUAGAAAGGGAAAUUUAAUUUUUUUUAAAAUUUUGCAGCCACCAUUACCAUAUUGUCCACAUGAAUACAAAGAUAACAUUUCACAAAAGAUAUAUGGUUCAUAUAAAUGUCCACCAUUAACAUAUGGUCCACAUAAUUAUCUCCCUCUCGUCCUAACCAAAGCAUCAGCUAUUCUACUACGAAUAGUAUUCAUCGUAUCCUCAUUCUCCCCAUCUGGACUCUCAUCUCCUUGUGUUUGGGUUAUGCCACAUGUCUCUUGUAGUAGGUAGUCCUCAUCAGCAUCACAUCUAUCAAACACUUUAUCAUGCAAAUUGCUCUCACGAAUAAAAUUAUGCAAUGCCAUGCAAGCAAGAAUAAUAUGCUUUUGAGUACGAGUGGAGAAACUUGGCAUGUCCUUCAAAAUACGCCACUUCUGCUUCAACACUCCGAAAGCCCGCUCAAUGACAUUUCGAAGGGAUGAAUGCAAAAAAUUGAAAAUCUCGUACUUCCCUUGAGGAGGACGUCCAGAACGAAGCCGGAAUUCUGGUAUGUGGUAUGUGCUUCCUUUGAAAGGAGCAAGAUAUCCUACUCUGUUUGGAUAGCCAGAGUCCACAAGAUAAUAUUUUCCUACAAAACCAAAUCAAAUCAUCAAAGGAAAACAACAAUAGAACUAUUACUAACUCUUAACCAACAUGCAUACCUUUGGGAGGCACGGGAAAUGAAGGAAAAUUCGCUAAUGCAUGAUUGAGAAUCCGUGUGUCAUGUGCAGAACCCGGCCAACCAGCAACCGCAAAGAUAAACCUCAUAUCAAAGUCACAAACUGCUAGCACGUUCUGAGAUGUAUAUCCAUGUCGACAUGUGUGGUUAACCACUUCCUCUGCUGGAACGGCAACUUUAACAUGUGAACCGUCUAUAGCUCCAAUAGCGCCUUUGAAAUAAGGCCAGAAACGGUCCUCUUUCACCCUUUCAUGCUCAGUACAGAAAGUUGGAUCUCUUGGCUUGAUAUUGUCCUUUGCUAACUUGCGCAAACAAUUCAAUACUUCAUGAAACUUGGUGUGAACUGUCCAUAGCGACCGUGUAAAACGAUUUUCAGCUUGUGAAAAUGAUUGGGGUCCUCCGACGAUCCACAGAAACAUCGCCAAUGACUCAAUUGAUGAAACAUUGUUAGUUGAGAUCAAACCGUAAUUCGAGAUGAGCACAUCAUGUAGUGCCAUGAAAAUAUCAGUGCUCAUUCGAAACAUCUUAUAAAAGUACCUCGGACGAUCAAAGCACCUCGUAACCCAUUGAAGUCCAGUUUCUAAUGUUUCCCUGUAUUCUGCUUUGUUGAAAUAACGAUCCGUGUACAUGUUUCCCAUUUGACCAAUAGUAGCAGCCUGAUAGGAAAGUUCAGCUAGAAGCAAUAAUCCCUUUUGCUCCUUUUUGGCCAGUUCUUCCAUGUUGGCAUCCAUCUACAGACACAAGUUCAAUUCUUCCCUACAGACACAAGUUCAAUUCUUCCAUUCAGAUAACAGAAGCACAUAACCAAAUAUAUGAACAUCAUAUGGAUGGACAACACGAAUAUAUGAACACCAUAUGAACACAUAACCAAUGGUUCUCAAAUAGUUCUCACAGACAACUAAAUAAAUAUUGGUGCACAAACGACUAAUGGUUCUCAACAAAGGGUAAUAACAGACAACUAAUGGUUCUCAACAAAGAAAAAUAAACAAUUAUUGGUUCACAACACAACACUAGAUAAAGUAGAAAAUAGUUCUACUGACGCUUUAACAACUCCUUUUCAUGCUCUCUCUCAAUCAAAUCGAACCUUCCUUCUUUUGUUUCCAGGGAGCUAAAGACCUCCCUAAAUUCAGGUUUGACGAUAAGGAAAGUGGCUGUGUGCAUUAGAGCAGUUUUUUCUUGCACUCCACAAUCUUUCACCAUCUUCAUAGCCUCUGAAAUGCUUGGGACUGGAUUGGUUGGAGCAGCAGAUGAAGCUUCAACACUAGAGGAUAUCUUAUCUGCUGCAGUUUCUAUCUUCAAACAUGUGUUCUUGUACAGUCGAAAGAAUGGGCUCUUCUCCUCCUUCUCUACAAUAGAACUAGAGUGUUCCUUGCGUUUCUUUUUUCCUGGCUUUGAUUUCUUCAAAGCAGCCAGCUUCACAUCAUCAAUGUCUUGAGUUUUUUGUAUCUCACUCACAUCGUCAUCACUUGACUCAUCAGAGGAUAUAUCUCCAGGGCAAGAUGCACUAGCGCCAUUGACAUGUAUCUUAUCAAACAAUAUAUGCAGAUCAUCAAGGUGCUUUGGCCCUUGUUUUCUGAACCUCACAUGAUUGCAUUUGAUACCUUUCUCAGGAUUAUUGCACCUCUGAAAUUAAAUGAAACAAAGGGUUCAUUAGCAAGUAAUAGAAUAUGAAAACAUUGAAAAUGAACAAUGAAUAAUGACAGUAAAGUGCUUACAGCUAGGUGUUCAUCCCACCAUUCCUUAGAGCACUCAACAGUUCGCUUCGCCUCAUUCCAUCCAAGCCCAGUUGCACUAUUUUUCAACUCCAUGAACCAUGUAUAUUCCUUUUUCAUAUUGUCCCACUUGUUCUUGAGUUGUUUCUUUGUUAGCUUCUGACCAGUUUUUUCUUCAUGCUUAGAUAUAACAUUUUUCCAACCAGUCCUAUUGAAAAAUCCCAACGGCCUAUUUCCAGCUUCUAUCUCUCCUUUGCAGAUAUCAAUAAAAAGCCUCACAUUGGCAUCACACCAAUCUGCCUUAUCAGCCAUUCUUGAAUGAAGAAAAAAAACUUUGAUUCAAUUCAGUUACCAUAACAUGACUACGACCCAAGAACUAGUGUCUAUCUCUAUACUCUUGUCCUUCAAUUCAUCCAUGAUAUAUCUAGUCUGGCAUAAAGGAAGUUAUAAUACCCCAGAUCUUUGGUGGUAUUCACCCUACCUAAUAAUAUGCACAAUAGUUAUUUUUAGAUGAGCUACUCCCACAAGUAUAUUUCACAGAACACAGUUUAUAAAACCUUAAUGUGCACAAGCCAAUUUACUACUCGAAUGGCACAUGCCAAUUUACUACUCGAAUGAACAAGCCAUGUGUUUGUUUUCUCAAUAUACUCCAUGAAUUAAUAAUGGCUACCUACAUGUAUCUGACGGACAGCACAGAGCACAACAGGGAAUUCAAUAUACUUGAGCUCGAGCUCCUAGAGACUCACCUCGAAUCCUGACUCACGGAAUCCCGUCCACUCGAGUGCUUGCAGAUCUGGAGCUGCCAGCCACGGAUUUGCGCUGCGCCAGCUCCUACAGCUUGGUCCGGGGAGGAGACGAAAGGGGCGGCCACAAGGACGGCCCCAGGAGAGAGGUCAGCGGCGUCCCGCUGGAGGCGGCGGCCUACUGCGACGGAGAGAGGGCGGCGGGGGCCUGCUGCAACGAAGACAGGGCGGCGGCGGCCCGUUGGCAGCAGCGACAGGGCAGGGGCAUCCCGCUGCCACCGGCGACCCGCUGUGACGGACAAGGCGGCAGCGGCCUGCUGCGACGAAGAAAGGGUGGCGGCCCUAGGAGAGGAAGAGAGGGCGGGAUGCGCUCUUGCCGGGGAGGAGCGGCCGCCGUCGCCGAUGACGAAGCAGGAAGCGCCGCCGCCGGCCCGUGCGCUAACCCUAGCGCAGCCUGCGGUUGUGGAUAGAGGAGAGCGAUGGUUCUGGACCAGAGAAAGAGAGGAGAGCCAUGGAAAAUAUCGAACCGGUAAGUUGUAAAGAGUGGCAGGCGGGUAAUUUGAUGUAAAACCAAUCCUUCGCAGCCGGUGAAAGCCGGGUAAGAGGUGCUGCGGGAAUACAAUGUCGCGCGAAGCUGCUUUUUGUUGAAGUACCGUGCUAGGAGCGCAAGCUUUGGUUAGCUUUCUACUUUUUGCGGCAGCCACAGCACUUUAGAAGUCAAACCAAAUAGACUCUUAGACUCUGGGUCCGGCUCCGGCUCCGGCUUAGACGCAGACUCAGACUGCAAUUGUGACUGCUACUGUGACUCCAACUCAGUAUCCGACAAUGACGAGGAAGAUGCUGUUAAAGAGAAGCAAGAAGAGGAUAUGGAGUUGAAAGAGGAAAAGGUCAAGGAGAAGGAGAUGGAGGAGGAAGAAGACAAUGAAGGGAUUUCACAAUGUCUUGCUGCCCAGUACUGCACAAGGGUCUCUGGUACUGCCUGGGAAAAGGAGGAAGGUUAGGAGUUUAUGGUCCCAAGAGGAGGGGGAGUUGGAUUUUUCUUCACAAACCCACCAGCUUUGGUUCUGAGUUCCCACACAAAAAUGGCUACCUGGUUGAGUCUAGCCAGGAGCUGCUUGCCGGUUUUGACGGGAAGGGAUGGCACACCCAUCCAUGUGCUGAAGCUUACUGGGUAGCAGGAGAUGAUGUGGGAAAAGAUAGACUCACUGGGUAGCAGAGCAAUCUUCACGGGAACGGUUGCAUCACUAUCAAUGGCUAAGCCUCCAAAAGACAUGGAAAACAAGGUCUACCUUCCCAAGUUCUAUGGGCACCCUCCGAUAUAUACAGCAAAGCUCACCAGCCCUAGGGAUCGCCUCUUUUUCGUGCCAGAGCAAAAGGAGAUGCAACAGCCCAGCUCUAACAAGUCAUUUAAUACCUUCAUGGGGAAGCAUGGUACCUGUGGAGAUAAGAAUGGCGCCUGGUGCUAUGACCUGGAGUUGGACUCCAGGGUUGACAAGAAAAUAUGUGGCUGCAAGAAUAUGCUGCAGUACAUCUGGGUUCAUCUUGGCCGUGCUUCACCAUAGAUAAGAUAGUUAGGAGCAUGGAUCACCCGUUAGAUCAUUGUUCCAGCUUGGGCUUGAAAUUGAUGUUUGUUUUGGCCAAAACACUUGAUGGAAUAUUUGCGAAUACUGAUCCGCAGUUUUGUCAAGCAUGCUGUUGUGAUCUUUCUUCCAUUUGAUUGUUUCAUGAUCGUAGUUUUUAAGUUUAACAAGAGAGAAUCCUCAAUUCUCUUUGUCCCAGGUUAGCAGAACUUUGUGUGAAUCAGGAAAGGCAAAUAAUCAUUGGCAUGUUCCAUCUGAUGUCUCCGGCUCACUCUGCAAGUUAGAGAUCAUAUCAUGUAACAAUCUUAAGAACUUAAUUUUGUACUAUCAAUUACCUUCGCCUUAUAGAUCCAACGACCGACAACAUUUCCUAUCUACCUACUUUCCUCUCCACAGCCUCCUAUCGACUUCCCUCGAUAAGUUGGGUUUCUUUAUUGUGACAGUUGAAUCUAAUUGUUUUGCAAAGGGCAGGAGCAGGCAAUUCACUGUAUGAUAUCUGAUAUUGAAAUUGUGGAACCUGUAGUCAUUAUGUAGUCCUAGAAUUAAGCUUUUUCACGACCGUGCCUUAGCACGUACUCCCUCCAUCCUAAAAUUACUAUUUGUUUUGACUUUUCUAGAUACAUGUCUUUUGAUAUGCAUCUAAAUGUAUACUAUGUCUAAAUACAUAGCAAAUUUUAUGUAUUUAGAAAAACCAAAACGAAUAGUAAUUUAGAAAGGAUAGAGUAUUUCACUAAGAGAAAGAAAGCAUACAAAACAUCCUACACCAUGUCAUACAGAGGAUAACAUAGCAGAAAAAGGAAGAAAAAAAAAGAAAGAGCAGGCUAAUGCAUUGUACUCUGUAGUCCUAAAAUUAAGCUGGUGGUCACUGUUAAAAAAAAUUCUUGAGAAACUACGAGGGUGUUUGGUUCCCACCCCCUAGUCCCAUCACAUCGAAUGUUUACAUACUAAUUAGGAGUAUUAAAUAUAAACUAUUUACAAAACCCAUUGCACAGAUGGAGGCUAAACAGCGAGACGAAUCUAUUAAGCCUAAUUAGUCUGUGAUUUGACAAUGUGCUGCUACAGUAACUAUUUGCUAAUGAUGGAUUAAUUAGGCUUAAUAGAUUCAUCUCGCCAUUUAGCUUUCCAUCUAUGCAAUUAGUUUAUAAUUAACUCAUAUUUAAUCCUCCUAAUUAGCCUCUGAAUAUUCGAUGUGACAUGAAUUAAACUUUAGCUCAAGGAACCAAACACCCCUAGGUGUCAGCAAUGGCUGCAAUGGGGCGCUAAAACUCCAGUGCGCGAAAUUAGAAGAUAAAACACCAAAAAUACUGUAUUAAUCCACGAUUACUGGCAAUAUUUUCUAUGUUCUACUUGAUUCUUUUAUUUUCAGGCGCAGAUGCGUGGUCUUAUUCCAGAGAAGUGAGUAAACAAGGUUGACUUUUAUUUUAGAUGUUAGAUCGGGUCUAAAAACACACUCUUCUAGUGCAUACAACUCUAGCGCAUACAACUGUCCACAGAGCACAAACCAGUUCUGCUGUAGCAUCUACAUGCGGUCCUUUUCUUUUUGUUCCCAUUGAAUAUGAUACUUCUGUCAGUUUUCGUUUGGAUUUACUGUACCCGUGCAACUGCUGCAGUGAUAAUCUGGGACAAGUGAAAUGCUGUCAUGUUCUUUCGCUUGUGCAUCACCAGGUCUGCAUGGUUGCUAUUGCUAGAGUUCUAGUUUAGCAUACAGUAAAUUUUCGUAGCAAUGCUUGGUUAACUUGGUUUGUAAUAAGGCCACGACUUCUUGGAUGAUGGAUUUUGUCUGGUGUCAUUAGCCGUGUCUGGGGUUCAUUGUUUCUGAAUGUUUUUAGGGUGCCCGAAUUUGGUUGGAACGUGUUGCCAGUUGAUACCGGUUCUUCCAUUUUACAUUCUGUUAUCCUUACGUUUGUCGACUCGGCUGUAAUCGCACGUGGUCCAUCAAUAAUCGCAUUCAAGGAAUAAGAUUAUGGUCUGGUUUGGUUCCACCGACUUAUUUUUAGCACCCGUCACAUCGAAUGUUUAGAUACUAAUUAGAAGUAUUAAACGUAGACUAUUUACAAAACUUAUUGGAUAAGUGGAGGCUAAACGGCGAGACGAAUCUAUUAAGCCUAAUUAGUCCAUGAUUUGACAAUGUGUGCUACAGUAAACAUUUACUAAUGAUGUAUUAAUUAGGCUUAAUAGAUUUGUCUCGCCGUUUAGCCUCCACUUAUGUAAUGAGUUUUGUAAAUAGUCUACGUUUAAUACUCCUAAUUAGUAUCUAAACAUUUGAUGUGACACGUGUUAAAAAUAAGCAGAGGGAACCAAACGCUCCCAUAUUUUUGUCGACUAGGCUGGUUUGCGGAAGGAUCUUGAAACAGGAACACCUUGCUGUCUGGCGCUGCUGCUGACUAUCUGGGUUCCGUUUGCCACACAUCUGUUAUCCAAGGCACCGGGCUGAAAAGAAGGUCUGAUCGAACCAAGACCUUUUUUGUUUUGGCAAAUUAAAGUUAAUGAUCAAAGAACUGGCCACCAAACACAUGGAUUUUCUACCUUCUCCGAAUCGAAAUUGGCCUGGACACCAACCUUGUUUACUGAACAAGUGUAUGCUCUGUACAUCCACGUCGACUGUCGCUGCUGCUUUGUUUCCCCAAGAAGUAUGCUGUUGUUGCUUCAAAGCACAACUAUUCACCAACCGGUCGCAUAAUGUUCUAUAGCAUUUCUAGAAGCCAUUUCACCAACCUCCAAAGACGAUGACAAUACAACAAUUCAUUAUUUGCACAAAAAACCUCGAAAGACGACGACAAUCCAACAAUUCAUUAUUUGAACAAAAUUUACUCAUGUAUCAACAAAAUUCGUCCACGUUUAACCCAUUUCUUCAGUCAGUGAAGAACGUGGUUACAAGAUCUCCAUCAAACAAGCUCGAUCGGUGUCUAAACUAAAGUAUACUUUCAAAAAGGAAAGAAUUAUUAUUUAAUCUACAAGCAAUCGAAGAAUCAAUUUCUAUUGUGCUGUACUCGUAACUCGUGUCCUAUGCUAUGAUUGCCUCAGCGACACCAGGUACGCUGGCAGCCAUGGCGGCGGCGCAGGAGGCUCGCAGCUGAUCAGCUGGCAUGGCCUCAGGCGCCGCCGCGGGUGCGUCCGCGAACCACGGGCAACGGAGGGUGUCCGCGGCGGCGAGCCGCCUGUCCGGCCUGCAGGACAGGAGCCCGCUCAGGACGUCGAAGCCGGCGGCUGACAGCGCCGGGAACAUCUCCCGUAGCCGGCUGGGCGGCCGGGCGCGGUGGCAGAGCCCCGACCCGGCGCGCGGCAGCCGCGCGAAGCCCGGCCACGACGCCAUGUCCUGCAUCCCCAGCGUAUCGAACACCCUGUUGAGCUGGUCCAUCUCCGACCGACCCGGGAAGAGCGGCGCACCGGCGAGGAGCUCGGCCAUGAUGCAGCCGAGCGCCCACGUGUCGACGCCCGCGUCGUAGUCCCGCGAGCCCAGGAUCAGCUCCGGCGCGCGGUACCACAGCGUGACCACGCCCGGCGUGAGCGGCGCGCCGCCGGCGUCGGCGGCGGCGCGGGACAGGCCGAAGUCGCAGAUCUUGACGCCCCCGCGGCCGUCGAGGAGGACGUUGUCGGGCUUGAGGUCCCGGUGGAGCACGCCGCGGGCGUGCAUCGCCGCCGCGCCCUCCAGGAGCCGCCGCAUCACGCGGCGCGCCUCGGCCUCGGGGAACGUCCGGCGCCCGGCGCCGCGGCCCUCCCGCUCCCGCACGACCUCCGACAGGCUCCGCCCGGCGUACUCCAUGACGAGGAACGCGCCGCCGCCGUCGCCGUCGCGGUGCGCGGCGCGGAGCUCGACGAGGCACGGGUGGCCGCGGCAGGCCUCGAGGCAGCGCGCCUCGCGGAGGAACGUCUCGGCGAAGGCGUCCCCGUCGCCGUUGCCGCCCCCCGCGCGGAGGCGCUUGAUGGCGACGGUCUCGCCGGUGCGGCGGUCGCGGGCCCUGUACACGGUCCCCGACGCGCCCUCGGCGAUCUUGCCGAGCCGCUCGUAGUGCUCCAUGAUCCGCGCUGUGCCGGCGCGGGCGAUCCGGGGGUUCUUGGUUUGUUCGUUGCGGUUAGCAGCGGCGGCGGAGAGACGCCUGGUGGUGGUACAUGUUUUUUAUGGGCUUGGUGUGGCCGCUCGGGGUUCCGGUUCGGUUCGGCACGCGGUCAGCCCAGCCGUCGGUGCGGGCCCACGCGUCAGUAUCACUAGCAAACGCGUGGACGGGUUGUCAAGGAUGGGAUGCGAUUAGGUGGGUUCGCGGUUGGGAGGUUCUGGGAUUUUGGCUUGGGCACAUCAUUACUACUCUCCUAACUAGGCUUGGUCUGAAUGUGCCAAAUUCGGCCGAAUCCACUGGAAAAAUUCUGGCAGAUGUUGCUGCAACAACAUUAAGCAUAGCGUGGUACAGUCCUCUGCAAAUAUGAGGAAACAAGUGUUCAUUCUCAAAAGUCCAUCUCUCUUCUCCUAGGUGUUUCUUUCUUCAGCCUCAUCAAGCUGAAAGAAAAAUGUGUCAUCUAAUAAUGGCCGUCACGCAUACUUGGCUGAGCGCCCUUGGAGGAAGGGAAGGGAAAGGAAACCGUGACGGCCAGAACGAGGAAAGCAUGCGGUUGGUGGCGCGGCGGCUUUCAGGUCCCCCGAACCUUCUCGCGGUCCUCGUGCCAAUCAUUGAACCAGUCGCUCAACCUCACCGGGCGUGUCGGGUGCCAUGAAAACUAGUUUAUUUUGGCAAGCUCCAGUGACGCGCACAUGAAAAGUGCUUUUCGAGCUGGGCCACCCGCGAAAGAAAAUUGGCGUCGGCGGCCCAGGCGUUUCUCACCGAUCAGCCAGGGGCCGUGCCGCGCUGGUUGCCUGGUUCAGGACUUCCGGCUACAAUUGGGGAAUAGUUGUGCAUUACUAGUAUACUUUUAUUUUGUUCUUCCAUUUUUUUAAAAAAAAAAUUGCACGUAUUUCAAGCUUCCGUUGUGUAAUAGUCGGUGUCACCACAGUAUCACAACUUUGUGGGAAAUCUUUGGCCACCCUCUUCCUGCUUGUAAGCCACAAAUCGACGAAAUGCAUGCCCAUUUGAAUAGUUAAACUCUGCAGUGACAAAGUACGAGGAACUAAACGACCCGAACCUGCCAUGUACAAGGUGAUCUAGGGUUUCAUUUCUUCCGGAUAGAGCAUGCAUUCAUAAAGAUUUACGCAUUAAGAUUUGAACCUUCCUUUAAUCAAGAAUUAGUCGGAUAAAUUAUGCUUCCUCUAUCCCCAAAUUAUAGGUCGUUUUGAUUUUUUUUAGAUUCAUAGAGUUUGCUAUGCACUUAGAUAUACCCCAUAUCUAGAUACAUAAUAAUAUAUAUGCAUCUAGAAUAGCUAAAAUGACUUGUAAUUUGGAACGGAGGGAGUAGAUUGUAACAAUAGAACUUGAAAUAUAUGUUCAUAUUAACCUCUAACCACGAACAGUAUAAUCUUUAAUAUAUUUGUAGCAUAGUUAAUUGUAAGCAUAUAUGUGAACUGAGCUAUGUUCCAUGUAAUGAAAUGUAUUUACAUGGAUCCAAGUCUCCGAUUCGACAAAGGUACUUACACAUUAAGAUUCAAACUUAUGGCGUUAAAUGUAUGCAUUACACUAUUUUUCUUUCAUAUGCAUUAUUAUUCUAACUUAUUUUUAGUUACGAAUAGUCUGAUAAUAUAGCCAUCAAAUUAGGAAAAAUUACAUUCAAAAUUACAAUAUAUUCGUAUUAUAAAAGUUCAUAAAGUUUAUAGUGAUGAACAAUGUAAUACACGAGAUAUUAGCAGCUAAAUUGUACUAUGUACAACUACACCAGCAGGUCAAUGUGCACUUGGUUAUAUACGCCAUACGUGCUGCUCCCUUCCAAAGGUUUGUUUAUAUAUGUUGGCUUCCAUGUACCGCCUAAUUUAAUUUGUAUUUUUUAAGAAUAAUAUGUUGUAACCAACUAGGGUCCGUUUGGUAGGACUUCUCAAAGUACUUCUCCACCGAUUUUUGGUGAAGCCCUACCAAAGGAUCAAUUUCAAAACGGCUUCAUCACCAAAGCCGGAGAGAAGCCGCAAAACGGCUUACACUAGAGAGGAGAAGCCGAAAAAAGUGGCUUCACCGACUUCUCUUCUCUCUCCAAGCAUUAAGUGAUCAUAAAAUUACAUAUAUUGCCAUUGAGAAGCCGUUUUACCAAACAUUUUGCAAAACGGCUUCAACUUCACUAAAAAAGCCACUCCACCGAAGAAGCCGAAGCCGUUAUAUGAGAAGCCGAAGCUCUACCAAACGGGACCUAGAUAGCUAGUAGACAUUUUCCUUAUUUAUUUGGCAAACUGAGAAUAGCUCAGCUGAUAAUAAUAAGGUUCUAGGUUUCUUUAAAAAAAACUUUAUAAAACAUGCACAUAUUUCACUAAGAGACAAACAACUGUUAUGGAACAUGUGGUGCCUUCAUUCUACAUGUCGCACAAUAUCAAAACUUGGUGGGAAAUUUUUUAGCCACCCUCUUCCAACUUGUAAGCCGCAAAUCAACAAAGUGCAUGUCCAUUUUAAUGGUUAAACUCUGCAAUGGCCAAGUACGUACGUGAAACUAAAACGCCCAAUUGUAGGUGUGUAGUACGUGCAGGUGAUCUAGGAUUUCAUUUCUUCUGGAUAUAGCCGCAUUCAUAAAGGUUUAUAUAUUAAGAUUUAAAUCUUCCUUUAAUGAAGAAUUAGUCGGAUAAGUUAUAAAUUGUAACAGUAACUUGAAGUAUGUUUCUCAUAGUCAUGAACAAUAUAAUAUCCAAGAUAUUUGCAGCAUAAUUGUAAUCAUAUAGGUGAACUGAGCUAUAUAUAUUUCUUGUAAUGAAAUGUAUUUACAUGGAUCCAAGUCUCCAACUCAACAAAGGCACUUACACAUUAACAUUCAAACUUAUGGCAUUAAUAUGUAUUACACUCUAUUUUUCUUUCAUAAAGGUGCGUACACAUUAUUAUUCAAACUUAUUUUUAGUUACAAAUUAGUAUGAUAAUUUGCAAAUUAUAGCCACCAAUUUAGUAAAAUUACAUUUAAAAUUACAACAUUCAUGUUAUAAAAGUUCAAUGUGAUGAACAAUAUAACACUCAAGAUAUUAGCAAUCAAAUUGUAUCCUGUAUUGCUGCACCAGUAGGUCAAUGUGCACUUUACUUGGUUAUACGUGCUGCUCCCUUCCAAAAGUUUCUUUAUAUGUGUUGGCUUCCAUGUGGCACCUAAUUUAAUUUGUACUUUUUUAGAAUAAUGUGACGUAACUGAUUAGUUAGUGGUUGACAUUUUCCUAAUUCAGCAAACUAAGCAUAGUUCAGUUGAUUCCUUGGGGUGGAACAUGCCCAUCUGGGUUCGAAUCUUCAACCCAACAUGAGUACUUGUAUUUUUCUAAAUUUAUUCUAGCAAUUAACUAGAACUGGAGCAAUUCUUUCAGUGCUAGACAAUGUGCUCAUCGACAGUGAGUUGCAUGUGGUGACUUAGACCAUGUUUGUUUGAAAUUAUAGUCCACCUAUAUUAUAUAAGUUGGAUUAUGGGUUAUGGGUACUAUUGUAAAAGACCACCUUGGGACCACAAAUAAUCUGAAAUUAGUCUUGGGCUACUUAUUUCAGAUUAUUUGUGGUCCAGAAUGAUCUUUUACCCUACUACCUUUGGACCAUAAUCCAGCUUAUAUAAUUUAGGAGGGAAACAAAUAGGCCCUUAAUUAGUUAAACUAGCUAGUGUAGGAUCAAGGAUACUGACUAGAGGGGGGUGAAUAGACAAUUUCAACUAAAAUCAUAACACUAAAUAAAUUUAAUUAGUAACACAAGAGAAAUUCUAUUUCUACUCUUUCUAGAACUAGGUGAGGGUUUGCAACCUAGGGUGACAAGAUAUAAUUCAAUCUCUAGGAAUGUAAUUGCUCAAAGUAAAUUGCAAUAAUGAAAUUGAGCAAAGAAAUAACCGAAGACAAGAGACAAAUUUAUCCCGUGGUGUCGAUGACUUGCUGAUCACCCCUAAUCAACGUUGAGGUAGAUUAAAUGUUCCAACCGCUCCUCUAUCAAGACUCCGCUUGAUCUUGAGCCAGCUUGAAUCAAAGAACCUCUCCAAACCUUGAUUCCAUUAAAGUUGCUCUUCACCGCUCCGGCGAGGUGAGCACAAGAACCUCUCACAAGAAUAGCCGGGGCUCCUUCACAAUCUUCUUGAAGGGCUCAAUGACUCCACAGCCUCAAAGCCAUAUAGGAGGCGGCAACCUCCAAGAGUAACAAGCCAAUGACACUUGCUUGAAGACUCCCUAGUACCACAAAGCUCAAACUCUUGAUGCAAUGCACUAGGAUGCUCUCAAUCUCACAAGAAUGCAAACUCUAAGUAAAGUGAGUGAGAGAGAGGAGGAAGAAGGCUCAAGUAUGUCAUGGAAGCUUUCCAAAGUGCCAAGAGAGGUCUCCCACGACCGGGCAUGAGCUAUUUAUAGAGCCAUCCUCCAAAACUAGUCGUUAUGUUCAAAACGCGUGAAAACAGGGGAUUGGCGAACCGUCUGCCUUUACGAGCGCGGACCGUCCGCAGUUCAUCCCAACGGCUAUAACUGCAAUAAAUGUGUGUCAGAACUAUCUGUUGCAGCACAGGCGGACCGUACGCCCUUACAGGCGCGGACCGUCCGCGGUUCAUAUUUUCAUCCAUGCAGGGAGAAGGUAGACAUGUCCAGAACAUGUCAAUCCCCAUGAUAUUUACUAUGGACAUGUCGCGGACCGUCCGCCUCUCACUUUCACCAAACAUUCAGAACCAAACUGGUUCUGUCCAACUCUUCAAAUUAGCCAAUGGACCGUCCACCGUUCACAUCGAAGCACCUCUCAGAACCAAGAAUGGUCCUAUCUAAAUUUUAGAUCAUGUGGCGGACCGUCCGCCACUCACGGCUGGAUUGUCCUCCCUAACUUAAUGCCCCACCAGAACCAAAACUUGUCAUGUCUAAAAACCAAACCAAGUGGUGGACGCCCCUUAGGGCCGGACCAUCCGCCCUUUAACUUUUCAGCGCAUCAGAACAAAUUCAAAGUUUGGCUAAGUCAAAUAAUGGUCCGCUUGCAAGGGAGACCGUUCACCAUACACAGCGUGCUAGCCAUUUUCAAAACAUAUUUUUACCAGCGUAUUUCCCACUUUCCAAACAAGAUAGACCUAUAUGCAUGCAAUGCAAUUGUUUGAGAAAAGUGGCACUAUAGAACCAUCAAGCAAAUAAAAUUGACCCCUCUUGAUAGUACAGCUAUCUAGACUAUUAACCCGGUCAAUUAUCAUCCACUAAGCACCUCUUGACUGGUAAAAUAGGAAAGCCCUACCAUAUACCUUUACCUUGAGCUUUCCAAUGUAAAUUCAUCCAAGCUAUCACCGUAGCAUCCUUUGAAGCUCAAUUCAUCUCUAGGACUAACCUAUACUCAUAUCUCCAUGAAAUUGUUAGUCCACGAAUAUUAUCAUUAAUUACCAAAACCUUAAUUAGGGGCCUAGAUGCUUUCAGCUAGACCCUUAUGGUGACUUCAUCAGCAUCGAAAUCCGUCGGCUAUUCUCUUGGGGGUGAUCUAGGGAUACAAUUGCACGUGUGUAUUCAUAGAGGUAAGUGUGCAUACAUAAUCUGUGAGGAAAUUAACAAAUUAAAUAGGCCCCAAGUCUUGUAUAUUGUGCCUAGAAUAUUUAGUUACCAUGUUUUUGUUUCUAGCUAGUAGAUCCUAUAAUUCAUCUUUGUGAUCUAUAUGACAUUUUCUUGCACCUUUAUUGUAUUUAUAUGUCUUUCCAUGGCUGUACAACUGGUUUUGCUAUUAGUAGAAUAAAGCAGUUAUAAUGGUGGUAACACGAGGAGCAUGACCAAAUAUUAGUUAAGGGUCUGAGUUGUGUGGGUGAUAGCUGAGCAACUUGCAUUGUCUUGCGGCUUAGUCAUUGAUGUGCUGCCACUAUAGCACAACACCAGAUUACUGACAUACGUCAGUUGGUAACAGUCUACUAUUACCAUUGAGAGGUCAAUCGGUAAAACUCUCCAACGCACGGUCAUUCGGUGGUCCUUGUUUUGUAGAGUAACUCUCAGUCGGCAAAGAUAUCUGAGUUUAUCGAGUAGCAGUCUGUCGGCAAUUGUAUUUGCUACAUCCAACCGUCAGUCAGUAAAUAGGGCCUACAAAUGGAAUCAUAUCGUACUCUAUAUUGAUUAAAAGUGAUAAACAACAAACUUUACCUUUCUUGCAUCAAACUUCAAUGUAACAUUGAUUUAUUAUGUUUGUUCAUGAAAGUAAUCUCAUUAUAUUUUUAAUAAAUAAUAUACCUUUUAUAAUUUAAAUGUACUCAUGCCUAUUUAUUAGAAUUACUUUGCAUUUAAGCUACAUAUGUUGUAAAAAUGAUCUUUAAAUAAAAAAAUAAAUAUCUAUGCCGGUGCAUUCAUAUAUUUAGAUACCACUUGCAAAUUUGGAAGAAAAAAAUUCAACGCCUGAUUCAUGGUUUAGCACUUAAUGCUUCAUAACGAAGAGCACAAUGGUCAACGAGGUAGAUGACAUCCACAGUUUCAAACUAACUAAUGCAUGGCUCUAACAAGAGGACUUGAAUGUUUAAUUCUGUUUUUCUACGAUGGAGUACAACUAACUCACACCUUAUUUUCUAGAAGAAAAAAAAAGAAUACUUAUAUUUAUCACUAGGAUAGUCCAACAAUUCUGUGUCUCUGCUGUGCCCUCGCUUGUUCAAACCCCAACUCAUUCCUUGACUUACACCUCUACAAAAGCAUCAUUCCUACUUGUUCAAACGGUACCUUGACACUUCUAACUCCUACCACCAGUGUCAUGGUGCAGUGGAUGCACUUCUACAAAUCUAGCGACCGACAGUGCAAUCUGUGGCUAAUGACUUGACUGAACAGUUAUCAAAAUUUGUCCAUCCUCUCCUCCGGAAGAAGGCCUAGCUAGUUUUUGACAAAGCCAAAUCUGCUGAAACCAGCAUAUAGUCGCCAUAUUGAUCGAUCCUAAGAACACGGCCCAAGAACGAAGAGUGUACAAAUACAACACCUAGUCAUUAAUUUUAUCCCCAAGUAAAUUAACUCCAUCCAAGUAAGAAAUCAACAGUUCAAGUUCCAAGUUACUUGAAGUACAUUUAUACACGUGCUCACUGCUCAAUCAACGACCUCAUCGCCUACCCAUGCACGCACACGCAUGUAGAGAGGACGUCUACUUGAAGUAGUAUGGGAGGUCGAGCACGUAGAGGAGGAAGUAGGCCCAGACCACGCCGGAGAUGCCGCCGAAGAAGAAGCCUCCGGUGAACUUGGCCCAGCCGUCGGCGGUCUGCAGCUUGUCGGCCUCCUUCUUGCGGCCGGUGAGCGUGAGCGUGGGCGCCGUGGACGGGUCGCCCUCGUUGAAGGAGGCGACGCCGUACAUGGUGAGGCAGACGCUGAGGAUGGUGACGAGCCCGGCGGCGCCCAGGGCGCCCGCCUGGCCGUGCACGGGCGUGUUGCGGAGCGGGCCGGUGAGGGCGAAGGGGCCCACGAGGAGGUAGCCGUGCGCAAGCCCGACCUCGAUGCCGCGGAGCAGCGGGCUCACGGCGGUGCGGUAGGCCGGGAGGUUGGAGAGGUACCAGGCGAUGAGCGGGCUGGAGGUGAUGGGCGUCUCCAGGCUGCCGAUGAAGGGGUCGCCGUUGAUGGGCUGCACCACCUGGUACGUUGUCUGCUCAAGAACAACAGACAGUUUCUAUCAUCAGAGCCAAAGAAUUUUGUUUGAUCAUACAAAGAUAUAUAAUUGAAUUGCUAAUGUUCAGAGCAUCAAAUUGUAUAUCCAAUUUCCAGUCCUGUGAGAUAGAUCAAAAUGAAUCACACAAGAUGACUGAACUGAAAUCAAGAUUCUAGCAGCAGCACACAUGCAAAGAACUGAUCGAUUUGGAAGCAUUUUGAAUGAAAUUGAUAAUUCAUGUUGCCUAUAGCCAAGAGCCAAAUCGAUCAAAACUAUAAAAAAGAUGCAUCACUAUUUCGUUGCUCAGUAGAUCCACUGACCUUCUCAGGCUGGAUGGCCUUCACGGUGAAGCGGGGCCGCCUGGUCAGCGCAGCGCCUGAAAGGCCCCUGGGCCUCGAGUGCACCAAGCCGCUCUUCAUCACCUGGCUCGCCAUGGGAGCGUACGCGGUAGCCAUCUCGACCUCUGCCUGUCUCUCACGAACAGGGCUCUUCCUUCCUGCAAAAUGGUAGAAGAGGUCUCCUUGUAUCGGCCCAAUUAAAGUUUGUGAUCUUUAGAUCCUGCAGGGGGUGUGUGAGAAGAUCUGUGGCGUGUUUGGAUGGAUGGGGCCCUGCAGCUGAGAUAUGGCUCAGAGCUGUGUGGCGCUCAUUGGGUGAAAGGAGCGAGCAACCCUAUCCCUUAUCCGAAUGCGUGGAGAUCUCCUCCCUCCACUGGACGCCUAGCUGGCGCCCCCAGCUUGCUGCCACGUGGAAACAGAAUCUGCUGUGCUUGUGACUUGGACUUCGUUUGGAUCGAUACUGAAGCAAUAUUUAUAUCUGCAGAAAGCAGAGCUGUUUGCGUUUUGGUAUUCGACUUGCACUUUCAAGUGACUUUGGGUUAGGGAAGUAAACUAUAAACCUGGGAUUUGAAUCAAACUUCAACAAUACCAGCUCCCAAUAACCAAGAUCCUUCCUGUACAAUAUAACAAAUAUAUUUUGGGACUUUGUCAAUUCGACCUCUGGUUAGCAUAGUACUGCACAAACAAAAUUCAUAUAGAAGGAAACUCUUCCACCAGACUAUGUCAUUCCACAUUGCCUGCGGUGACAAACUGCUUCAGAUGAAAAGAACUAUGCAAUCAAGUAAUGGCUCAGACCAGUGUUCAAUAAAUUUCCGCUUACAAAAGAAUCACUCACAUCGAGGCAUCAAGGCAUAAAAGAAUCAACAAAUGCCCUGUGAAUGGUUUACAACUCUCCAGCAGUUCAUGCUCCAGCAAAACUCAAGGGCCUGGGAGGUCGUUCCCAGUCCCCCAGAUGCUAUCUGACAUCGUACUGUAGGCGCUUGCUUUUCUGAAGACAGUCGUGGUAGCGGUAGAUGAGUCUCAGCAUGCAAUCCCUCAUGCAGGUGACAUCGAAGGAUUCAAUGAACCUCAGGUCUGACAAGCGGGAUUUGCCAGCAGCAUAGCGAUGGUACUCUUCAAAGACAGAUGAUAGGCACCAAUUCUGCAGCUUCCUGAAGCAGCCCACCAGACAUCCAGUGCGGUGCUGGAGUCAUGACAGAGAAAUCAAAUUCAAAGUCAGGACCAAACAAUCAAGAUUUGAGGCAAUGAGAAGAGAAAAUAAAAGAACCAUCAAUUUAGAAUAAAGAAAUGCAUUUAUUGGUACCUUUCCUCUUUUGCAGUGGAUUAAAACUGGGUGAUUCCUAACAUCUGAGAACCAUAAAAGAGAGCGAGUUACUGAUGGGUCAAAAUAGUUCCAUAUGAUCAUUUAACAUUAUUGGUCGACAGCAAAGACAAAUUGGAAAAGAUGGAGCCUAAUUCAGUACCAAGCAAGACCCUAAGAGCCCCCACGAUGGCAUCCACAGGUAUGGACACGUAUGGGUCCUGCAGAUGCAAACAUUUAAAUGUGCUGAACUUGCUGAUAUUGGAAUUCAAAAGAUCAGCAGACAACAAUAGUUGCUUCAAAUGAAAUUAACAGGAAUUAACAAUACAUAGGUCCCAAGUCACAGAUUCGGGUGUAACAACAAGAAUCAAAUAGAAGUCAGACACUGUGUACGCACAAGAAACUGCAUGUCUGUUUUCAGUAAUGCAGUAUCUGAAAGUGUACAAUACCAGAAGAAACAAACUGAUCCUUGACAAGGAAACUGUAUCCAUCUGUACCUGCAACAACUUAUUCAUAACUGUGGAUAAAGGGAGACAGAAUUUUGUAGUAGUCCUGCACUUGGAUACCAUAAUAGGUAAUUUACCAUCCACAUUUGCUUCCAAAUAGGCAAACACCAGAUUAAUGAGCACCUCAAAAACCAGCACAGCGGCAUUCAAACAAUAAAAUUAACAUUCAAUGUAUCAGAAUUUGGAAAUUUAUCUGUUGAUUAUCCACACCACUGCAUCUUUGACAAUUGAUGUUAAGAAAGUCCAAUGGUCUACUUUCCUAAAUUUUAUUAAGGCAAAGUAUUAAAAAUAAGGGAGGCAUCUGAUGCCUGCUCAACUGACAACAAUAAAUACCCUUUCGAAGGUACAUGGAUUCCUUUUACACAGUAAAGAAAAGCUAACUAUAACCACCAUUCAAUGUUCUAAAGCAGUAUACCUUUGGAUCCAUAGAUCUAUCUUAAGAACUACAAAACAUAUAAUAUAAGUGUACCGAUGUAUUUAUCAUCAAGACUGCAUACCUUUUGCAGUUGAAAUAUAAGCACUAAUUAUCAUUACCUCCAAGUUUGCGCUCUAAUUGGACAAUCCAACUUAAAACUAUCCUAUGACUGGAGGAGUGACUACCAAAGCUUCACAUAAUCCCAUCAGAUUUACCAAAGCAAAAAACAAUAGAAAAAACAUAUAGCUGUGCUGAGUUUUCCUUUCCCCCCAAAGAGCACAUUGAAUUCCACUACUGCCAGAGCGCAAUCGAGGUAAUCAAUCAAUUAAGUACUACGAACAACAUAUCAAAUAAACACGCAAUCUCAUAAGAAUCUUAGGGGAAAACGAGACAUAUAAUACACAAGGGAAGAAAAUAGGAAAUCAGACCCACCUUGGUGCCUUCAAUCCCGAACUGGAAGAGGCGGAUCCCCUCGGCCUUGAGGAACGCGGCGUUGGGCUCCGGGUACGGCUCCGGGCACAGGUACCUGCAGCACCGCCGCGUCAGCCACGGAGAUACGACGGCCCAUAUCGCCACCAAACACGACGCAGGAGGGAACCAAACGAACCGAUCGCAUCCAAUCCAAUAAUUCCAAUCUAACAAUUUCGAUUCGAGGUGGGGGGAUUUCGGCGGCUCACACGACGGAUCGGAGGCCGAGCCCCCGGAGGAAGCCGAAGCUGGCGGCGUCGGGGAAGCCCGAGCGGUAGACCCCCGCGUCCACCAUCCCGAAGUUGGCCGGCGGCGCCACCAGGCCCGUCCCCGCCCCCUCCUCGUCGACCUGCUCCAGGAUCAUGCCUGCCUCCUGGCCCGGCACCGGCCGGGGCCCCGCCGAUCCGAGGGCGGGUUCGGCGGCGGCGCCGGAGAUCGCGGGGGACGGGAGCGCGCGAAGGGCGGGCGGCUAAGGGCUAGGGCUGGCUCGGUCUCCGCGAGGUGAGGGACGGAUCGCAACGGUCGGCUCGGUCGCCGUGGGGACGGACGGGCGGGGGCGGGGGUGGGAAUGGAAGGGCCCGUGGGCGAUGGGCUGGGCUGACCCGCCGCCUGCCUCUCGUCACGGCACGGGGGACUGGGGUGGGGUGGGGACGUGGGGUGGGGCGCGCGGCCGCACGGGCCCCUCUUGUACGGGUGGCCGGGUGGGCGGGUCAGUGGGAAAAGGUGACGCCUGACUGCCUGAGUCCUGACGCGGGAGGAAGGCUCCGACACGGUGCGGCGGGGCUCGGUGGCUGGUGGGGUGGUGUCGUCGUCUCGUUGGGAGGAAGGGGAUGCGGUUUCCAGAACCCAGAGGGGGGUUUGGUUUGGUGAGGCGACGCCUGUAGUCUCGUACGGGCAAUGCAAUCGACGAGCGGGGGACGUUAAUUACGAGAAUUAAAUAUAAAUUAAUUAUAAAAUUUAAAUAUAAAUUAAUUAUAAAACUAAUUGUACAAAUGGAGUCUAAUUCGCGAGACAAAUCUAUUAAGACUAAUUAAUCCAUCAUUAGCAAAUAAUUAUUGUAGCACCACAUUAUUAAAUCAUGAACUAAUUAGGUUUAAUAGAUUCAUCUCGCGAAUUAGACUCUAUCUAUGCAAUUAAUUUGUAAUUAGACUAUGUUUAAUACUUUAAUUAGUAUCAAACAUUCGAUGUGAUAUGUGGGCCUGUGCAUUUCGGGCAACCAGGUUAUCAAGCUUUUGUCCGUUUUCUUUUUAUGGAAAAUACUUCCACUACAUUUCAAAAGCACAGCCACGGGUGAUCCAGAAACAGAAGAAAUUGCGUAAACAAAACAUGCAAUUCUAUUUAAAAUAUGCAUAUGAUCAAGUAUACACCACAUGAUUCACAACUGCAAAAUAUCAUAAACCUAGCAAUUUGGUUUUUGAUAGUCUAUUUACACAAACAGAUUUGCCUCUCCUUCAUCCCUUCAAUCAAAAACUGAACAUUCAUGACUCGUGAUUGUGCGGGCAUCUCACAAAAAAAGAACUACCAGCAUAUUAUCAGAGUGCACAUUACUAUACUUCGUACUUGCACAACUGAUGAGCUCCUUUCGUGACCUGCCAUACAGCAAGAAAAAAUGGGACUACAUCAGUUAACAUGGACAUAAUAAAAGGGCAAACAAAUAAAAAUAAGUUGGAUGACCUGAAGAACUAGCAUGUGUAUCCUAAUUAUCAACAGAGGCACUCCAAAUAUAAAAUGUCAUCAGAAAUUGGAUGUUUUGCUUGUUUUGUAGCCAAAAAAAAAAUGCCUAACUAAAAAUAUUACUUUGCCUAACUAAUAAGAGUGUAUUGCCUAGGCACAGUAAGUAAAUGGCAUUUCAAUAAUAAAAUGAUGCAAACCAAUCUGCGACUAUCAAACUGCUGAAUUGAAUAAGAAAAUAAGGACCAAAGAACUGCACAAACAAGCUUAACAGAUAAGCCAAAAUCAAAAUUGCUUCCGAUGUGGUUGAGCAAAAUCAACCAAACCCACAUGCAGAUACAAUUGGAAAUCAACCACAGAUCAAACCGAAAGCAAAUGGCUGCAAGCUGCUAUGGGAACACAGAUCAAAAUGAGAGCAGAGGACAUGCUAAGGAAACAGAUGGGCUACUAAUCAAACAUCGAGCCUUGUACUGCUGGUGCCAAACAGUGCAAGUAUAAAUAACUAAACUACUCCCAAACCACUCCAAUAGUUGUCACAACUAAACUACUUGAAAAGAUAAAUCAGAAAUAUUUCCUUACCCCCACCUUUUACAUCCACAUCAAUAUCCAUUAUCAACCGUAGUUACUCAAGCUAGUCAUCUAGCUAUCCAACUCAGUACCGCAAAAAAGCAAAAUAACAGAUAGGCAAAACUAGUGAUGCUUAUAUGAUAAAAAAUGCAGGAUCUAGCGCAAAUGCUGCCAUGCCAGGAAAAAAGCCUAUAUAUAAUUGAGGGUGAAAAACAUGACAUAUCAUUCCGGUUAAAUAUAUGUGCUUGAAUAUCAGAAUCAGAAUGACACAUCACACAUAUCACAUCCAGUUCUGCAAGUGACUAAGAAUAGGACAAAACACUAGAAACAUGUUUUAUCUAAAUCAGGAUAUGUAAAUUGCUUAUCGGAAGCAUUAAAAUGCUAGAAGGACUAAGAUAAUUGCCAAUGAAAAACAAUUAGCAUACUAAUUUGAACAUAGAAAAUGAAAACCUUUUUGGGGGGCACAUAUGACACUGGAUGAUAGCGCACAUCCAUGUGCAUCUACAGUCCUAUAGGCAUUAUAUCAAAUCUCUGGGAAAAAAAAUCUGUAGUGAAAAUUACCAGAAUAAAAAUUGAGUAUGGUGCUUGGGUUAUAGGUGACAUUUUAGUUCUAGGUUACAUUGUAAAAACAUCAAGUGGUUGUCUAGUGGAUAAAAAGCCAAUAGCACAAAAGCACCAAGCACAAAAUUAAUCAGUAGAAAGCCUGAACAAAAUAGAAUAUCGUGAGAACACUGAAAAUGCUAAUAUCACAACACAAAAACUCAGCUUAAAAACCUAACUUGCAAACUCAUAUCAGAGCAUGAAAUUAAGCAGAUAAAUAAAUCUCCACCACCAAGAAACCAAUACUAAGUUGUUCAUCGGGGUUUAACGAAGUUGAAAGGCAGCGUAAAAGAAAGCUAAUAGACAAAACUCUGCUGACAGAUUUUUUUUACUGCUUCAAGUUUGGUGCUCAAUCUUCUGUCAUCCAAACAAUCACGUUCUAUGCAUGCAUAUUGUAUAUAUUCAAAAAAAUAAUUUACCUGCACAUUUUAGCCCACCAAGCCAUUGCUAUAUCGAGCUAGUAGUACUGUAGUAGUACCAGAAUUUAGUAACUAAUUUCUCAUGUUAAAAUUCUAAGCAUGAAUCUAGAUAUAUUUGAAAAAACUACACCUUUUAUCACAAAAAAACCAUUGCCAUCUCAAGCUAGAAGUAGUAUCUACCAGAAGUUAGUAACUAUCUCAUGUUAAAACUUGUUCGAGCUUAGCAUAAACACUGCAUCAAACAACCAAGACAUGCACACACUUCAGCUAACACCUCUCAAAAUGGUAUAUCAACACAUCUCAUGUCUUACCGCUCUUUGGACUAUUUGUUAAAGAUAAAUAUCAGAAAUGUCAUGAUAAAAAAAUAGUUAAGAAUCAAAGCUGCGACCAAUAUUGCUACCAUACAAUCUCAACUACCUAUUUUUCCCAAUUAUCUCAGUUGAUAUAUUGCUCAGAAAAAUAACCAAACUGUGCGGCAACUGAAUUGUGAACCUACGGACAUGACGUCUGGAGCACAACCGGCAUCCGCACGAAUAAAGUGGUGAUUUGCAGCACGAACUCCCUCCAUGUCAACCACUGUGUCCCAGAGCAGAUCUCGUAGCACCAUGGCAUGCUCGUCUCCACCCUUGGCGCACCUAACAACACCACCAUCAGAAGUUAUAAAACCUGAAACACACCUCAAAAUAGAGGAGAACAGACAUGGGGACUCCAGCAGAGAGUAUGCGCGAGGCGAUGGAAGGUAGAGGACAGGUCCUCACCUUCUCAAGGUACGGAAUCAUGGAGACCUCGUCGGCCAUGGCUUCGUCGACCUCCUCAGCGAGCCAGAGGAAGCUCUCUCGUUAGAUUGCGAUGGAGCUUCGCAUUGCCGUAGUCGUCGCCACCGAUUUCUCCUCUUUGCGCGGGGCCGGGUAUAGCCAGAUCCGGCGAGGCGGAGGGCAGGGGACGCGCAAGCCUCGUCGCCGCGUCAGCCACGGCGUCGUCAACCUUGUCAGCAAGUCUGGAGAGGCUCUCUUGGAGGAUCACGAUGAAGCAAGCUGGAUCCGCCAGCCCCAAAUCCCUGAACCCUAACCCGGUCUUGCCUCAAUUAGAGGGAGGUAGGAGGGAAUGAGGAAUAGCAGCAGGAGGAGGAGAACCGACCUCAUGGCCAAUCAUCGCUAUUAGCCAUCAGAGCUCCCCGAAACGCCAUGGAUUUGGAAGAGAGCUUGCGGGAGGGGGAAGAACGGGAGGAGCAAGGAAACAGAAGAGACACGGGUGGGAGAACGGAUAAGGUUGAUGGCCACAUGCGUGUGCAAAUAUUGCGUGGGGAGUAGGGCUGCGGCCGUGCACUGAGCCAAUCUUACGGCCGGCCGGUAGUUUAAAAUUAAUGAAGAUGCUUGUUGCUAUUAAACUGGAAUGUUGGUUGUUGGUUUUAGAAUAAAUGGUGGGUGCAAGAUGGUUGCCAGCCAUCAUCCAAAUCAAAAGAUAGAAUUUAAUGGUUCUUGGCCGUUUUCUCUGUCUCGUGAUGGCGCGCUGCAAACACAUGGUUUUCGAGUACUUUUGGGAAAAAGAAGAUUCUCAAUUAAUACAUGAUAUUCUCCGUCAAUGGUAAAUAUCUCAUGCAAUAGUUAUUAGACAAGAAAUCGCUUAAAACAACAUCGUAUACAAUAAGAGUUUGAUAAACACGCAAGUACUUGCUGGAAAAAAAAACAAUAAACACGCAAGUCAUGUUACAAUAUUGAUGAUGAUAUUCAAUUUAUUUAGGGGACAUAGUGACAUAUGUUAUGUAAAUUUUGUAACCUAUUUUAAUAUAUGCAAGGGCUUCCGUUUGUGAGUCUGUAGACCAUGUUUUCGUUCUUCAAUUAUCAACAAUAAUUGUUGUGCUAUUUUCUUCAUGUCUGGACGAUCUUUGAUGUCGGUGCUCAGACAUUUAAAUGCUAGAUUGAAGAUAUCUUCAAUAACAACCUUCUCUUCCUUUUUUGCAAUCUCCUCGUCAACCAUAUCAUUUACUAUCUGUUUUCCUUUAAUGAAGCAAGAACGGAAGUAGAUAUGGUGCAAGUUCAUUCUCCACAAAAUCAUCGCAUGCCUUCCUCCUAGUGAUGAGUUCUACUAGUACAACUCCGAAACUAGAGGAUGCCUUCACACUUGAACUUUGGACCAGCAUACCCAUUGCUAACUUCUUUUUGCGAGAUUCAUGUGGUUCUGAAGCAGAAGGUUGAUGAUACUUCUUGUAAUUAUUGCUUUGAGAGGCUCCAUUGCUCAAUGAAGAAGAUACUUGAUUCACAUGCCCAAGUCCAUGACUUAACAUUUGGGGUAUGUUGCCAUGAGUGCUGUGAGGGAUUCCUCCAGCAUUUUAUGCCCCAUAGAGAUGUUCUUCCUUUCGACGAAAUUGAGAACACCCCCCCCCCCAAAAAAAAAAAAUGGAAAAGUGAGUACAAAGUUAGUAGUGUAUAUAUAGUUGACAUCUAUGCUUUUAUCUUAUCUAGAAAACAUAAGUAAAAUGAGAAAUUUUUCUAAGACACGGCCCCGUGAGAACUCACGCAACACAACCAGAAUGAGGAUGAGCAUGAUGCCAUAGUUUUUAGAGUUUUGGGCCUUGGCCCAAAUAAAUUCCAGAUAAAUUUUAAAGAUGUGUACUAAAAUUUUUCAGGUGGAUGGUAACCUAUUUUCACAGUGUUCUACCCGCUUAUGAUCCAAGGACUACGCAAGCAGAAAAUUGACCUCUUGUGGUAAGCGAUUAACACAUGUUGUUCACUUAGGGAACAUAUGAUUUUUCACAUCUGGUCUACGUAAGGAACCUCAUGUGAUAAUCCUAUUUUUCACAGGUGGUUCCUUAAGUGGACCCCAGAUGGUAAUCAUUCCAAAACCUUAAACAAAAGCACCCGCACGAAUAAGCUCCAUUGUUCUUCAGCCGCCAUCGCACUCGGUCCUACGUGGUAUCGAGGAUCCUAUCUAGAUCCAAACACAAUGAUUAGAUCUCGCUACCCUGCAUCCCUUGCACACUAGUUCUCAGAUUUGCCUACCUCCGCUAUUGACGAGCUCGCGAUCCACUCCCACAUGGGACGAGGACACAAAUUAAACGCUACUGAGCUCAUGAAUAUGACCAACCUCCAGAGCACCACCACCACCCAUGUGUAUGAAGUCAUGGAUCCCAUGGAAAACUUUUUCUGUGAAAUUUCAGAGAAAUGUCCAAAAUACGUGUUUAUCAGUAGGUCCCAUAAUUUUUAUCUACCAAAAUUUCAUAUACUGAAACUAUCUAAUAUAUUAAACUUAUGAUAUAUUGCCUUAUUUCUUUGUUGUUACAUAUAAUGUUAUGUUAUGAUAUAUGCUAGUUUAGGGACCAUUUCUAGCGAAAUUAUGCAAAAAUAAAUUUUAAGAAAAAAAUUAUCUGAUAUUUUUCCAUCCGAUAAAUUUUAUUUCCUAAUUUUUUUAAGGGCAAACUAUGGGGAACUUCCCCACGGCACUUCAUUUUCAUUUCAUUAUAAAAGAGAUGAAAAAAGUGCAGGGGUAUACUUACAGAAAUAUUUACAAGAAAGGGGAGAGGUGGAUUAAGCUAUGUAAUUGUGUCUAGCCAUGGUAAAACUAUUAGUCUAUGGUCCUCCCUGACACGGUGCAGCUGAAGGACUACUUGCUCCUUGAAUCUCACGACCCAAAGACGUGUUGACACUGUUUUCCCCUCAAAGAUGAUUGCGUCGUUCCUCAUCUUCCAGAUUUCCCAAGCGGCAGUUAAGAAGAUUUCCAUAAAGAAUGGUAGAUGAGAAGCGUCUUUUUGCGAUCCUUACACGGUCAUGUGUAUCGGCUUGGUUACCCCCAGGUUAUAUGCAUAGUGUUCCAGCACCUUACAGAGAAGGGGCACUCAAAAAAGAGAUGGUCUCGCUGCCCCGCGUGCACGUCGACAAGCUGGUGAUCUGGAGCAGUCAAUAGCUUGGCAUUCUAUGCCUUCGCUUUCCAGAGUACCGAUUGGUUACGGAUCACCGACAAUUAUAUAACUCACCUGUAAUUACUUUGAGCUGCUCUUAGUUUCGCAGAUUCUAAGGCACUGAGCUAAGUUCUCUACAAGGCCCUGUUUGGAAGACUGGUUUUCAGCCUAAAACCGGUGUAAUUUACGGAUCCAGAAUUUUUUCCAAGCUCAACGUGUAAUUGCUGUUUGGAUAGCAAGUAAACCUAUUUAAAUUACCGUCGGAUUAGCCUGUUACAACCGGAAAUAAAAAAUCUCCUCCGGUGACAACAGUUUUUAUCCGACAAGUAUCGGGCUCCCUCCGCUCGCUCGCCCUGCGGCGGCCGCCGGCUCCAUCUGUCGUGACCCUUGGCCGCCGAAGAUCGUCGGCGACGUGAGCGGACAAGGAGGAUCGAUCGAGAGAUAGCGAUCGCGGAGGAAACGUUCCUCACGAAUCUGUUUAUGUUUUCUAUUGUAAAUUGUCUAGUUCAUCUUGUCUUACACAAUACAGUAAUAUAGACUCCUCUCUUCCCUCACCUCCAGCUGGGGCCCAACGGCACCCGCUGCACACACACGCGCUAUGCCUUAUUACAGAGAAGACGUACACUCCAGGUUGACACCAUCUUCACGCCUGUGAUGUGUUGACGCCGUCGGUCUCGACACCUCCCCCUGCCGAAGAUGUUGCUGGUCCACCAGCAACAAGUGUUGGAAACUUCACCUUGAGUACAUUCCAGUCCUCCCAAGUAGCUGACGCUGUUGGUAAAUGACUCCACUUCACGAGCACUUGAGGAAUGGCUUUGUUACCUUUCUUCACCAGACGACGUUGCAGAAUGUGUUCUGGUUGCAAAUCCUUCACGCUGAGGUCCACAACAGUUGUCAGAUCAGCAUACACGGGUGUGUAAUUGGGUGUGAAAGGCUUUAUCUAAGAUACAUGAAAAACUGGAUGAACCAGGCUGCCUUCAGGUAAUUGAAGCUUGUAAGCAACUGGCCAAUACGUUCCAAGACUUCAAAAGGACCGAAAUAUUUGAAAGCGAGCUUCGGAAAGGGUCUGUUCACCACAGAAGUUUGAGCAUAUGGUUGCAGUUUCAACAGAAUCUUCUCACCCACUUGAAAGCUUCGUUCCACACGUUUCUUAUCAGCCAUGAGCUUCAUACGGUUCUGAGCUUUGGCCAGGUGGUCCUUCAACUGCUGAAGUUGAUCGUCACGUUCUCUGACCACUGCUAGGGCUUCAGUCGAAGGCAUAUUGUCGACAGGAAUAGCGAUGCUCGAGUCUGCCUCAUAUCCAUAGAGUGCCUUAAAAGGAGAACAUCCCAGAGCUGUAUGAUAAGAAUAAUUGUACCAUAUUUCAGCCAGUGAGAGCCAAGAUUUCCAACGUUUAGGAGUAUCAGAAACUGCACAGCGGAGAUACAUCUCCAAGCACUGAUUGACCUUUUCAGAUUGGCCAUCCAUCUGUGGAUGAUAGGCCGUGCUUCUCAACAAUUUAGUGUCAAACAAGGAGAAGAGUUCUUUCCAAAAAGCGCUGGUGAACACCCUAUCUCUGUCAGACACAAUGGACUUGGGAAACCCAUGUAACUUCACCACAUUGUCCAUAACUGCUUUGGCCACAACAUGAGCUGUAAAGGGAUGUUUCAAGGGUAUAAAAUGAGCAUACUUAGUAUAAUGAUCAACCACCACCAAAAUAGAAUUUGAUCCUUCAGACAAGGGGAGGCCCUCUAUGAAAUCCAUUGUCCAAUCCCUCCAAGCACCACUGGGGAUAGGUAAAGGUUGCAGCAACCCUGCAGGAUGGGUAUUAGAAUGCUUAGCCUGUUGACAAACUUGGCAUUGCUUCACCAAAUUCUCCACAUCUGACUUGAGUCCUUUCCAAUGGAACAACUUCUUAAUUCUGUGAUAUGUGGCUUGAAUACCAGAGUGACCACCAAUAGCUGUGGAGUGCAUAGCAGCAACAAGUUUAGUCUGAAGUGCUGAGUUGUGUGCAAUCCAGACCUUGUCUUUGUACUUGAGAAUACCUUGGUGGAGAGAAAACCCAUGUUCAUCAGGUGAGGUCACAGCCAACUUUGUGAGAAGCUCUUGAGCUAAAGGGUCAGUAGAGUAGCUGUUUAACACUUCCUGAGCCCAGAGAGGCUGUACUGCUGAAACUGCUUGAAUAGCUGUCAAAUGACUGACCCUGGAUAGUGCAUCAGCAGCCAAGUUAUCCUUGCCCUGCCUAUAGAUAACUUUAAAUUGUAGUCCCAUUAACCUUGUCAUGGCCUUUUUUUGCAUGUCAGAGUGUAAGUUCUGUUCAGUCAAACAGGACAGACUCUUAUGGUCAGUGCGAAUGAGAAAUUCCUAUGUCUGUAAGUAUGGUCUCCAUUUUUCUACUGCCAUUAUCAGGGCCAAAAAUUCUUUUUCAUAGAUUGAUAACUUCUGAUGAACUGGUCCCAGAGCCUUGCUGAGAAAAGCUAUAGGUUGCUCUAUUUGCAUCAACACAGCUCUCACUCCCAAGUCACAGGCAUCAGUUUCCACCACAAACUGGGCACUAAAAUCAGGAAGUCCCAGGACUGGGGCGUGGACCAUGGCUAUCUUGAGCUGCUGAAAAGCCUGUUGUGCUGCAGGAGACCAAGAAAAUUGCUUCUUCUUCAACAAAUUAGUUAAAGGCCGAGCAAUGAUUCCAUAAUUUUUGAUAAAUUUGCGGUAAUAUCCAGUAAGGCCUAAAAACCCUCUCAACUCAGUUACUGUAACUGGCACUGGCCACUUUACCAUUGCAUCAAUUUUGCUAGGAUCAGUAGCCACACCUUGGUGAGAAAUGAUAUGACCCAAAUACUCCAAGGAUUCUUGGGCAAAGGAACAUUUACUGAGUUUCAUAUAUAAUUUGUGGGUCCUCAGUUUGCUCAACACUUGCUUGAGAUGAAUGAGAUGCAUUUCCAAUGUUGGACUAUAGAUCAGAAUGUCAUCCAAAAAGACCAAUACAAAGUUUCUCAAGAAAGGUUCUAAGAGCUCAUUCAUAAUACACUGAAAUGUGGCUGGGGCAUUUGUCAAACCAAAAGGCAUCACCCUGAAUUGGUAGUGGCCAUGAUGGGUUUUAAAAGCUGUCUUAUGUUCAUCAGCAGCAUUCAUUCGGACUUGGUGAUACCCAGAGCGCAUAUCACGUUUUGUAAAGUAUUUGGUACCCGCUAGCUCAUCUAAGAUCUCAUCUAUAACUGGCUUAGGGUAUCUAUUCUUGAUGGUAAUAGUGUUCAGUUUCCUAUAAUCCACAUAGAAUCGCCAUGUACCAUCUUUCUUUUGUACCAGCAAUACUGGAGAAGCAAAAGGGCUAGUACUAGGAACAAUCAACCCUGCUGCUAGAAGAGCUUUGACCUAUUUUUCAAUUUCAUCUUUGUGCAAAGGGGAGUAUCUGUAUGGUUUGGAAUUGACACGUGUAGAGUUUGGUAGUAAAGGAAUUUGGUGGUCAUGGAAUCUAGAUGGUGGUAGGGUAUUAGGGUCUGAAAAGACAUCACUAAAUUCAUCCAAAAGCUGUUGAACAGAAACAGGUAUAGAAGGGGAAGCAGAAUGUGUUACCUCUACCACUGUAGAAGCACCAAUAUCAUUACCAGCAAUCCACUUGACCAAUUUAUCUGAAGAUAGUCCAUGAAGAGUAGGUUCUGAAGGUAGAACCCCUUGAAGAAGUACUUCUUUGCCUUGAUCUUGAAAAGCAAUAGUUUUGUUCUCCCAAUGACAAGUCAUAGGACUAUGUGGAUUAAGCCAAUCAUACCCCAAUAUGGCAUCAAAGGCCCCAAUAUCCAACACCUUCAUAUCAGUAUGGAAAGUGUGGCCCUGAAUCCACCAUUCCAGUUGAGGCACUUGUGUACUGGUGAUCAGUGUGUCUCCAUUGGCCACCUUAACUUGUUGUGGUUGCAUAGGUGUUGGUGUGAUACCACACUUGUCCAAAAAAGAGGAACUCACAAAGCUAUGAGAGUUGCCACUAUCCAGCAGUAUUAACAUCACUUUAUUGUGAACCAAUCCUCUUCCUGCUUCGCCCCAUCUGCCGUAGCCGCUAGCUCCAACCUCUCCCUGUCAACGCCGCGCCGCCGCCUGCUCCACCCCGUCUGCUGUAGCCGCCAGCUCCAUCCUCUCCCUGUCAACACUACGCCGCUGCCCAAUCUUCAGGCUGCGGUACUGCCGCUGCUGCGGCCAGCGCCUCCUGCAUCUCAUCUCUACCCAAUCAGAUGCGCCAUCCAGGUUGCUGCUUCUCCGUCGGCGAGCUCCAAAAGUGGUCCUUCCCCAAGUUUGCAUCCGCCGCCAUCGAAAUUUGAUACUUGAUGUGAAUGCUUUUGAUGAAAUAAUGGGCUUGGCCCAUUCUAAUUUUAAAAAUUCCAAAUAAAUAUCAAAAAGUCCAUGUGGUCAUGAGCAAGUGGUGGAGUGGUGCAAUCUUUUAGUUCCAAAAGGCCAACUUAAAUAUGAAAGUUAUCUCUACUCCUCCAAGCUAUGUGUGUGGGGAGAGAAGGAAAGCUCCACGCACGCUCGCUCGCCACGCCACAUGAUGCGGCACCUACGUGAAUAGUCCGCCGAAAUCUAGCCCCUCACCUUGCGGGGGUGCGGUUUCCUUUUGCCGUUUUAUUUUUUGUUUACUUGGCCUUUAAGUCAGCGAGAUAUAUGGAAGUCUAAUUAGUUUAGAUCACGAUCGCGACGUGAGAUAGUGGGCUCUCCUAUAUAUAUACAACCUAUCGGCCUCUACCAAAAAUACAUCUAAUCGAGCUAGGGUUUUUGCCUUUUCUCGCUGCUGCGCUGCCACCGUAGUCUACUCCAUCCCGAGCGCCGGCGUGCACCGGCGAACGGGAAAGCAGGUCUCCGGAACCUCUCGCUCCUGUGAUCCUGCACUGGGAGAGAGCGAAUAAGGUUUUUAGGAAGCGCUCCGCAUGACUGCUCAAGGUCUUCACCACAGCUUGUCUUCCGUCACAGUCCGGCGUCGCGGCGGCCCAUGGUCUUCGGCGUCAUCUGCUGCGCUUCGUCCGCAACACCAUCGUCGUUCCGUCAGCACCGCUUGCUAUCACAGCUGCAUUCGCAAAGUACGUACGUCAUGAUCCAAUCUGUUAUUUCAGCAUGUUUUCUAAGAUAAUGAAGUUGUGCUUACUAUUACCUAGUAUGUUAGAGAAUUACAUGCUAGGUUUUAUUCUUGUCAUGAUAAAUCUAGUUUGGAAAUUAAUCAUGCAGUUGUCUAAUUUUCCAACAGCUUUGAGGUUCAAGCCUCCAAUUCGAUGCUCUGGUCGUGAGAUACCUCUCCAGUGCAUCUCCAAUUUGUUGCUCUGGUUUGAAUUUUUUUUUGAAGUCUAAUCAGCCGCUAGGAUUGCUUCAGCUCUCCGGGAGUGGCUCCCGUGCUUCUUUCUCUUCCCCCCCUUUCUUUUUCGUUCAAUUUGACGUUUGAAAGGAGGCUCCAUGAUUUUACACAAACAGCUAGUUUAGAACAACUCCAAGAGCUCCCUUAAACUACACCAAAACCUUAAUUGGGGAAAAUAGUAAAAAAUAUUGCUCCAACAGGUCCCUAAACCUCCCUCAAAUUUGCGUUCACCCUUAUCCGGAGCUAUUUUUCCUGUAAAUAUACGUGGCGCACCUCCUUCCCCAAUCCAUCCACUCACGCCUACUUGCGCCUUUUUUCCCACGCGCGCCAUUUUCCCGAGCGUCUUCGGCGGCCACGGCACCCGGCCUUCCCCGAGCGGCAGCGGCGUCGCCCGGCCUUUCCUCCCCGAGCGGUGGCAGCGCCCGGCCUUUCCUCCCCGAGCGGCGGCUGAGCCGGCGGCUGGCCCUGCCCUCCCCGACGGCGGCGCCGGGGCUGUCCUCCCCCCGACGGCGGACGGCCCUAUCCUUCCCGAGGGCCGCGACAGGAAGGGCCGCGCCGUCCUGUGGAUCAUCGGCAACUAGUUCCUAGGUACGUAUCAAAUUUUCCCCAAAUCACAGGCUUCUAGGCUCCAGCGUAUGCCUCUGUUUCUAUGUGCAGCUCGAGGUGGAGGAGGCACUGCAGCGGCGCCCGGCCUUCCCCGAGGUCUUCUCGGGCGGUAGCGGCGCAAGUUCCCCAGCAGCGGCGGCGCCAGGCCUUCCCGGGCGGCAGCGGCGCAAGAGGCCCGCAGAAGGAGCCACCAAUGUCAAGUGCUCCAAUCCGGCAAGUUCAAGAUCGGCACGACAGGCAGAAGAUGCGUCGGGUCAUGGCUGUCGGCGGCCCCAACACUCAAUGGAAUGGCGGCGUUGCCGGCGAUGAUGAUAAUCCCCUGGCGGAGCAUUACCCUGGCAGCGACACCCCCUAUGCAUCCUUUGAGCACAUGGCCAACGGCAAUAAUUUUCUGAAUGGUAUGAUUCUCAUAAGCUAUUAUCCUAAUUCGUCAAUCAAAUUCAUGUUUUGUUCUUGAAUCAUUUUGCUCAAUGAAUACUCAUCUAUCUGUUCCAUUAAGCUGAGUACCAUUGAGUACCACUGUUCACUUGUUCAAUUCUUGAGAUUUCUGUCCUGGUAAUAUUCUGAAUUAGAUUAGAACAGCUUUAGCUGGAAAAUCUGAGCUGGUUGUUCUACACCCAGCAUUCACUAAAUUUGGGACUGCUGAUUGCUUAAUCUUCAAACUCUAUGCCCAAUUUUUGCCGAACUUCACUUCUGUUCCUCUGGAUCAUCAGCUGACGAACUAAUAUGUCCUGAUCAACAAUAAGAAAAGCAUGUACAAUAUUUAUGGAAACAGAGCAAAGGCAUCCAAUCAGUGAGAGUAAAAAAGGACUCAUGCCAGAGCACUUUGAUUAGAAUUGCUAGUACCAUAGUUUAGAUUCAGAGCAGGCUGCCCAUUAUUGUAAAUCUGAGUUAAAAUUCAGCAUCUGUACUUGAGGGCUUGCAGUUGCUUGAGAAAUUGUUACUGCCUACUACUAUUCAUCGACUGAAAACAGGCUGCUCAUUAUUGUGAACAUGAGUUCUGCUUUCUUUUUCACAGCUUGAGAUAUGAGCUUCAAGUCACUCAUAGUCUCCAGUGUCAUGCUCUGGAAAUCCUGCUUCAGGUGGAGCUGUGCUCGAUUUUCCUAGCAGUGAAUCAUUUUCUGAUGCUUCAAUUGUUGUGUUAUUUGCAAUAAGACUCCCUCUGUUCAUAUUCUCAAGAAUAUUCUCAAAGUUUUGCCCUUCUUGACUUAUGUUUCAAAGCAUGCUUAAUAUGAUCAACAGUAUAGGGAUAGGAGUCACAGAACAGGAAUAACCACCAUGAUUCUCAAACCUUUACUAUGACAAUGUUGCUUGAGUAAUUGGGAUAGGAGUCCCAGAACAGUUGCUUGAGUAAUUCAGCAUCUGUACUAAUUCAGCAUCUAGUUAGGAUGUUGCAGGAAAACAAGUCCUAACCAAAUAAUUUAGUCAUAUAACUGAGCUGACAAAACUAAUUUGGAAAAAAGUUUUGAGAUAUCCAGGCUGCAGCAGCAGCUCUCCCACGUAGAAAAAGAUAUCAAGGCUGACAAACUUACAUUCUCCAAUUUGUAAGCAUUAGAAAAAGAAAGGAGCAUCAUAAAACAACUUUGAAAAAGCAGAAGAUACCAGACUGACAAGCGAGCCAUUCUCAAGUGACAAUACCAUUAUAAUUGGAAAGACAAAAAUCUUAUUAAUGCCAGGUCAAAAUUCUAAAACCGAGAGCAAUACUUGCGCGAAUUCUGAAAUGGAAUAACCCAACAGAUAUGUUGUUUGACUGAUACAAAAGUACGGAGAUAGUGAGGACAUCUGGUAGUUCUUACAGAAGAAAUGGAAGUGGAAUCCAACUAAAAAUAAUAUAUUUACCUCUGUUCAUCACCAUGGUAGAAUUACUACUGCUCUAUAUGUUAUGUUCAUUGAGGUUUGAUAGAUAACUUAUCAAUGAUUAAAUGCUUGCAGGAAAUAGAUAUUUUUCCAACAUGAUAAUGGAUGAAACCAAUCAAGGAGAUUUUGAUAAUUAUAGCAACACAUAUGCUGACCAACAAUCAUAGACAAUUGAAGAAGUUCCAGCAGCCCCAUCCACGAGGUCAAACCAUAAGAUAUCCAAGAAUUUCAGUGACCACAAAGAUGAGGUUUUGGUUUCAGGGUGGCUGAAUGUAAGCUUGGAUCCAAUCGUAGGCAAAGAUCAAAAAAGUGCCAAGUAUUGAUCUCGUAUAUAUGAGUACUUCAAUGAACACAAGACGUGCCCCUCAACGCAUAUCAUGAAUUCUCUCAGGUGGGCAUACAAAAACGUGUGAACAAGUUUUGUGGAUGUCUAUCACGGAUUGAGUUAAGACUUCAGAGUGGUACUAUAGUACAAGACAAAGUACUUAUUCACUAUGCAAUACAAGGAUUUGUUUCAAAUAUUUUACAUUUAUACAUCAUAUAUGGAUAUCCAUUGGAUGUUGGUGUGUGCAGGUUGUAGAGGCAUGUGCUUUGUACAAGUCCGAAGAUGAACAUAAAAAAACAUUCCAGUUCAUGCAUUGCUGGAAUAAGCUAAGAACACAAUCAAAAUGGCUUGCUAAAAUUGAUGAAUUGGCUGCUGGUAAAACAUCUAACAAAAAGCAGAAGACAAGCUCAAAUGUUGGCCCAAGUGCAAGUUUACCAAGUGAAUUAGGAGAAGGUGAGGUUCAAGGCAUAGAGGAUAAUGUAUUGACAAGGCCAAUUGGUAAGAAGAAAGCAAAAGCAGCACUGCUGCAAGAGAAGAAAAAAAUUAUGACAGCAACCUUAGAAAAUAUGUGAGCACAGAAGAAAGAAACUGGUGGGGAGAAAGAGCUAAAAAAAGAGGAGAGGUUUAACAAAGCAUUUGCUCUUGAACAGGAUCGAGUUGCUCUUGAACAUGAUCGAGUUGCAAAUGAAAAACUACUUCUUGAGUUGAGGAGCCAGGAGGUCCAGUUGUAGAAAAGGAGGGAUGAAGAGAGGAUUAUGACCACGGACCUUACUGCCAUGCCAGAUGAGCAAAAGAAAUACUACAUGUCCUUACGGGCUGAGAUCAUGAGCCGACUUAUGCCUAGUUGAAAGUGUAGGAAUAGUUGAUUGUAUUCCAUACGUGUACAAGAGUACAUAUAGGGCAGCCGUGGUGGCAUGCAAGCCUACCGCACAGGCGCGUGAUUACAUCCACAAUUAAGGGACCUACUAUAUAUACAAUAUGCUAACACUCCCCCGCAGUCUGAUCGGGAGCAUGGCGGACGUUCAGGCUGGAUCGAAACUCCUGAAACAACGAGGUAGGAAGGCCCUUGGUGAAGAUGUCGGCGUACUGUGAUGUCGUCGGAACAUGAAGUACCCAAACGUGACCGAGGGUGACCUUCUCCCUGACAAAGUGAAGAUCAAUCUCAACAUGCUUUGUCCACUGAUGCUGCACCGGAUUGCUAGAGAGGUAAACAACACUGAUGUUAUCACAAUAGACCAGGGUGGCACGGCGAGGUGGGUGGCGAAGCUCGGUAAGUAGCUGGCGGAGCCAAGUAGCUUCAGCAACACCAUUGGCCACAGCACGAUACUCGGCCUCUGCACUGGACCGGGAGACUGUUUGCUGACGCUUGGAGGACCAGGACACCAGAUUGUCCCCAAGGAACACUGUGUAACUGGAGGUGGAACGUCGAGUGUCGGGACAGCCGGCCCAGUCAGCAUCAGUGUAGACGACCAGCUCCGCAGGUGGUGACCAACGCAUGGUCAGCCCAAGUGAGAGAGAACCCUGCAGGUAGCGCAAAAUCCUCUUGAGUGCAGCAAGGUGGGGCUCACGAGGAUCAUGCAUAUAUAAGCAAAUCUGCUGAACUGCAAAGGCGAUAUCUGGUCGGGUGAAAGUCAGAUACUACAGAGCACUAGCCAAACUGCGGUACUGUGUGGCGUUGGCAAUCGAAGCCCCAUCUGUAGAUAAUUUGGAGUGAAGGUCAACAGGGGUGCUGCAAGGUUUGCAAGCACUCAUCCCGGCGCGCUCCAAAACAUCCAGAGUGUACUGCCGCUGAGAGAGAAAAAGGCCACCAGCACAAUGUGUCACAGAGAUGCCCAAAAAAUGGUGUAGCUGUCCCAUAUCGGUCAUGGCAAACUCAUACUGGAGAGCUGCAAUAAUUUAAAGGAGAAAUCUGGCGGAGGAGGCAAAAAGAACAAUAUCAUCCACAUACAGCAGCAGAUAGGCAGUAUCUGAACCCCGAUGGUAUGAGAAUAAUGAAGUAUCAGACUGAGUCUCAACAAAGUUGAGGGACACAAGGUGUGAAGCGAACCUGUGGCGCCAGGCAUGGGGUGCUUGCUUCAGGCCAUAAAGAGACUUGUUGAGGCGGCAGACAUAAUCCGAAUGUGAGGAGUCAACAAAACCACUGGGCUGAAUACAGUAUACUGUCUCAGUGAGGGUGACGUGUAAGAAUGCAUUCUUGACAUCCAGCUGAUGAAUGGGCCACUGCUGAGACAAUGCCAGAGAUAGAACCACCCGGACAGUUGCAGGCUUGACCACUGGGUUGAAAGUCUCAUCAUAAUCAACACUGGGGCGCUGUGUGAAACCCUGCAAUACCCAGCGAGCCUUGUAGCGAUCAAGGGAACCAUAAGCCCACAACUUGUGACGAUAAAUCCAUUUUCCAGUCACAAGAUUGACACCAGGCGGCCGAGGAACAAGGCUCCAAGUGUCAUUGGCGAGAAGAGCAUCAUACUCAGCCUGCAUAGCGGAGCGCCAAUUGGGGUCCGACAGAGCAUCCCGAACAGAGCGCGGCAAAGGCGACAUGGGCACAGUGUGGAGGUUGAGGCGAUCCAUAGGUUGGGCGAUGCCAGCCUUGCCGCGCGUGCGCAUUGAGUGCGCAUUGGUGACUGGGGUGAUGGAGACCAGGCGAGUGGCGAUGGUGCGGUCAGUUGUCGUGGAGCUGCUGGCAGCAGCCCGUGCGGAUGGCACAGGGGCAGCAACACCUAGCAUCGUGGUGCUGCUGGCAGCAACCCGUGCUAAUGGCACAGGGGCAGCAGCACCGGAUGGUGCAGUCGGUGAGGCGACCGGGGCGCUACUGGCAGCAGCCUGUGCGGGAUGCACAGGGGCAGUAGCGCCGGUCAGGGGCAAGCUGGUCCACCGUGUUCUAGGGCUCGGCGGUGCAGGAGCGGACUGGGACGUGGCAACAGGUGCAUGCACAGGCACAGGGCCAUGCACGGCGGGCGACAUCGGAGGAGCUGGGGUACCUGCAUGCACAACGCGAACUCCAGGAAGUGGAGCGGUGAGAUCAUGCUCAUCAACGAGGAAGUCCAAGGUGGAGGAAGCCAUGGGCGUGGUUGACAUGUCGGCGAAAGGGAAAAAAGAUUCAUCAAAAAUGACAUGUCGAGAGAGAAUAAUGCUAUUCGACUGGAGCUCUAGACACCGAUAGCCUUUGUGUUCCGAGGAGUAGCCAAGGAAGACGCAUAGGGAAGAACGAGGUGCAAGUUUGUGGGGUGCUGUGGAGGACAAGUUGGGGUAAGAAGCACACCCAAAAACUUUGAGAUGGUCAUAGGAGGGUUGGGUGGAAUGAAGGUGGGUGUAAGGUGUCGAGGAGGUGAGGGUUUUGGUGGGGAGGCGGUUCACAAGAUAGGUGGCAGUGUGGAGGGCCUCAACCCAGUAAACCGGAGGAAGAUUCACCUGAAAUAGCAGAGAACGCAUAAUAUUACUAAUGGUGCGAAGGGAGCGCUCGGAUCUGCCAUUUUGCUGAGAAGUAUAUGGACACGACAUGCGGAGUGCAACACCGUGGGAGAGAAAGAACGUGCGGGCGGUGGAAUUAUCAAAUUCACAGCCAUUGUCGCACUGAACGCUCUUGAUGGUGGUGCCAAAUUGCGUGUGAAUAAAGGCAAAAAAAUUUGAGAGAGUGGAAAACGUCUCAGAUUUUAGGCGAAGUGGAAACAUCCAAAUGUAGUGUGAGCAAUCAUAAAGAAUAACAAGAUAAUAUUUGUACCCUGACACACUAACAAUAGGAGAUGUCCAAAGAUCACAGUGUAUCAAAUCAAAAUUAUGACUAGCCCUAGAGCUAGAUGAUCCAAAAGGAAGUCGUGUGUGAUGACCAAGUUGGCACGCAUGGCAUAUAUGGUGGAGAUCAUCUUUAUUACAUGAGAUAACACUGGAACUAAUAAGCUUGGACAGAGCUUCACGCCCAAGAUGCCCGAGACGAUGAUGCCAAAGUGAGGUGGGUGCAGCGAUAAGUGCGGAGGUGUUGGUGGCGGGUGGAAAGAACGGGUAGAGGUCGCCUGAGCUAUUGCACGUGGCGAUCACGUUCCUUGUUUGCAAAUCCUUCACAGAAAGACCAAACGGAUCAAAUUCAAUAGAACAAUUAUUAUCGGUGGUAAAAUGACGAAUGGAAAUCAAAUUCUUAAUAAUGUUGGGGGACACCACAACAUUGUUAAGAACAAGAUUACGAUGUGGAGAUGAAAAAAUAUGUGAUCCGGUGGCAGUGACAGGAAGGAGUGCUCCUGUUGGGGGGAAAUAUUAACGACCUCCUAAUACCGCUCAAAGUGACAGUCAUGAAGGCCCGGGCCCACCUACGAUAAUCACGAUUACAUCCGGCCCAGUGAAGGCAGAGAACACCCCACUCCGUCUCGCCUGACCUAGGGCCCCGGGGUCAGACAAUCCCGACCCCUCGAUGGAGGGACUCCACCUCGCCCGACCGCGGUCCCAGGGUCGGGAGCGCCCGACCCCUCGCCGCAAGGCUCCGCCUCGCCCGACCGCGAUCCCAUGGUCGGGAGCGCCCGACCCCUCGCCGCAAGGCUCCGCCUCGUCCGACCCGGGGAACCGGGGUCGGGAGCGCCCGGCCCCCACCACAGAAACUCCGCCUCGCCCGACCCUGGACGCAGGGGUCGGACUCACUCGGGUCCAUGAGAUGGAUAUUCUCCUCGGGCGCGGGCUGGAGGAUCAGGAUAACGAUCUCGUGGGUCCCCCUAUCGACCUCGCCAUAAAUGCGCUGCGGCCCUGUCAAGCCAAAAGGGAGCAGCGUCCCUAACGUAUCCGGUCCCGAAUACCGGUGCACGGCCGUGCGGCGCGGGCUGCAGUGGCCAUGGCUCCUUCUGAUUCGCCACAGGGUACUCAUGAGUCGCGCCGAACGACACAGGAGGACGCAUCGCUUGCUCUCGCGCCCUGUGCUCCCAACGGCAGUGUCAGGGAUGCGACGUCCGGGUCUUACGGUAAUCGGCGGGGCAACAGAAUUGGGCCUCCUCCCCGGUGGGCACGGAUGCCGAGGCUGAGGCUCAUCAUCACACUCGACGGUGACGGCGACUAGGGAGAUCAUUGACAAGAUCAGGAGGGAAUCGCCCUCCCUCGUCGGGCGCGUUGACAGGGACCGGGGGCCGGAGCGAGAGCGGCGGCCUCGGGGCCCUCCCUUGUAUUAUUUUUCUUUUUGGCUUAUCCUUUCUGCUCCUUCUCCUAAGGCCAGUCUCAACUGUAACCCCGGGCUCCUUGUUGCGCUAUAAAGGAGGACCGGGGGUCACGAGACGGGGACUGAGACUCUUUUCCUCAAGCCAUCAGCACAUUCUCACAGUCCCUUAGAGCACAAGCACACACAAGAGACCUGGGAUCAGUUCCCUCUCUCGCCCAUCUGUAACCCCUACUACAGAACCCCGCGUGGGUAACACGAGCAGCCUCGAUACUGGACGUAGGGCCUUCUUUGCCCGAACCAGUCUAACCCCGUGUCUCCCACGCCACCAUCCGAAGACUUACGCGUAUAAAAGAAAUUUACUAGUCUAGAGUCUUGACCUGCAAAUCUUGACAACAACAGCUCCAUUGCCCACAAUGAUAGAUGAAGGUGUAAAAGAUGAUGGUGGGGAAAUGGUGGAGAGGUUACCAGCAUCCGCGGUCAUGUGAGAACCAGCACCGGAGUCGGCGUACCACUCGGACGGUGCCGGCGGAGUGAGCGUCAUGGUGUUGAACGACUGCGCCAGGGAGUCUUGAGUCCAAGCGCCUCCAUGGACGGGGUUCCAGGGUGCCGGCUGUGACACCUGGUAGGCCGGCGAGGGCCCCUGGAAUGCUGGCGCUGCUCCCCCGUAGACGUACGGUGAAGGCGGAGUGUGUAGCUGGAGCCAUAGACGCCACUGCUCGGGACGCUGCUGAAGGAGCCGUCGUAGCCGUACUGCGGGACGGCAGUGAAUGCUGGUGGCGCCGGUGGAGGACGCCCGUAGGGCCACAUCUGGAGGGUGCCGGCCCAGGGGUGUGCAAAUGACGGGUGCACCCCCGGGGAUGCAUGGCUGAAACCGGGAGGGGCGCCAGCAGCAGGUUGUUGCUGCUGCUACUGGCCGCCACGUCCGCCACGGCCGCGACAUCGGCCGGAACGCUGGCCACCAGUGGGUGCUCCCUGCUGUCCACCAGAGGGCGCACCGUGGGGGCGCGCAGGAGGAGUGGGCGCCCCAUAGCACGGCGCGGCAAGGCCACCAGUGUUUGCUGCCGGGCGUGGCGCGGCGACGAGUGCGGCGGGAGGCGAGGGUGGCCUCGCGUCGAUCUCCAUCUCCUCCAGGAGGAGGUGCGUCCAAGCCUCCGCGAAGGUUGGGAACGGGCGAUGCAUCUUGAGAAUGGACACCAUGUGGCGGAACUUGCCGCUCAAGCCACGGAGGAGGGUGAGCACCAUUUGCCGAUCACCGAUGGGGUCGCUGAACUCGGCAAGUGACGCAGCCAUGGACUUGAGACGAGGGCAAUAAUCUGUGAUCAUUAGGGAGUCUUGGCGGAAGUUGCGGAAUUGUGUCUCGAGGAGGAGGGCGCGGGAUUCCCACUGACCGAGGAACUCAUCCUCGAGGUAGCACCAAGCUUCGCGUGCAGGUCGCUGCCGCAUCAUGAGCGAUUGCUGUAGAUCGCCGAAGACCGUGCCGUGUAUCCAUGUCAACAUGACACAGUCGGCCUGCACCCACGCCGGGCGCGUGGGGAACACCUCAUCCUCAAGGACGUGGCGAGUCAGCGUGUACUUGCCGAGGACGGUGAGGAACAUGCCGCGCCACUUGGUGUAGGUGUUGGUGGCCUGGUCGAGAAUGACGGGGAUGAGGGCCUUGACGUUGACGACGGCGGUGGCCUGCGCCCAGAUAGCUACGUGGGCGGCCUCGUACUCGUCCAGCGCAACGGAACGGAGGCGCUCUUCCUCGGUGCGGUGUGCUUUCUCAGCACAGGCCUCUUCAGCGGCCUUGGCCACAGCAGCCGCGGCCGCAGCAUCAUCGUCGUCCGCCAUGAGGGGCAGGACCGGCAGCCGCACCCGGUGGCGCGAUCAAUAGCACACCCGGUGAUGUGGGCAGCAGGCAAGCGUACAACACGUGCACAGCUCGUACAGCACGCAGCACACCCGGUGAUGUGUGCAGCUCCAAGCACGUACAGGAUGUACAGCCGCGUACAGCACGUACAGCAUGUUGACGACGACGGCGGCGGGCGGGAGACGUACAGCACGUACAAUAGAAGAUCAGGAGCGGAGGCAGGAUCGGAUCGGCGGGCACACCCGGUGAUGAGGGAAGCUACGGGGCGGGCGAUGGGAUCGGCAGCGCGGGCGAUGAGACCGGCGACACACCCGGCGACAUGUAGUCAGCGACGGGGGUGGCGAUCGGAUCGGCGGCGGUGCUGGUUUGGGUUGCGGAAGGGUAGCAGAUCGGAACCGCGAUUGAUACCAUGAAAGUGUGGGAAUAGUUGAUUGUAUUCCAUAUGUGUGCAAGAGUACAUAUAGGGCAGCCGUGGUGGCAUGCAAGCCUACCGCACAGGCGCGUGAUUACAUCCACAAUUAGGACCUACUAUAUAUACAAUAUGCUAACACUAGUGCUUAAUUACUAUCAUGUUUGUUCUGUUGAUUUAGGAACUCUUUUCUAAUUUCAGACUUGUUAUAUUCACUUUGAACCUAUCGAUGAUUUGGUCUGUUUGAUAUUUAACAGUAAAGCCAUUUAGAAAUUUCAGACUUGUUCUGUUCUGCUAAUGAUGGCUUGCUUGGUUUGGUAAUUCAGUGAUGCUUUAUGUUGCUUGCUGCAAACAUGAGAGAGUGGUGUUCUGAAGCAAACUGCUUGGUUUGCCUUGUAAUGUCAGGCAUCAUAAUUUUGCACUCUACAAACUUAAGAGGCAGUAUGCAAACAUCCAAUAAAUUAGCAGUAAUGUACCAACAAAUUGUUUAUGUCUGUAUGGUUUAUCUCAAAUUACAAAAAAAUUUGUAACGUAGCAAAAAUUAUUAAAAGUAACAAUUACUAUGAACUAUAGGCAAUUAUUUGUAGAGGUCUGGAUGAUGUUGCCACAGGUGCUCAAUGAGGUCAUCUUGAAGCUGAUAAAUAUCUUUGUCCCUUAUAUUCUUGUAAUUUUUAAUAAACUCCUCAAGUUUAGGUAUUUCAUCGUGAGAAAUCUCACCUUUUCUCCCACCCUAUUAUAAUUUAAAUCAUCUUCCUCAUCGCGCUCAUCCUCAACUAUCAUGUUGUGCAUAAUAACACAAGCCCUCAUGAUUUGCCCAAGGGUGUCUUGAUCCCAAAAUCGAGCUGGCCUCCUAACGAUAGCGAAACGAGACUAUAGAACCCCAAACGCUCGUUCCACGUCCUUCCUUUAAGCUUCUUAGAUAGUUGCAAAAUAUUUUUUCUUGUUACCUUGUGGUUCAGGUAUGCUCUUCACAAUUAUGGCCCACGAGGGAUAUAUGCCAUCUGCAAGAUAAUAACCCAUUGUAUAUUCAUUGUUAUUAAUGGUAUAAUUCACCUUUGGAGCUUGACCUUCAACUAGCCGUGCGAAUAAAGAAAACCAGUGCAAAACAUUGAUAUCAUUGUGGGAACAAGUCAUCCCAAAGAAAGCAUGCCAAAUCCAAAGAUCUUUAUCUGCAACAGCUUCAAGUAUAAUUGUAGGCUCAUGCACAUGCCCGGUAUACAUACCUUGCCAUGCCGAAGGAUAAUUUUUCCACCUCCAAUGCAUACAAUCAAUUGACCCAAGCAUACCAGGAAAACCUCUACUCUCUCCAAUGGCAAGUAAUCUAGUAGUAUCAUCUUCAUUAGGUGAUCUCAAGUACUCAUCUUCAAACACCUCAACAACAGCAUUGACAAACCUUCUCAAACUCUCAAUAGCAGUACUCUCACCAAUACUGUCGUUGUCAAGAUUAGCCGAUCAAGACUUAGACUAGUAAAUUUCUUUUAUGCGCAUAAGGCUUCAGAUGGUGAGUGUGAGAGACACGGGGUUUAGGCUGGUUCGGGCAAAGGAAUGCCCUAUGUCCAGUAUCGGGAGCUGCUCGUGUUGCCACGCGGGGUUCUGUAGUAAGGGUUACAGGAGUGCGAGAAAGGGAUCCGGUCCCAGGUCUCUUGGGUGUGCACUGAUACUCUAGAAGGGUGUGUGCGUGUGUUCUAUUGGCUUGGAAGCGUUGUGGUGCUUUUUGUUGUCCUUCGAGCCUCUCCCUGUCUCAGGCCCCCGAUUCUCCUUUUAUAGCGUAAGGAGACCACCGGGGUUACAGGUGAGACUGAGUGUGGGGAGGAGUAAAGAGAUAAACAUAGCUAGGUAAAAAAUACAACACGAAGGGGGAACCAAGUUCCCAGGUCACCGGCGUCCUCGCCGUCCUUCGGCUUCCACUGGCGUGUUUGCUGGAGGAAGGUGGCCGCCGUUGCGUCCUGUCGAUGGCUACCUCGGUGACUGUAGCCGCCGGGCGGGAUGAUGGUAUUUCAUCGUGACCCUUGUGUCCGUUGGGGGAGGCGGCGGAUCCUGCCAUCCUGCUUAUGGCCCGCAGAGGGCGGACGUCGCAUCUCUGCCGCCGGGCGCGCGGGGCACGAGAGCGGGUGGGGCUUCCUCCUGCUCCGGGCGGCGCAGGCCAUGAGUGCCCUGUGGCGAAUCGGAGGAGGUCGCAGCUACUGUAGCAAGUACUGUGCGGCCGCGCAUGGGUACUUGCGGCGGGUUGCAUGGGGGGCAUGGAUAUCCUUCUCCCUGACAGCUUUGUGGCGCAUUUAUGGUGAGAUCGAUAGGGGGACCCACAGGAUCCGCGCUCGAGGCGGAUACUUGUCUGGGAGCCCAGGGUAGCCUGACCCUUUAGCCUGGAGUCGGGCGAGGCGGAGACCUGCGGUGGGGGGUCGGGCGUGGUGGAACCUGGUCCUCCAAGGGUCGGGGGCGCCCGACCCCGAGACACGAGGUCGGGCGAGGCGGAGCACGGCUCUCUCCUCCCAUGUUGGGCCGACGCUGGUCGAUCUUUGCUAUCUUAGGUGAGGCUGGGCCCUUAUGUUUUGUUGUUUCCAUGGGCUUCGAGAGGUCGUUAAUGUUUCCCCCCAAUAGUAGCCCCCGAGCCUGUGGUGGAGUAGGGACGCUCCUCUAGAGGCUGUUGUCAUCGCCCGUAGGGGAUCCUCGCAGUUGGUCCGGGACGGGAGGUGUUGUUUGCGCGGCUUGACCGAGGGCGUCGACCAGGUAACGCAUCUUGUGAGCGACUCGGAGUGGGAGGAUUUCUUGUCGUUCCCUUCUGUUUGAGAGUCUUAAGUCGAGACCACCCGUGUGGCCUUUGGUUGCGAGGCCAGCCCCCGAGCCCCCGCGCGUUGCAGGGGACCGAUCGGGAGGCUAGGUCGACUUUUGUACGUUACCCCUCAAGCGUCCGUUCGCUGGGAUGGAGGGGACGAGCCGUGCCAUGCUAUCCUCGUCAGACGAAUCGUGGUUCUCAUUGACCUACUAACGGGUGAAUUCGAGUGGGGUCCCGGUGCCCGUUCGAGGGGGUCCGGCUUGGGCCAAGCUGGUGGCGUACCCUAGGCUCCGGUCAGCCAUUUCAUAUAGUUCCCGAAUCCGUUCGGUUGGAUCCGGGGGCUCGUUGCGUUUCUUCGGGGAAAAACCAUGAACUUUGAUGCCGGUCCGGACUCGAAUGUGAGAUUGAGAUGCCCUGGGCUAUCGCGCGCCCGGGUGAUGGUCGCUUGCGGACCCGUCUCAGCGGUUGUCGAACCCGUGGCAGGCCAACCUUCGAACCCCUGGAUCAUAAUGGGCCGUAGGGACGUUUUCAGCCCCGUAUCCCUUUCCUUCCUUUCGGUGGGCCUUGGGCUGAAUGUGGAGGGAGGCCGCGCCUUGGGCCGUACAUGGAGGAGGCAGCGCCUUGGGCCGGACGUGGGAGACAUCGUGCGCGUGUCCUCCAGGAGGUGAAGUGGUGGAGGGUGCCGACCCACGAACCGAGGGAGGAGGGGAUGUUUCGGCUGUAGGUCGUGUGUGCGGUUUCCGAAAAAGAGGCGGGCGUGACGGGGCAUACCUGGCGUCGCAUUUAUUGUGAUGGGGGCAUCUGUUCUGCUUCCCUCGCGCCUUCUCUAUAAAACGAGGGCUUCGCCUCGCCGGCUCCGCCCGCCACCUACCUUCAAGUCUUUUUGCCUCCUCGUGCACCCUCAGCUUUCCUGCGCCCGCUUUGUCUUCCUCCGCCCGGCGCCGCACCUUUCCUCCUCAUCCCCCAUCGAGCUCUUCUGCCUCCGGCGAUGGGAUCUUGGGAGCGUUCCCACUUCGGCCCCACGCGUGCCGAAGGCCUAGUGAGGAAAGGCCUUCUUUGCGAGAGGACGGAGAGGGAUGAGUGGGGGUUCCCUAAGAUGGAGGAGGUGCCGACUCCACCCGCCGGCUACGUCGUCUCCUUCGCCCACUUCCACGAGAGGGGGUUCGCGACUCCGCCGAGCCUCUUCUUCCGUGGGCUCUUGCAUUACUACAGGCUUGAGCUGCAGCACCUCAACCCCAACGGGAUUCAGCACAUCACGACGUUCGUCGCGCUGUGGGAGGGGUUCCUGGGCAUUGAGCCCAACUUCUCGCUGUGGAAGUACUUCUUCACGGUCAGCUUGUACCAGAAGGCCGAGAAGAAAGGAAGCCAGCAGCGGUCAUCCCCGGUGUCGAUAGGGUGCGUCGGAAUCCACCUUCGCCAUACUCGUGCCAAGGAGUACAUGGUGAUGGAGACCACGGCCUCCCACAAGGGGUGGCACCAACAGUGGUUCUAUGUGAAGAACUACUCCAACGCCCCCCUGCCAGAGUUCACCGGCCGCAUUAUUGAGGCGGCGCCGGAGGUGUGGGCAUACGGCCUGGUGGAGAAGGAGAAGAAGUGGAUCACUGGCGUGCUGUAGGCCAUCGAGCACCUGAAGGGGAGGGGACUGACCGGAGCUGGAGUCAUCGGAGCGUACCACACCCGGCGGGUGGCGCCGCUGAUGCUUCGGGUCCGCUCGCUCGCCGAGAUGACCCCCGGUGCGCUGACCGAGGGCAUUGUCCUCGCGACGGGUGCGCUCGCCGCCUCUGAGAUCCGGCAGCGGAUUCGGGAGGCGCUGGAGGACAAGGACGCUGACUACCCGCUGCCCGGACACCCUCCGAUGCGCCCGGACGAGAACUUCAUCGACCUGGUAAGGAUUUUGUGCGCCAGUUUCCCUUCCUCGUGUUUCUCGGUCCGCCGUUCCGAUGCGGGGCUUUUUGUGUUUGCAGGGCAGCAUGAUCCGGGUCGUCGACUCGCGUCCGCCGGUGCCGGAGGACGCUGAGCGGUGGCAGUAGAACCGUCUCCUUGCCGAGAAGCAAAAGCGGCGCAAGGACAAGGAGACGGCAAAGAAGAAGAAGAGGGCCGCCAAGGAGUUCCAGUGGUGGCGACGAGGGCAGGUCGUGUCGGACGACGACGACGACGACAACAAUGACGAUGAGGAGGAAGAGGAGAAGGAUGACGAGGAGGAGGAGGAAGAGUUUAUCCUGUCCCCCCGGUCAGGCGCGCUUGUUAUCCGGGAGAUGCGCUCCCAAACGACCGCGAGGGAUGAAACGGGCGGACCGCCCACCCGGGACUUGGUCCCGCAAAGCUCUGGGGCCGCGCCCCAGGGGUCGGCGCGGAGCGCCCCCCGGGGGUCUUCGGAGCCCACCCUGAUCCCUGCGCCUGCGGCCCAGGAGCAGAAGAGCGGCGACAAGCGGCCGUUGCCGGAUGCCCCGGGGUCGGCGUCCAGCUCGGAGGCGAAGCGCGCGCGCCGUCCUUGCGCUGCGGGGACGUGAGUUGAAUGUCCUCGCGAAUCUUGUUCCUUUCUCGGCAUUGGGCUUGUUCUUGCUGAUGUUUGUUGAUUGUUUUGCAGCGCUGCCCCUCGAGGUCUCGUCCCACAGCUGGCGCCCAAGAAGGCACUGCGGGUGUUGCCCGCCUCUGCGGGGCGGACCGCAGCCCCACCGGCGGUGAGCGGCGGGGUCACUAGUGAGACCGCGGGUCCUGCCGCGGAGGUGGCCCCUGUGGCGGCGGCCGGUGGGAUGGUGCCGCCGCCGGGCACGGGACAGGGUGUGGACCCCGCUCCUCUUUCUGCCUCUUCGGUCGACCCCGCGGUGCAGAGUAUCGCUCCUGGGGGCCCUCAGGCCGGGGAGGUGCUUGACCUCGAUGCCGACGAGGUGGAGGAAACGGCGGCGGUGGAGAUGGGGGUGGUUGCCCCAGCGGCCGCGACGGGGACGGCGACGGUGACAGGGGAAGGAGAGUCUACCCCAGUGGCCAUGGCGGGGACAGCGGCGGUGGAGGAGGCGGGGACGCCCACCCUGGUGAUUGCGACGGAGGAGGCGGCGGUGAUGGAGACGGGGACUUCCGCCCGGGAAGCCACGGCAAAGGUGGCAGCGGCGGUGGAGGCGGAAGUGCCUGCUCCGGAGGCCACGAUAGGGGCGGGGACGCCUGCCUCGGUGGCCAGGACGGAGGGCGAGGCGGCCACAGGGACACUUACUCCGACACCCGCGUCGGAGGCGGUGGCGUCGACGGGCGGGCCCGCGGUGGCCUCGACGGAGGCAGGGGCGCGUGCGCCGGGACCGUUGGUGAGGCCAGCGACUCCUGGGAUGGUGGUGCCCAUUUUGACGGAGGCGUCGAGGUCGGCUCCUGC
Molecule: long non-coding RNA, 112735 nt
Filed under: Setaria viridis
Lineage: Eukaryota; Viridiplantae; Streptophyta; Magnoliopsida; Poales; Poaceae
Description: long non-coding RNA (SVIR_LNC003370)
Source: RNAcentral